Molecule: long non-coding RNA, 111975 nt
Filed under: Linum usitatissimum (flax)
Lineage: Eukaryota; Viridiplantae; Streptophyta; Magnoliopsida; Malpighiales; Linaceae
Description: long non-coding RNA (LUSI_LNC006001)
Rfam family: Small nucleolar RNA Z122 (bases 75595-75673)
Source: RNAcentral
UUUUUUUUUCUUAAAAUAGAAACCAAACCAUGACAAUUAAUUUUCUUUAAUAUCUUGGGCCGCUUUCAUUCACAUUGAAACAAUUAUAUAGACCAUCGAGUAUAUCAAAACUUGACAAAUAGGGAAAAUUGAUAUAUGAAAUGAGAAAAUUGUAUGCAACUAAGGGCAUCUCAUAGAUAAUAAUGGUGUGACCNNNNNNNNNNNNNNNNNNNNNNNNNNNNNNNNNNNNNNNNGGGGGGGGGGAAUAAUAUCGACUUGAUCCCUUAUUAUAUAUAUGGGGUCACAUAGCUUCCUAUAUGUGGGAUGAGUAUGGUUUGGAGCAUUGUAACAAGUCCAACUUUAGGUUCAAAUUUCACUAUAAAGCAUUGGAGGAAUUGAAGACGAAGCUCAAGAAAUUGUCCCUAAAUGGGCAAAUGAUAGUUUGUGCAUUAGGAUUGUCCCAGUUGGCAUGUUGUAUGUCAUGCAAUCUAGAUUAUGGUCUACUUGAGGUAUUUAUAAUGGCAGCCGAACACUAACACUUUGAACUUGCCAUUCAGAGAGAUCACUGAUCGCCAGAAUAACAGUUAAGUUAUCUUAACGACGUAAGUUCGUUUGUGUCCAAGAAUCCUCUCAUUAUGCUUUUACUCAAACUUUGCAACAUGGUUUAGACUAAGCAAAUUGAGUUUGAUUUCAAGUUAUAAUACUAUCAUAUCACCACUAGCAAUGAAAACUAAAUCAAACUGAGAAAAAUGUUUGAACAGAAGGAGAAACCAAGUUCUUGGACGGGAUGUUGAUCAUGCUCAACUUCUUAUCAAUAUGCACUUCAGACAAAUGUUGGACUAGGAAUGAAUAUCAAGAUUCCUCUAAUCAAUCAUAGGAAUCCACGACACGAUCAUUCACAUGGAUUACCACUACUAGCUUUCCCAAUCAAGGUUAGAAUCACCCUAACUAGGCUAACUAGUUUGAACACCAAGAUGUUCUAUUACGAGAUAAGGUGUUCCCUUGACAUAAAGGAUCUCAUAAACAAUCGGAAAUGGUGUUAACUUGAUCCAUUAACACCUAAGAUACUGAUAACUACACCUAAGUUGGCCCAUUAGGUGCAAAUCAGAGCACCUGCGAAAUGCUCAAUAAAAUACCUUUAAACCCAAUUGAAACACAAAAGGUAGAAUUGAGUUAUGGCUUGGUCCACCAAUAACUUCCUUCUAUAUUAGAAUGUUAACAUAAGAAUUCAAAGACUCGGUCAAGCACAAGGAGUUCACAUAUUUGAUCUAAUUCAAAUUGUGACAAGAACUAGGUUUAAAGAACAACAAUCAAGCAAUCAUUUAUUCAAAUCCAAUUAUCCAACAAAUCGGCGACCCUGUACUUUUACGAAGAGUAUCAUAGCUCAAUUCUUAUAUAGAAUCUAAAAACUCUAUGAGAUUUAGCUGCUCAUGUCACAAGAAGAAGAGAAAAUGAAGAAAGACCUUACCAUCAUCUUGUUGAAGAGAUAAUGAAUCAAAGUCGCUCCAAUCUUCACUUUCGGUCUUCUAGUUCCAAUCCAAGCUUCGAUCUUCAAUUGAGCCUCCAUCGGUUCUUCAAUAAAACGUAUAUGGAUGAAAAGAUGAUGAUUUAUGUAGAGGAAAUUGGGGAAAAAUUUGCUGGAAAUAGUUGAAGAAGAAGUCUCUUUCUCUUUCUUCAAAUCGCUCUUUUUAUAUUGAAAUUUCCGGAACAGGGAGGUGCACAACGUGAUAACAUGCUUAGCAGUUCAAGCCUACUUCAUGGUGCCAAAAAUAUACUUUAGAUCACCAAACCACACAGUUGCUGUAAAACCCCACCCUAGGAGUUCCGGUCGAACCCCUGGUUCAACCAAGGAAUCCUACCCGGGUUCUAAAACUGAACCAACUCAACCCACAAUUAACGAGAUACAACAUAAAGUAAGCAUUACAAAGUGAACUGGAAUACUUAGAUAAACUUACCAACUAGGAUCCCGGAUCCAAAACAUAACAAGUCAAAAGGAGAUACAACAUCAAUUCUAAAAAUACAUAAAAAAAAUGAUAUCAUCUGAUAUCAAUGCCCGACCAGCUCUCUCUCCACCAUCAGCUCCAGUAUCUGUGACUGAUCAGAUAGAUACACCAAGGAAAAUAAUAUCUAACGGGGUGAGUGAUAAGCACUGAGUGGCUAAACUAGUCUUGCGAAAAAUUGAAACUGAAUUGAGAUUUUACAGCGCCUGUAGUGAGACUUUACUGAGACUUUACAGUACCGGUACUGAGACUUCACUAAGGAUAGAAGAAGAAUUCUAUAUACACACUGAAACUAAUAAUGUGACCUUGUGGUCCUGUAGGUAUCAUCAUAACGUCAGUCACCCCUAGCUAUGAGCGGACAACCUCAUGGUGGAUCAGACCAUGAACCACCUUGAAAGGCCGUGGGAGCAACACCGAAGGUUAACUGAUCACGUCCUGUCUGAACCUGAAUGAAUUCUGUUUGAUUGUGCAAUCCAUGGUGGGUGACUAAAGCAUAAACGGGAGCUAAUCUAAUAAAUCCCGAUCAUGUCCUAAUCUGAACUGUGAAUCACAUGCCACUGUUCAAUCGCCAUGAGCUUAUGCUAGAAAAAAUAUAACUAUAUGUACAAUAGAUCAAAUGCUACUGUACAAACUGAGAGUCCUGCUAUGAAAUAUAAUACAUGUACUGUAGAUCACACGCUACUGUACAAUCAUUGGAUUCCUAACCGCUUAAUUACAGUUAUACGCUUAAAGCAGAAAAGUAGUCCUAAACCCCCCACCUGAUAUGAAGAGAUGACAUCUCUGAUCCUAACUUUACAUGAUUCCUCUCGCUGCCACGAGCCCGUAGCUUCUAACCGUGCAUCGUUUGGAGUCCAAAUGAUCGAGUUAUGCCCCAUGUACUUCUUUGCAACAAUUUUUAAACUUGCUAAUCCUCUAACUGCCUCUGUUACUAUAACUAAUCCAGAACUUCCACUUGCUGACAAAACAUACCCAAUUCCAUAACUGUAAACCAUCCAUAAGUUUCGAACUACGGAAGCAAGACUUAAGAAUAACCAAUUACAAACAGCCACUUAUCUUUCUGGCUUUGCAGUUUGGUCACUAGACUCCUCACCAUGACCAUGACCAUCGGCGACCUCCAACAUUCUUGGAACGUGGUCCUACCGCCGGUGCCAUUUCCUCCUUUGUCACCGCAUCCCUCCAUCCGAUCUCUGCCGCCAGAAGACACGCCUCUAACCUUCAUCCGCCACCGCCGCUAAAUGCCACAGGCCACCGUCUCUUUAAUCCUUGAAUCCCGAUGACGCCACCUACUCGCUUCCUCCAUCGAUCGCCAAUGAUUAUCAUCGAGCUGAAUCCCUCAGUAGCUAAUCGCCAGCGAGGUUGGAAGAUAACCUUCGUGCCAUCAGCAUCAAUUUGGGAUGGGGAGAUGACCUCCUCCAUGUUUAGGAUUUAGGUUUAGGGAUUAAUGACCAACACCCUACACCUCCAUCUCUUGAAUGGUUACGGGCCCAACCCAUCCACAUGUUCAAUCUAAUGGCCCAGGCCCAAUCCCGACAUCAUAACUCACAUUUGAGCCCAAGGCCCACAACUACAUUUGCAUUCUUUUCAAAUGACAACCCACUUUCCUUCUCUUGAAUGGAUCAAGAUCUGUACUCACCGUUGGAUCUAUCUAACGGCCCAAACUCCUCAAAGCUCACAACUUUACAAACAAAAGACUUAACUCCUCAACUUAGCCAACCCGAUAAUUACCUCGAGCCUUGCAAGCAUUUAAUACUUGGUGAACUGCUGAGACAACACGUCAAAUUAAUUAAAUUAAUUCGGUUUUUUUACUCCCGACUUCUACUCUACGAGUAAAAUUUUAAUGAAACCAAAAGUUAAACUGAACCGAAAAUCGGGGUGUCACAACUCUCCCCUGCUACAAAAGGUUUCGUCCUAAAACCUAAACCUCACUCCACUUAGUGGAGGAGAAUCGGCGCAACAAAGUCCAACCCUGGCGCUUGCACACCUGUUUGGUAGAAGACGGUCCCAAUAUGUUGUCCUUCUCAAGGACUCAACCGGUCCACUCUUCUGAAUUGACCCAAGGUCAAAUUACAACCUUAUCCUAAUAGACCAAUCGUGGUCCACCCCUCAGAUUGUCUGACCAUAACUCAUCCAACUUAAGCGGAACUACGAGCUAAUUUCUUGCUCCUAUAGAACUCCUUCGAGCUCAACCCUCAGAAAUCGCUCCCGACCAAGCUGAGAUUCCCAGGCUAAGCUGGACACACUUUCCCAACUUAAACUUACCCCUCUUUCCUUAGAACAGUGUCGACCAUGCUCCAUAUAGAGCCGACUCAUCAAGCUUGCUACCCAUCAAGCACCACUAUCUGACAGCCUCCUCUAAAGCUACUAAACGACUAAGGUCAGAGCCUCACUUUCACUAUUCCAGGUUCCACUCAACUAUGAGUCAUCCCAUGAUCAACUAUGUGCAUCCUCUAGCAGUCAACAUGAGACUAAGCCUAAAAAAAGGACUACAGUUGAUCUGCAUGUCUAAUCGUGUGCUCUAUCUAGCUCACUGCAGUACUGUCCAGGUGCGUAGCCCCUCGGCACAACACGCCCAUCACCAAAAGGUCUGCCACGCCUAUGGCUAGGACACUCAUCGCUCGUGGCCAGCAUAGCACUACACUUGUGGCUUGGGUAUGGAUCAUACUCUAGCCACUGAGGUGGUGGUGGAUAUGCUGGCCACGGGGGAGGGUAGGAAGCUCUAGUGAAGUAGCUGUCCUCAUAGUAGGACAUGUGGCCAGUCUGCCAUUGCUCCAGCUAAUGGAUAUAAUUUAUUUCCUCCCUCUGGUAUUGUAUCCAUUGUCCCUUCUGAGCCUGAGUCUAGCUAAACUGCUUGACUCUCUGAACCUGGUGUGCCCAUUUGUCCCUGCUAUCAUUAGCAUACUGUUGAAAAUCCUGAUGAAGCCCCUGCUCCUCAUCCUCAGCUCCCUCGGCCCUCUACUCUAGGCGUGUCAAAACAUCCUUUAUGUCUCUGUCCAGGUGCUGGAAAUCAUUCUUGAGUCCUCUCUGAGUGUCUUGCAGAUUGCUCAUGGUCAUCUGCAAGUGCCCCAAACUGGCUGCGAGCGUCUCAACUAUCUAUGGAGGGAAGUCUUUCCUAUCAUACUCUAGGACCUCUGGUCCCUCUAGACACUGAUCAGCUAGCAAAUCUAGAACUGAAUGAGCUUGAAGCCCCCAAACAGUGAUGGCGUACUCGUGGUUAAACAACAGGUCAUCUCCAAAGGUGCCCAAAACACCAAGUUAUUGUUAGCCGCCUUCGUACAGAACUCUCGAACCUGUCAGGUCUAGGACACGCCUUAACAACCUGACUAGCGAAUCGCCGAGGUGCACCAUCACUCCAUUCUAGAGGCAAUAGUGGAGCCAUAAGGUAGUGGCACUCACUACUCCCCUAUUGCUAGACUGCCUCCUAGCAGUGAUGGAGCGCCAAAACAGCAAGUGAAGAAGCCUCAACAUCGGUUUCUUUAUCUGCUUCACCUUCAUCGCGCGAGCAGAAAAGGUGCUACCCCGCACCGAGAUGGUCUUCCAGAACUCAUUCGAGUUCGGAAUUGGGUUCUUUUAUGGAUGAAAAGAUGAUGAUUUUCGCAGAGGAAAUCGGGAAAAAAUUCGCUACAAAUUGUUGAAGAAGAAGUCCCUUUCUAUUUCCUCAAAUAGCUCCUUUUAUAUGGAAAUUUUUGAAAUAGGGAGUUGCAUGGCGUGCAGGCUUGCACGCAUGGACCCUUAACCUUGCCGAAGGCUAAUUCAAGGUUAGGGCAUGCACAGUGUGCAACGUUUUUCUGCGGCAAGGUAAUUCAAACUCAGGGUAAGCACGCAGUGCAACCCUUUCUCUUCACCAACUUUUCCAUUGUUGUCCAAUUUGAGCUCCAACUGUGCUCUAAUCCGUGUCCAUAGCCUCAUAGUCUUACAACCUAUCUCCAAAGUACCAUUGGAUAACAAAUAUUACAAGAAAACAAAUCAAACAGACUAAACCAAGUGAAAGGGUCUAGGCGAUUCAAUGUCAACACGCAAAACCACAUGGAAUUGAAGCACAAAUGAGCUAGUAUUCACUGAAAAAACAUGCAGAUAGGGUGCGUAGACACUAUAAAUCCUAACUUUAUCAAUCAUGCUACACGAUGUUUGGUACAUACUCCAGAUAAAGAUUGAUGGAGAGGCCCUUAGGGUUGAAAUUUAGUUUAAAAACUCAACCUAAUAUUCGUCAAAUAUAUUUCUCAUCAAUCAAAGCAACAAACGUUUAUCGUACUACUCACGAUGAUUCUGUUUGUGCACUCUUGUGACAAUACUAUGUCUAUUAGCAACUUCAACAAUUACAACAAUUAUAAACAAAGUUGAUCAUUUCAUCAAAAUGGCUAAUAAGCGAAAACCCAUUUCUCUAAGAUUGUCCUUAAGAGGUGGAUCAAACGGAUGUUAUUGCAUUUCCACUCCAUUUGAAAUAUAGGUGAGGUAUGAUUGGAAAAACUUUCCAACAACUUGAAAUUUGAAUUCAACACCAUUUGUAAGCUCAUAUUAUAUCUCUCAUUUCUUUCAUUUGUAAAAAAUACUAUUUCCCCCUUUUCUAUUCUAUUUUUUCUCUCCUCUUGCUAACCCACAAUCCAAAAGCAAACCAAAGAAUUAUGGCAUGGAAUCUCUCAAAUUACAAAUAAUCAGAUCUAGAGUUAUUAUUGUAGAGGACGAAGUAGAAGCGAAGGAGUGUCCGAAUUGGGGUAUGGGCAUAUGGAAAGAUGGAGCUUCAGUAAGAAUACGUUCUCCUUCUCCGUCUUUUUUUACUUCUAUUUCUAUUUGAAUUUUCUAAACGUUUUCAGCAGACGAGUCUUACUAAAAAUCAUGUUUUGAUAUAAGAGAGAUAUGUUCAUCUUUUUCUCUUAAGUAGCUAAACUAUUCAUCUUUUUCUCUUGAUUUUUUAGUUUGAUCUUCAGAUGUUGAGNNNNNNNNNNNNNNNNNNNNNNNNNNNNNNNNNNNNNNNNNNNNNNNNNNNNNNNNNNNNNNNNNNNNNNNNNNNNNNNNNNNNNNNNNNNNNNNNNNNNNNNNNNNNNNNNNNNNNNNNNNNNNNNNNNNNNNNNNNNNNNNNNNNNNNNNNNNNNNNNNNNNNNNNNNNNNGUUAGUGUGGUGUGUGACGUUGGCAGGCGCUUGAAGUCUUUGGGAUGGCGGUUGCAUUAAUCUAUUUUCUGUACAAGUUAGCGAGAAGAAAAUUACAACAGGAUUAACCAGAGACAUAAUCGAAAUUCUAUUGUCAAUCUUUUACUCUUUAUUUAUGAGAGAUAGGUUUUAUUUUUCAAAAAAAGGUAAAUUACCUUAUUUAAGAAAAUACUAAAUUGAGAGUGAUUUUAGUUUUAUUAAUAGCCUUUCACUUUUUUCAUAUUUCUAGUGGCAUUUGUUCUAAUUUAAGAGUUUUAAUUAGAUUAAUAUGUCAUUUUUUAUCCAAACUCAUGGUGAUUUCAUAUCAAAAUCACCAUGAGACCACAUGUGGUGAUUUCAAAACUCUAUCAUUUUUAAAAAUGAAACAAGGGAUUUUGUCCAAAUCACUUGAGCUCACCGAUUCUCUUUCAAAUCCCCCUCUAAAUACAAAAAUCAAACGGCCGUGCUGUUUUGUUAUCAAAUUGAUUUUGCUGUAAAAAAUUUAUUCAUAGGUUGUUUUUAACACAAUUGACUUAAUUGAUCAAUAAAUCAAACAUAAUCCUAACAAUGUUAACUUAUAAUUGAGAAUAAAAUUGAAGGAUUUUUUCCCUAACAUCUAAGGGUUUUUUUCCCUAAAUCCUUACGAGUGUUGAAACUGUUUGAACGCCGCCGUCUUCAAAGUUCCUCUUCAUCAACUCUUGUUGCCUGCCUCCAUCACCACAAAUCCAUCACCAUCUCCUCGAAAUCUACCGCCAAAAAGCCUCUUCAUUAGCUUGCAAUCCGCCGUCAUACAUUCCCUUGCUCAUCGCCUCCGACUCUCCUUCAUCUUUAAGGGUUCUCCAUUGCCGUCGCUUAUCACCCGAAUCACUCGUCGGUUUCCAUCACCCGCUCUAUAGUUCCUUCAUCAUUGUUUCGGACUCUGCCGCCAAAGGAUCACAUCACCAGCUCGCUUCCCGCUACCAAACUAUUGAGGGCCAUCAUCACCAGCUUGGUUCUCAGCCGCCAAACAUCCUCUUUGCUCGCCUACACCAUCUACAUAUAUCACCACAACCAAACACCCUCAGUGCUCACCAUUCUUUAGCUAAGCUCUGCAUAAUAGAAGCCCAGAUGCAAGGGCUAUUGCUAGUGGCGAUCGAAAGGGGCUAGACAAACCAGAAGCGGUUGUCGAAGACUAUUCCAUGUAUGUGGUGGGAGAGUUCCUCACCGAUCGCUCCUUCAAUUACGACUCUACCAUCACAACCGUAGUACAGGCAGGUUAGCCUUCGGCGGCCUUCCCAUCGGCAUAAAUCACAACGACACUGCGGAGGCUGGUCACCUUGCGCAGAGACAACGACUGACGGCCAUUGUUUUUUCCGGCACUCAUUUUCUUUCGCUCUAUUAGACUACCUUUUUAAAUUUUGUUUUUGAUUUUGGUUGCAUUGUCUUUUCGGAUGAUUUCAAGUUGUUUUUGUUUGAUUUUGGGUUUUGUCAAGUGUCUGGGUUUGCUGGUUUGGUACUAAUUUGCCAGGAGAAUAAGGAAAUAGGUCAUGUCAUCUUUUUUGUGACGAUCGCGGGUCCAUGUAUUACUGGUGUGGGUUUACAUGUCCCAACUAGACUUGUAAUGAUUUGAACUCUUUGUAAUCGCAGCGUCAGCAUUAAUAAGAUUGAUCAGACUAUUACUUUUUUCGUAAAAAAAACAAACCAGUGGAUUGCAAAUUGGAUCAACCCAUCCAAAAAAACAUGAGACGAUAUAAUGUGAUAAUUAUCAUAACAUUGACAAACUAAUAAAGUGAACAUAAAAAUGACAUAUUACACUAAUAAAGUGCACUCAUAAGCAUUCCUAUGACAUAUUUACAAACUCUUAAUGUAGACAUAAAAAUGACAUUAUCGUUUCAUAAUGUAGACAUAGUUGUGACAUAACCUUUUCAUAAGAAGGACAUAAGGAUCAUGUAAUUUAAUUGACUCGUAAAACGGACAUAUCAGUGACAUAAUCACUACAAAAAAACAAACAUAUAAGUGACAUAAUCAGUACAAAGAAUUAGAUACCUAACAAUGACAUAAAUAACACCUAACAACGGGUGUGUACGCUACUAGGAAUAUUAACCGCAGACACUAAUUUAUUGUUAGAAUAUUCAAUGCUAGGCCCAUCUAACAGCGACCCAUAAACCGUGGUUAGAAUGAAUAUCCUAACUGCAGAUAAGUGACCGCCUGUUAGAAUUUUGCCUAAGAGUAGCUGUUUGGCCGCUGCUAGAUUAUGACCCAUCGUUAAAAAAAAAAACCAACAAACACGAAAACUUCAUAUGACUACACCAAAUCAAAAAAUCAUCUGCUAUACUCAUACCUAAACUGUUCCUGGAUGAGAAACAAAUGGCAGACCUGGUGAUAUUAAGCACAUCUGUUACGAAAAAUUUACACAAAAAAUUAAAUCUAUAUAUCUUCUUCUAUACGAUCUUCUUCUUUUCUCUUUGUUCCUCAUCUUCAAAUCCUACCUUCAUCUUCAUUCAAUCUCAGUAACUUAUCCAUAAAAAAACUGAAUCAGAAAACCAGAUCUUUAUUUGAAGGAAACAAACAGAAAAUCAAAGGCAGUUAAAAGAUUGAAUCUACUACAAACCUUGUUUUAUUAUCGUUCCCACACCCAAUCGACAUGCUUUCAAUCAUCUGACCCCUAUUGAAAUCGAUAGGGCCAUAGAUGAUAAAGGAGAUUAAGAACUCAAGAAUGGAGAGAUCUUGAAAUUAGAUUGGUCCAUUACCCCGUCAGCGCGGUUCUAUCCAGAUGUCCGAUCGAAGAGAAAUAAACCAUCUAACUACUUCUACUCUACCAUUCAUCGCCAUUGCAAAGUUAUGAAGAGAGAGGAAAGGAAAGUAAUAAAAAAACUGAACUGUUAUAAAACGUCAUAGAUUUUACUGUCAAACGUCCUAUUAUUUAAAUUUCAUACGUCAAAUUACGUGAAUGCCCUUCGAAAGGCCUCUUUAAAUACACAUAACAGCGGUCGAAUCAAACACACUUCCUAGUUUUCGUAAACUUUCUACUCUCUAAAAUUAAUCCCCGAAACCACCCACCCACCUAAUUAAUACUUGAUAAUUAAAUAAUUAAUCGUUUAGUUUUUCAAAAUUAAUAAUUAAGGUUAAUUUACUAAUUAAUCGUUUAGUUAUGAUUCCGACGGCAAUGACAAGCAGAUCCCGUCGGGCGGUGAUGGCGAUGAUGAUGACGAUUGUGAUGCCUCGUUUCACCCUUUCUUGCUGGAUAGUGCACGCUCGCGGAAGAGACCUACUGAGAGAGGUGCAACCGCUCUAUUUGGUUCUGGAGCGGGUAUUAGAUCAUCUCGUGGGUCGCAGGGCUCGUCUACUAUGGGCCUUAGACGUGGGAGAGGAGCACGUUCUGCAGUGGUCCACUCUAGCAGCACCGUUGUACCAGUGUGAUGGAUGGGACGAGUUCGUUGACCGGGCGAGGGAAUACUACGAGGUCGUUGAGAGCAUGCGAGGGUUGAGUCUCAGUAUGCUUCGUAGCGGCUCGUUUUCCAUUGUACUACUAUAUUGUACUUUCAUUCAGAUAUUAUCGUAACUUGUACUUAUGUUGGGAUUGUAUUUUCGUAACGCUAACAAUAUCGUAACUAUUAGUUAUGUUGCACUAUGAUUGCGGGAAUUAUCUAGUGGACAUUCAUGUUUUUUUAACUUCUGUUAGUGGUUCAAUACAUCACUUCAUUCAUCCCAACAUUUGCAUCCUUAGUGAGUCAAGAGUUUUCAUAAAUAUAUAUUCAAUACAUAAUUCAAAUGCGUACAAAGAAACAUAGACACUGUAAGUCCCUUAAUCUGAAACAUCGAAUACAUCCUCAACUCCGAGGUUGGGGGAGUUCGGUUUAUGCACCACACGCCCCCAAGAUCGCGGAACAACUACAGUUCAUCCUUGUAUAUGUCAUGCCACAAUGCUGUGCGAGUCCCCCCCCCGCCCCUUCCCAAACCGGAUGGAAAGACGGCAUCGACCUGACCCCGUCCACCUCGGCCAACUGGAUCAAUCCUGGCCGUCGCCGUUGACUGCCGACGACGUAGUCGGGCUGUCGGCGUUGACCGCAGAAGCCGUUGUCGAGCGGUCGGCACACUGUCCAUAGUUUUAAUACCUCGGCGGCGGUACGGCGGCGGAGGGGUCCGACGGCGCCGAUGGUUUUUUAAUGUUCGUUUGAAUGAGAUGUGAAAGUUUUUUGAAUUUUCGCGUCUUACAAAGAAUUUCAUUCUACUAUUGAAGGGGCGUUCAUGUUAUUUUCAUUAUCGAACUUAAAUAUUGCGACAAAAAAAAGAUAAGUCAUGGGAGGAAAGGGGAAGAAACGUUAAAUGAAAAGAAAGAUGGACGAGAACCACAAAUAGGUGUGUUUCUUUGAAUUUCAAUCUAAUGGUUGUGACUAAAUGAGAUGCAAUCCACGUCUUCAAUUGAGAGCCAAUGAAAAAAAGUAUUUAGUUAAAUAAAAGAGUAAAUGUUGGCCAGCUGUAAUAUGCGCUUGAACAUUAAUUCUAAGAGCAGCAACACAUACAGCCGCGAUGAAAUGGAAAAGUUUAUGAGCGGGAAAACGGGCCACUGUUAGGAGUUGUUAAAAUAUUUUAAUUGCGAUUUGUGUGGCCGCUAUUAGAAUGCUGCUGUGAGGUGGGCUUCUUUUAGUGAAUGAACAUAUAAGAGAGACACAAUAAUGAUUUAACAGAUUCAUUAAAUGGAUAUAAUAAAAAAGAACUGGUCUAAUAAUAACAUAAAUGGUCAUAGCACCCAAUUAGAACCGAUAUUUCCUUUCAUUUAAGACUUUACUUAUGUGGAUUAUUUUAUAAUAUUAAAAUUUUAAUUUUUUAUAAAAUUAUAUCAAAAUUAUUUUCGUUAGAUUUGAAAGAUUAAAAUAAACAACAUUUAUGGAGUAAACAUUAUUUUUGAACAUUUUGUUAAUAAUUAGAGUGAUUGAAUUAAGAUUAGGAAGAAGGGAGAGAGGGAGAGAGAAAGUGACAUAAACUAAAAGAAAUAAAAAAAUAAAUAUUCAUUUCCCGUACAUUUUAGUUUUGAAAAGUUUUGCUGUAUAGAUACGAUUAAAUAAAAAAUUAUGUGAACAGUCAAGUUGAAAUUUAAAUUUCACAACAUGGCAAUUAUGAGAACAUAUAAUGUGCGUCGCACCCCAAAAUGUGUGACGCUUCUUAGGGUUGAUUCAACGGCUAUAUUAUAACGGUUGUUUCCCUCACCGUUAGAAUUUAGCCGUUGGAUCUCCCCUGGGAAGCGACGCGCAUCCUAUAGAGCGCCGUGCAUUGUAAGGGGGAGAUCCAACAGAUCUUUUCCCACCCUAUAUAAUCUGUGCAGUUUGGGUGAAACAACUCUCCUACCAAUUUCUAUAUUUCUACCAGUUUGGGGUGAAAGAACUCACCCCUCCUAUAAAAUGUCUUCAAGUCGUCAUUCUCACAACAUUAUGCACAAGUUACGCCGCCACAAUGAGUCAAAAGACUUGUUCAUCUAUAACAGAGAAGAAGUGAAAUGCGAUUGCGGGUUACGUGCAUCGAGAUUUAUGACGCCGAGGUUCGAGAAACCUAUUCGACGUUAUAAAAUAGUCACUAUGUAAGUACUAAUAAGUAAGGAAUCUAAAACACUAUGCAAUUAUUAUUAUUCUCUAACAUAAUACUAAACAAGUACUAAUAUUAUCUAACACUAGAUAAUUAUUAAUAUUAUCUAACUAGGAAAUUAUGAUAAUGGUACCUUCCUGAUUAUUGAAUAUAUCACCGACACGAUGUCGGUUGCAAUUUGCCCCAAAGUAGUUCUCCAUCUAUCGGCUCAGGCUCGACACACGGGGUGUUGGUCUAUAAAAGUAAUCCACCCUACAACAAAACAAAAUAUUAGUAUGCAACAAAAGUAAAAAAUUACAAAUUAAAAAAAAAAGAGAAUUACCGACUAGUUGGUUGCGGAACGUGUACUCGUUGUCGGUAUCGGAAACCUAAGGAAGGAAGGGAUGAGAAAGAGUGAGUUGGUGUGGAAUGAAGAGGAGGGGAUGGGGUAUUUAUAGAUCCGCUGGAGGCAUACUAUAGCAUGCCGCGCAUCCUAGGAUGCAACACGUGUUAUAGGGUGCCUCCAAUGGCUAUAUUGUAAUGAUCAUGUGGUAACACCUUAGGAAACUCUCAUAUCAACAAAGCACAUGAAAUAUGCAUGGGCUAUAAGUAACAAUCCGUCUCUAACUAACAACAUCCAUUUUCAAGGUGAAAUGGAGGAGUUCUUGUAAGAACUCUGAAGUUAAUCGUGCUCGGGUAGGAGCACUGUUGAAUGAGUGACCUCCUGGAAAGUCAUUGUUAUGCACCCGAAAGAAAAUUUGUGAGGACCUAGACCGUAAGUGGACAAUAUCUUGUCGAAAAGGUCGGGGUGUUACAAGUGGUAUUAGACCCUCUUCGUGUAUGGAAAACCUCAGCAAGGACGUUGAGUCCCAAGGGGGGGGGGGGGGGGUGUAAUGUAACACCUUAGGAAAAUCCCACAUCAACAAACCACGAGAGAGAUUCAUGGGCUAUAAGUAACAAUACGUCCCUAACUGACAAGACGCAUUUUCGAGGUGAAAUAGAGGAGUUCUUGUAAGAAGUCUGAUGUUAAUCAUGCGCAGUUGGGAGUACUGCAAAAUGGGUGACCUCCUAGGAAGUCACAAUUAUGCACUUAAAAGAAAAUCCGUGAGGAUGUAGACUUAAAACGGACAAUAUCUUGUAGGAAAAGGUCGGGGUGUUACACAUGUAACAACCGUUAUAAUAUAGUCGUUGGAUCAACCGUAGAACGCGUCGCGCAUCCUACGGUGCGUCGUGCGUUGUAGGGGGUCCUUAUGACCAUUUGGUGUAACUUAGGUUUCAACUUGAUGAUAUACAUAAUAUUUUAUUUAAUCGUGCCUAAAAAAACUUACUUUUAUUUUUUCGCCUACCAAUUUUAGCCACUCUUUUUACAUUCCAAACUACCCCAAUCAAUAAUAGCCAAGGAAUGAAAAUAUUUCAGAUUGUCAGUUAUAGGAUGUUCCCAUAGAAUCUGCCUCUCAGCUGAAUAGACGAGUUGUCAAUUUAUAGAUACAGCAAAAGUUGAGAGAUGUGUACAAUGGUUUUUUUGAGAGGCAUUUCCUAAUACAUGUCACAAGAGAAACAAGUAACUUGAGUAGUUAAUAUGCUUCGCAUCCUCAAUCUUGAUGACUAAAGUUAGCUACUUAUCUAGAAACGUCUAGAAAGGUCACCAACUAAAACUUCUCUAUAACUUGAUAAUAUCUCUAUAACACGAUCGUGGCGUGCAACAAGUCACGCCCGUGAUUGACAACCCAUCCACUACUCUCCUUAGUAUUCCAUAACUUGAACCAGUCAUUAAAUCAAAAAUCAGGGUGUCACACAAACACCUAAAAAAAUAAAAAACGAGAUAGUUAGGUUUACAGAAAAUCGAACAUGACAUAUCUGUAUAUACUACUAAAGACAUACUCUUCCAUCUACAAAAGUAACAAACAGAAACCAUGCCAAAUUUCCAAAAAUGCUAACAAACACAUAUCCAAACAUAAAAAGUUUUUUGAUGGAUUGUUUCUAUAAAAAGAUCCUUACUAAUUUUUAAUAUAUUGAUUAUGUUUUAUAAUAUUUAAUACUAAAUUUUUUUUUAGGAUUUUGCUCCUCAGUCAUCUAACUUACAUAAAAACCCUCAAUUUCUAACAUCUAACCUAAUUUUAACUUAACUUACUUGAUUGAGUAGGAAAUUCAAGUGCAGGAGUUUGAUGGAGGAGCACAAACGACCAACGACCGGCGGAAAGGAGAAAGAGGAAGGAUGGUUCGACACUACAACUUAUAAGGUUUAGUGUUUAGUGUUGUGAUUAGGAUUUCUAAUAGAGAUUUGUGGUUUCAAUUUAGGGGUUAUUAAUUAGGGUUCUUAGAAAUUUAGGGGUUAUUAGUGUUAGGGUUCUUAGAAUUGCUAGAGUGAUAAUAAUGCAUUGUGCAUGAGUUAUUCUAAAGAAAUUGAGCACACAUAGACUUGCAUUGGGAGGAUGUAAUUCAAGGUUGGUAUAUGUUGAAAUUUGGGGCUUUGUGUUUUGUGUUAAAUUUGGGAAAUCUUGUUUAGGUGAUUUGAAAAGGAAGUUUGUCUAAAUUCAUCCUUCAAACUUUGAUUUUCUUCUACUUAGAGGUUGGUAGUCCUUAAACCAUGUAUGGAAAUGUGUUAAUGUGGUGUGCUUAGAGAUAAGUUUGCUUUAAAAUUUAGUAUAAUGCUUUACUAAUUAACUUAUCUGUUAUAAUUGUGUAAUUGAUAUCUAAACUAGAAUUUGGUAGCUUGAUAAUGUAAUGUGCUUAGCAAUGAGUUUGCUUACAAACGUAGUAGUAUGUGGUGUGCUUGAUUAGAAAUGAGUUUUCUUUAUGCAUACAUUUUAUCUAUAGUCAUUAGUUUUUUAUUGUAUUAUAUGAAUUCAGUCAUGGCAGACGUUAUGGGAGGUAGUAGUGCCAGAGCGAAUGGAGGUAAUGAUGAUCACGAGCGUGAAACGGAGAAGGAGGCUUCAGAGUGGUAUGUGUGUUGCAUGUACGACAUGUAUACUUGCUCUCUAAACUAUUUUACAUCUAAACUAUUUUCCAUCUAAUGUAUUAUGUAUAUGUGUGUGUUUUUAAAAUGAUGUAUUGAUUGUUUCAAUGAAGAUGGUAACCCAUCUAAGGAAACGUGGACAGUUAAAGAGUGGAGAAAUGUUGGGCAGGAUGGGAGGAGGAUUUUCAUCGAGUUGGAUGUGGUUUGAGUGCCUUACAAAUGAUCGGGCCAGUACCUACGAUAGGUGCUUGAGAAGAUCAUCAAACUGGAAUGCUUCCCAUUCAGCCACGACAAUUAGCGAUAUGUGAGCAAUUUGGAAACGGCAUAUUGUAGGUAGCAACUCAUACUGGUAAAUAGAGUAUUUUGUAUCUCUUAUUUAGGAUGUAGGGUAAGUUCUAUAUCAUAAUUGGAGUAUUUUCUAUUCUUAAUAAUGGCUUGUUGUAAAUUCUAUAUCGUUGUAGCCUAAGUUCUAUUGGAGGCCCGAGGAUGAUAAAGAUAUAUGCAAAUAUAUCUCCCAAGAUCUAGGGAAGAAUUGGAGAGAGCACCAAAGGGUGGUUUGGAAAAAAAUCCGUGACCCAAAAAACCCUAGGAGUGUAGCUGAGUAUGUAGCAGCGAAACCUAAUCCCAAUUAUGAAAUCCACAAUCGGGAUAGGUUUUUGAAGUACAAGACGAUAACGAAAGGAGUGAAGAGAUCAACAACUAAUAAAAACAACAGAAAGAAACAGUCAGUUUAUCAAGCAACGGGAUCGAAGCCAUUCAACAUAACGCAACAACAGUUGGUAUGGGAGACCUCUUCCUAGAUUAGCAAGUUAAUUAGUUUCUAAAUUUUAAAGCUAAAAUUCAUGUGUACACGGUUUCAUACGACAAAAAAAAAGAGCCAAUUAGUAGGGGAGAUCUCUUCAUAGAAACUCCCAAGCCGGGUAGGAAGAAAACUUUGUAAGUAUUCCUAGACUUUGUACAAACUUUUUAUGUUCUUUCUAUAUAUAUGCAUUGUGGAAGUACAUUCUUAAUCAUGUAUGUUUCUUUCUUUGUGCAUGCAGAAACAAGUGGAAAGGAAUAUCAAUGAUCCAAUAAUUGAUAAUUCUCAUAUUGGCCAGAAUGAUGCUGUGCCACCCCAAUUUCGGGUUAGUGUCUGACUCAGGAUUUAAUUACGGUUUUUGUAAGUCUCUAUGAUUAGAUGUCAGAUAGUCCAUCAUGGGCGUGAUAGACAGUCUGUCACAGGCGUGAUCAUCAAGUAGAUCACGGUCAUGGUUAGUGAAAGUCACGUUUGUGCCUGAGAGAAGGAUCACGGUCAUGACCAUCAGUAGGCCACGGGCGUGGUGGACAGCUUAUAAAAAUAGAGUCGCAAUUCUAGAGUUCAAAAUUAUAGAAACCUAAUUUCUUUUGCAAUCACUAACGAGCGGCGAUUAGUUCCAGGCAAGGGAGGGGAACUUGUUGAUCGAUCCCAUAUCAGCAAAAGAAAGUUAGACAUCGUCAAAGAAGCUUCAGAAGGUAAUCUACCUUCUUCCUCCUUUCUCAAUCCUUUAUUUUGAAUCCUACGUAGGAAAGUCCUGACGGGUUUGGAUUUGGGGUUUUGGGAUUUCAAUCCUACGUUUGAUCUCAUCCGAUCAUACAGAUCAGGCAAUCAAACUCUAAGGAGACAUCUUUAGAUCUGACUCUUAAGAGGAAAGAUUUCGGAGGUAGGGGUUAGGAUAAUUAUGUGCGUUAGGAAUCAUUGCUUGAAUUUUCAGGACUGUACACUAGUGUACAAUCUACUAUACACAUGAUUAUGAUAUGCAGUUGAGUAUUUUAGGUUGUGCAAUAGCGUGUGAUCUACUCACAGAUAGUAGUUCAUCUUGAGCCUAAGCUCACAACAAGGAAUGUGCGUGUGAUUCACAGUUCAUGAUUCAGAUAAGAAUCAGGACUAGAUAGAUUAGCUCCCAUUAUACGUCGGUCACCCACCCCAUGGAUUUUGCGAUCCCCCAGGUUACAGUCAGACUUCAGAUAGACGUGACGAGCAAGCCUUGAGUUGCUCUCAUAGUAUUACAAGGUGAUUUCAUGGACUGAUCCACCGUGAAGUUUUCCACUCAUAGCUAGGGGUGGCUAACGUUAGGAUGAUGCCUACAGGUCCAAAUGGUCACAUUACUAUAUACUAGUUUAGUUCUUCACCUUUAGGCUUAGCUACUUAGUGUUUAUCGAUGACCCCCGUUACGUUUCUUCACACAUGACCAACCUUGGGACUUCAUGAGCCAUUGCUGCCUAUGAAGGGAGCACGGGCAGCGACACCACCUUUGAGUGACUAUGAGAGUUGCAAAGAGAGGUACCAUGGAGGACCUGAGCUAUCUCUUUCAUUGUUUUUACAGUUUCAGACAGUCUUUCAUGUUUUUCAGUUAUUUUGAAACUCUUAUUUACAGUGGUGGUUUCCAUGUUUGGGAUGUUUUUCGAGUGAUGUUUUGUUGAUGAUUUCGAGCAUUUGAUGCUCUGUUUAUAUCCGCUGUCAUUUCACUUAUGUAUUGAGGAUAUUUCAUAUUAGUUAUUAUAUGUCAAUUAUCAUGUUUAUGUGUUGAGUAAACCUAUGAGCAUUGCAUGGAUCAAACCGCAUGGUUCGAUUGGGUCGUCUCGGGGCGGACUUCAUAGAUGCUGUGGGGAGAUGCUAUAAAGGAAAAGAGAAGCCGUGACGAGUGCCCUAUGUGGGAUUUUCCAAGAAGCCUUCGGUGGUAAGUUUACUAAAACCAUAUAUGUAUGUAGUUAGAAGAAAAAUGCAGUCUAGUGAACUUGACAUGGUUUCUUAGUUGUGUUAGUGAACAUGUUAUGUGAUUGUUAGCCUAUUUGUGACGUUGGCAUGGUUUUCAUUUGCUAAUUUUGCAGUUGGAAGAGUAUGUGCUAGUAUUAUAUACAGAUAUGUCAUGUCCAAUUUUCUGUAAAAUUAAUUAUCUUGUGCUCAUUUUUAAGGUGUUUGGUUCGAGUUCAAGGAACACCAAAGUACUUUCCGUCCUAGAGUUCAAGUCGAGGACCUAGUCAUGCGACUAUUUGCAAAACUUAUGCUUUCGGGCUAUUUGCAAAACUUAAUCUAGGCUUUUUGCAUCAUUUAUCGUUGUUGAAUUUCAUCGAACACCUGUAGUGUGUUCUGCUUGGGUGAAGAAUAGCUCGAGAGAGGAGUCUUUGGUCAAGCAGAAUAGAUCCUUUUAUUCAUGGGAGCAGUCUAAGGUUAUGUGAGAAAAUUCCAAGCCAUUAUAACUUGUUUUAUUGAGAUUGCAUAUCAUUCAUUCUUUCAUACAUUGCUACAUUGCUCGCUUUUCUGGAUUGCAUAUCAUUCUUUAUAUGUUUUAAUUAGUUCUUAGUUUAUAAUUGGUUGCAUUGACAUUUAAAACAAAUAAACCUAAAUUGUUACUUGGUCUAGUUAGUAAAUUAAAGUUGAGUAAUAGAGUUAGGAAGACUCUAGGGAAAAUAUGAUUCCAUUAGUUGAUUCUAGUGGGUAUUUGGUGCAGGGUGAAAUUAGCUUAUCAAAUUUGCGUCUUUGUCGGGGAGGUUUUCAAAUUCUAGGAAAGACAUAGAUUGUUAGCUUUUUCUUCACUUUUCUUUUCAUAUAUUUACUCCCACAUCGUUUACUGGGAUUGUUUGCUUUGAAUUUCAUUAUGCAGGAUUACAACUAGGAUGGAAGUGGCAAGGUUUACGAAGCUACUACCAAACUAAUAAUGGAGGAGAGCAACAAAAAUGGAGCAACUUUGGGCAUGGACCAGAGUCAUAUUGAAUUGAGGACCAAUAUUCUCCACCUUUGUUCCAAGACUCAUCAACAACAUACUACCACCAAAGCUUCAAUGAAGACUGACCAUCCUUUCAUAAUCAAUAUGCAAGUUCUGAUUCAUAUCUACCUCCGCCUCCUGAGAAUACAUAUAAAGAUAUGCUUUUGGAGAAAUUUCUUGCACAAAUGGAUAAGAAUAAUGAAUAGAUGAAGUUUUCUGACCAUAUGGUACAACAAAGAGAGAAAUUUGUCUAUCAACAAAGUGAAGUCUCAAAGAUGACCUGUGAAUUCUUACCACGACUAAUUAAAGAAGAAUAUUCCACAAGUAGAGGUUGAUUACGAAGAUGAAUAUGAUUUGGGAGUAUCAGUUGAAGUAGUAGAUGAAGUGAAGGAAGAUUUACCUUUAUUUGAGGAUGAUCUAGUUGUUCAGGAUGGCAAGUUAGAAGAGUUUGAAAGAGAGAAAGUAUGUUUCCUUCAUAACAACCAAAAUUUCUAUGAUAGGAAGUUUAGAAAAAUUUGAAGAGGAGGAUGAUGAAGAGUUUGUGGAAGAGAUAUGAGAAGAUGUAGAGCCUCUCCAUAAUGAAAUUCAAGAUACCAUUGAGCACUCCAUCAUUUGGCGCUUCCCUCUAAUUGUGGUCCCACCAAGAGAAACUGAGAGCAUUAUUGAUUCUUGUUUGAUUAUGAAGUACUUAUGUCAGGAAAUUUACAAUAAGUGCUUCACACAUAAGAUUAGAAAGUCGUUGUCCUAGAACUAGAUCUACAUUCCCCAGAGGACUUCUCAAGCUACACCAUUGGGUCAUGGAUAGGUGUCAACACAACAUACUACCUCUUCCCUCCACAUUUAGUGGUGGUCAAGAAGAGAAUGCCACUUCAAGCCAUGAACUAGAACUUACAACCACUUCACCGGCUUCUUCAUCAAUUUUUAAGGGUGCUACUUGGCAUUCAACUGCAAUCCUUGGAGAAACUAAUGGAAUUUUAAGGAAGAUCUAAGUUGGACGGUGAUGAAUGCUUUUUACGCAUCUCAAAAUAAUCUGAUUAAUAAAUUAACCAAAGUCAAAUCUCCAUAGGGUCUCUUUAAGUAUCUUACUAAAAGUUGCAACAAGUAUCAAUCGAUCUAAUAAGACAUAUGGUUGAGGUGCCAUGAGAACCAAUCAAACAAUCAAAUUGAAAAAUGAUAACUGCUUUGAAAGUAAGGUUUGUAAGACUGCACGAAUAUGGUUUAGACAAUCAAAGAUGAAGCUGCUUAGAUUUCAAAUCCCCCAAGGCAAUUCAAAUUCACAAAUGACAGCCAAAUUUCACGAAUUAAAACAAAUAAGAUAAAUUCAAAAGAUAAUCACAAUUAUUCUCUACUCAAAUCACGCCCUUUAAGGUCCACUAAUUUGCUACCUAUCUAGUAUCCUAGUCCGCUCUUUUGAGACAAAGAUCUGAAACAUGUCUAGCGAUUAAUCGAAUAAGAAUUGCUCACACAACAGACUAGUUCAUUUGCUCCCGGAUGAGGGUUAUCGUCUAACCUAGUUGUUUUGAUUUUGACUUUCUAGAUAUACAAGCUCUCACGAGUCUAAGAAAAAUCUAAAAAAAAUUCAUUCAAGUUGAUUAGGCAAGAACAUAUCGAAAACGAAAUCAGACAUAUACAGAAAUUCAUCCAACUUGCAUAAAUCGACAAACGUCAUCAAAUCAUUCGUUCAUAAGAAUUAACCUAGGGUUCAUCUAAUCUAAGCAAGAGAAGUUUAACAGCUCAUAAUCUUGAUGGAAAAAUCAAAAUCAGAAGCAGAAGACAUUGAUUCUAGGUUUACACGAAGAAUUAUGAAAACCUUACUUCGCCAAUUUUGAGCUCCUUAAAGUUGCUUCUAAGUCGCUCUUAAAUCUCUCACUAUAGCUCUCAAUUUCAUCCGGGGAAGUAGUUUUUGAAUGAGGGGUGAAAUGCCUUUAAAUAGAAGCAAAAAUUAUUGUUCCUAUCGGCCGUCACACUAUGCACCUUAACUGGUAUGUUUUAGGCGCAUAGUGUGAAAAACUUCCAGAGAAUCCAUGCGCCCAGCCAUCACACAAUGCGCCUAAACUUAGGCGCAUAGUGUGAAAGUUUUAGGCGUAUAGUGUGACAAACUUCCAGGACUAGAGUUGUAGGAAAUUGAACAAGCCUUCCAACGCCGCCAGCCUUGCACCAAUCAGACUUCUGAGCUAGGAUAUAUGGCCAAAAUACAAAAUUGCGAUGUUUUCCAACCAAGUUAAGAUCCACACUCCUUGGCGAUAUAGAAAUGCACCCCAUUGCUUGUCUUAGAUCAUUCAUGCAUGCGGUAUCACUCCGAUUAAUGCCUCGAUGUCAUCAUGUACCUGAAAUCUAACAAAUGGACCUGGACAGGGUCCGAGAAAAUAAAUCGAGAUAAAAGCUUAAAAAGCAUAAAAUAUCCUAAACUUCUACCUAAAACAAUACAAUUAUGCAUGAAAUAUCACUUGAAAAUGAGGGUGAUAAAUGUGAAAAAUCUAGCGUCAUCAAAUAACCCCACACUUAAACUUUGCUUGUCCUCAAGGAAAAAGCUUAUAAAAGCCAUAGAACACACCUACAAUCAAAUCAAAUCAACUACUAGCAUAGCAAAGAAAAUUCAUAUUCCUCAAAGCAUCCCUAACACUUGCUUGACAAACAAGUGAACAUUUAAAAAAAAUGAAAUAGGUAGUAAAGGCUUCACAACAAAUUAUCCAACUUGCCAUACAUCAUCAUGACAUGUUAUACCACCCAUCUAGACUUACUCUCAGCGGAAUUUCAGCUCAAAUAUGAAUCCAAUAAUGAACUCACUCAAAGUGUAUAAGGAGAUUGUUUAUGCACUCAUCAUCAACUCUGAGGUGCGCUUCGAACACUUGCACAUCAUCCUACUUUUACUCAUCACAUCAAGGGACAUCAAGCACUAGUCAAGAGGUCUUUUAUUCAGGUUGUAAUGUGGAAAGAAAAAAAAGAAGAGAAGGUGAAAUGGAAAAGCUGUGAGAAAUCGGAGGGGCAAGAUGCAUGAUUCAUUAAGUCUGUGCUUGACGUUGACACUAACUCUUGAAAAGACACAAAACACACACAAACCAAAAAUAAAAGUAAAAAUGAACCAGGACAAGUGUCCAAAUCCCACACGUAACAAAAUGGAUUUAUGAUUGGAAAAGAAAGAAAAUAAAAAGCUUAAAGUAGAACGAUUAACACUUAAACAUGCGAUUUGACUCAAAUAAAAUGAAAAUACUGGCUCCGGACAUGAGCUACCUCUCAUGAAGCGCUCUUUCUUUAACGUCUUUGAGCUAUACAAAACCUGGAUGAUUAAGUUGGGGCAACCCAACUCAGAACUUAUUUAAGGCUAGCAUCGUUGGUUUUGACAUACAGCUUAUCCGAUCCACUCUGAAGUAGCCACUUCCACUUACCACCAUAAAGAAGCUCCAUUACACCAUCAUCUAUGACGCCGAUAACUUCAAACAGUCUGAACAACUCAUUCUUAUCUACUUUAUCAUCAAGGGGCUUGAUCGGCUGCUUCGUCUCUUUCAAUUUAGGCUUCCCCUUUUUGUUGGUGGACACCAUCUCUCGAUUAACCUACUUCUUUGGGAUCAAUUUCUGCUCUAAAGAUGGGUUGAUAGGUAAAGCAUAAUCAAGAGUGACAACAUGCACUUGCGCAAGGUGUUUUUCCUAUGAUUUAAACUUAGAGGAUGCAAUCAUACUCGAGGUGGAACUAGGUAUCUGAAGGAAAAUCCUCUCUUCUCCCAACCUCAAAGUCAUCCGUCCUGCCUACACAUCUAUAAUGGUACCAACAGUGGCUAAAACAGUCGACCAAGGAUGAGAGGAGUUUGAUUGUCCUCUCUGAUAUCCCUUACCACAAAAUGAACCAGAUAAUAGGUAUCAUACAGAUUCACUAGCACAUUCUCUACCAUCCCUAGAGGACACUUAAUAGACCUAUCAUCGAAUUGGACAUUCAUAUCGAUAGGCAUUAAACUAGAAAGUCCUAAGCGCUUAAACAAGGGAUAUGGAAUGAUAUUUAAAUGGCUUGAAAAGAAAUAACACUAAGAAUCAAUAAAUAUUUUCCAUUUCCAAUCCUCUCACCAAAAGCUUCUUUGAGCGACGAGUGUGUGGUGCAUAAAACACAGCUCUGUUUGCAACAUUCUUCUCAGCUUUUGGUUGCACAUAUGAACAACCAAUUAUAAGAAGAUGUACAUAAUACAAAGAAAAUCUAAAUAUUUCAUUUGCUUACUAAAACAUCAUGUCUCAACUUGUAGUCCACAAAUUGCGUUCAUAUCUGUUGAGGAAUCUACUCAGGCUUGGCUGUAAUACAAGCUGCUCUAAAAGCUUGUGCAGAGAGUGGUUUUGGGAUGUGUUUAUUUUUCAGCACCUGGUCUUUCCAUAUCCGAACUCGAUAGUCUCUCCAUUUCUUCACAAUGUCAUCCAUGAUAUACAUUUUAGCCGCUUCAAAUGUUGUAUCUGAUUCAAUUAUGAUCCGGUUCGGCAAUUAAACACAAAUUUAAGUUAGUAAAAAGUGUAAUGUAAAUGACAAAUUCAUAAAAAAACUAUUACUUACCAUAACCUUCGCUAGUGCUACUUCCUUCUGUGUCACACACAUGGCCAUCCAUCAUAGUACACGAGAAUAAUGUGUUGAUCCGUUACAAUCAUCCCACGAAACUGAAGAAAAAGACCAGCAACAUCCGUCGCGUGGGGCAAACCACCUUGAAAUGGAAUGAUGACCUUCAUUCCAACAUCAAGGGAGAGCAUCCGCGCGCUAUCAAUAAACCUCCUCUCCCUGCCAUCCUCAGGAGUAAUUACUUCAACAUCCCAAGUCUUCCAGUUUUCUGCCAUCCUAUCUGGAAAAAUAAUUAACAAGUAAUGUAUACAAUAAUAUGAUACAAAUACACAUGAAUAUGCAUUAUAUCAUUACAACAACCCAUUAUAAAAUACAAUCCUCAAACUCUGAAAUAACACCAACGCUACAUAAUGAAAAAGAACUGGAAUCAAAAGACAAAAAGUCUUGCGUUUCAAAAACCUCGACUUCAGACAUAGUACUCCCUUAUCUAUCACGUAUAUCAUAUUAAUAUCUUGGUUUCAUAUGUACUGGGAUGCACCAUCCAUUGUGUCCUUUAUCUUGGACAUAAUAUACCAUUUUGCCUCGUUUGCUUCAAUAAAUGGCUCAUUGCCUGCAUGUUCGCCAGUGUACAGAAUGUGUGAGAAGUUAAUGGAAGUUAAGCCAAACACAUCUUUCUUCGCAAAUCUAGAAUUCUGAGUGUUGGCCCAUUGACACUUGAAUAACACUACAUAAAAUUCUUCAUAGUAAUUUAGCUCCAUAAUAUCAACCAACUUGCCAUAAUAUGACAUUUCUCCUGCUACAGGUCGAUUAUCCACCGAACAUGCAUAGCAUUGGGUUCCAUAGUUUCCAAACACACCACUAUUUUGAGUCUUUUAUAACUUUUCUUGUGUAAGUGUUCGAAAUCGAUAACCAUUAACAUCAUAAGCACUAGAUUCCACAAAUUGAUUAGGAUUCUAAUCGAAUCAUUUUAACCGCUAGCCUACAGCUUAUCUCAUGAACCAAUUCCGACUAGUAUCCUUAAAUCACAAUCUAGCAGCCAAUUUAUCUAAGUAAUCUACUAGGUACUGAUAAGUCAAUCAGUUUUAAAAAUAAUUUGACUAAAAAACUAAUACUUAAAGUAGGUGAUAACUAACAAAUGGAAUAAUAGUAAUAAUAAUAUUCAUAAUAAUACCAAUAGUUCUUCCAAACAAUUUAUUGUUAGGAUUGGGGUGUAACAGACUUCACAAAGUUCUUUCCUUUUUUUUGUUCAAGUCGAGGACCCGGUCGUGCGAUAGUUUGCAAAACUUAUACUUGCGGAGUUUGAGAAGCCGAGUGGUACUCUCUCCCCCACUUUGUAGGAGAUGGCUAAAGUGUUGAAGCUUCUAGAAUUGUACCGAGAUCAUCCUGAUUUGUACCUCAGUCAUCAAGAUCAUCGAUAACUUACAGAGGAAAGCGUUAUCCAAAUAGUAGCCCACCCACUGAGAAGGAGGAGGAUGAUGAUGAUGAUGAAGACGAGUAGCCCAAUAGAUCGAUUGGUGGCUAUAUCAUGUAGGUACUGUUCAAUUGACAAACCUAUGCUAUGUUAUUAGUUUUUUCCUUUCAAAUGAUGUAGUUAUGGUUAAAUUUGGAUGAUAUAAAACUAUGUUUGUUAUUUCUACGUCUUUAUUAUCAAUUUUCCCAAACAAGAAAUCUCCACUACGUUUUAGGACUGAAUGUACUAAAAAUAUAGCUGUUGUAGUUUGUAACCACUGUUAAUUUAACCAAUAAGGGUUAAAUGCGUAUUUUAAUUUCUUAAAUAUUUUUGGGAUAUUAUAAGUGAAAGCAUCCUUCAUUCGGUGAUUAAAAACUAAACUGAAAUAACUUUACCAAUAAGGUUCGAAAUCCCAAUCAUAACACAACAAAAGGAGAUGCAACUCUAGUUCUGAAAUACAUCGAAAACAUAUAUCAUCUAGUAUCAAAACCCCGAACAGCUCUCUCCCCACCAUCAACUCGAGUACAUGUGUCUGAAAAUACACAGAUACACCAAGGAAACUAAUAUCUAAUGGGGUCUGUGAUAAGCACACGAGUGGCUAUCUAGAUUCACGUAGAACUGAGACUGAAACUCAACAAUGAUGAGAGUGAACUGAGGAUAGAACAUAGGACUCUAUCUAAACAUACAUCUAGUAAAGUGACUAUGUGGUCCCGAUAUGAAUCUACCUACCAUCAACAACCCCUAACUGUGUGUGAAUGGGCUCAUGGUGGAUCCGACCAUGAAACCUCCCUAAAAUAUCGCGUGAGUAACAUCAGUAGGCGUACUCAACAUGUCCUUCCUGAGCCUGAUUAUAACCUGGGCGGUUGCGCAAUCCAAGGGUGGGUGACUAAUGCAUCAUAAUCAUGAACUAGUAUAUAUAUGCCUAUCUUGUCCUAUCAUGAAAUGUGAAUCAAUUGCCACAGUUCGAACGCCAAGAGCUUAUGCUCAAAAUUUAAUUAAUGUAUAGUAGAUCAAACACUACUAUACAGUUCUGAGAGCCCUCGCAUCAAAUCACACUGGGAAUCCAAUCAUUAGAUUUCUGCAAUCUAUUACAGUUCUACGCUUAUAAGGAGAAAAGUAACCCUAAACCCCCACCUCUAAUUAGCUUUCCCAGUUGAGUCUGAUCUGAAGCUGCCUUCCCAGAGCUCAAGCCUCCCGUCCUGAUUUACCUAAAGAGAUCAAUCAUAGGAUUGACAUCCCAAAAUCCUGGCUGUCAAGUUUUCCUACGUGGGUUUCAAACUAUAGAAUUAAGAGAGAAAGAAGAAGAUUGAUUACCUUCCCAUGCGUCCCCUAGCCUCUCUUACCCUCUAUCCUUGAUCCUGGCUGAUCAGCUCUAUCUUCUCCUCUUUCAUCGAUCGCCUUCAUCUCCUGGGAGAGACUCGCCGCCCGUAGGUUUCUUUUUGUUUUUGAAUUCUGAGUUGCAUGUCGUGAUUUUGGCUUUUAUAAUAACUCCACCAUGCCCAUGAUGAACUUACCACAACACCUAUGACUGCUUGACAGCUACGCCCGCAACCUAGUGAUGGUCACAACUAUGAUCUCCUGAUGAUCACGCCCUUAACUGACUGCUAACUAGGGUGAUGGUCUAUCUAGCAAAUAUAUCAUGUGACAGACUGACGGUCAUGCCCGUGAUUGUCCACUUGUCUAACCACAACUCAGCUUAUUAAACCCUGAAAUUAGGUUGGGGGUUAGGAUUACUUUUCUGUUUUAAACGUAGAACUAUACUAGGUUUUCAGGUAUUCAAUGAUUGGAUCUCAUUAUGUUUCAUAGCAAGGGAUCUCAAGACUGUAUAGUAGCGUGUGAUCUACUGCACAGGUGUUGUGAUGUGAUUAGAGCGAGGACUCUAGCGCUGUACAAUAGUGUGAUCUACUGUACAUGCAGUUAUUAAAUUUUGAGCAUAAGUUCAUAGCAUUUGAACUGUUACGUGCAAUUCACAGUUCAUGUUAGGACAUGAUUAGGCUUAGCUAAAUUAGCUCCCGAUUAUGAUUUGUUGGUCACCCACCCAUGAAUUGCGCAAUCCUUUAGGUUAUAAUAAGGUUCAGACAGGACGUGUUGAAUAUGCAUAUAGAUGUUGGUCGCAUGAUAUUUAGGGUGGUUUCAUGGUCUGAUCCACCAUGAGGUUGUCCGCUCACAGCUAGGGGUGGCUGAUGUUAGGUUGGUGCCUAUAAGACCACAGGGUUUACUAGAUAUCUUCAGUUCGACAGACGCGUCAUGAACCUCAAAGCGACCAGUGCUCAUAGUAGCUCAAUAUUGAAUAAUUUGGGCAGAUGCUUCUAUUCGGUGUUAGGCGUAUGUAAGUUGUGCUUCUAACGGAGGAGUUAGCCAUGGGCUUGGAGGAAAUUACAUCAAAGGCGUGAUGGAUAGACCACUAUGAGCGUGGCUAAUAGUGGGUAACUUCUGUGACAUAGUAACGACCACAUGCAUGAUUAGUCAUUGGCCACGGGCAUAAGGGGAUGUGUACCACAUGUGUGGUCAUAUGUACACCAAAGGUGUGGUGAUGUUAGUAACGGGCGUGGUCAGAUGUAUACCACGAGCAUAACCGAGGAUACAGCACUGGCGUGGCAUGUCUGCCAGAGUGAGUGCCACAAAUACCUUCGUAAACCUCUUCGAGUAUGUGUCGGGCCCCUUUUGCGUUCACACACCGGAAAAGGGUAAUACCAUGGUUUCGUUUGUAGAGGGUGGACCAAUUGAUAUAGAAUUCUAGGGCGAGUCUCUCUUAUGUCUUUUUGAAGUUUUUGUUAUACUCCUGGUGGGUAUUCCUUGCUUUGUAUAUAAGUUUUUAUGUCAUGGUACCAAGGUUUAUCGUCCGACUCUUCUUUCACGUUAGCACGUGAGAGGGAUCAUCUUAUGUUUUAUCUGAAUUUGAGGAAUGGAGUCAAGCUUUCACAAUGCGUAUAUCGAGGAUAGGAUAGCCAGAGCAUCAACGAUAUGUUUGUGGUAAGGGAUAAUCUUUCGGAUGUGUUCCAACUUGGUGUUAUUGAAGCUUUCCAUCAUUUUCAUGAUGAGUUUAUGGUAAGGGAAAAGAUUUUCGUUUCUUGUCUCCCACUCUCCUCUUAGUUUGUAGAUGACGAGUGAAGAAUCUAUGUAUACCUUCAAGUUCUUAAUCCCCAUCUUUAUGGAUGAUCGGAUACCAAGCGAGCAUGCCUCGUACUUUUUUUUAUAAAAACAUGCCUCGUACUCAGAGACGUUGUUGGUGCAAUAAAAGGUCAAAUUAGUUGUAAUGGGGUACAUUUUCCCUUUAGGAGAUAGGAACACUACACCUAUACCGUAUCCAAAGGCAAUAGAUGCCUCGCCAAAUUUCAUAAUCCAAGGUCAUUCUUCACCCUCGAUGUCUUCGUCUUCAUCAUCAUUCAAAACAGUAUCGUCGGGGAAUUCCAAUACUAAUGGGUUUUAGUUUGAUAUAGGAUGGUCCGCCUAGGUUGUCAGCGAUCAGAUUUCCCUUGGUUUCUUUCUUUGUCGUAUACAGGAUGUCUUACUCGGUUAGUUAGACCGGCACUUUGCUAAACGACCAGUGAGAGUGGGCUUCUCAAAGAUGUGCUUCAUGGGGUCGACUUUUGAGACAAGGUAUGUGGUGUAGUACAACUUCUAGCGUCUCAACCUUUUAAUCAUUCAUGUUAAUGCUCCACAUUUCCUUUGUAGGUCCGAGUAUCGAGAUUCAUAGUCGGUGAACUUCUUGAUGGUAUAAUACAUGGUGUGUUCCUUCUUUCCUGAUAAGUCUCUUUCGGCUAGCAUAGGCCCUAGUGAGUUCUCAAACACCUUUAAGUAAAAAAGUAGCAUUCUCCCGGGUGUGGGAGGGACUAAUACCGUUGGGCUUUGGAAAGUAUUCCUUAAUAUUUUCAAAUGCCAACUGGCAAUUAUCAUUCCACUUUACUGGUUGGUUAUCUCUGAGAAGUUUGAGUAUAGGCUAGCACGUCGGGGUUAGAUGCGAGAUGAAGCAACCAAUGUAAUUUAAUCUUCCUAAGAACCCACGUGCUUAUUUCAGCGUUUGAGGCAGCGAAAUCUUGAUGAUGGAUUAUAUUGGGUCCACCUUAAUUUCUCUCUCGCUUACUAUGAAUAUGAGAAGUUUCCCUCACAUGAUCCUGAAGGUUCAUUUCUCAGGGUUCGGCCUUAGUUCUUGUUUCUUUAACCUUUUGAACAUUUUCAGGAGCACUUCUUUGUGAUCUUCAUAACUUUUGGACUUGGUGAUCAUUUCAUGACUUUAUGUAUCAUAUCAUGAAAACAGUGACAAUUCCCCUUCAAUAGGUACGUCGCCCUGAAAAUAUAGCUAAACGACCCCUAAAGUGUUGUAAAUGUUGUCUUUUCUCUAUCCUUGGGGCACAUCUUUAUCCAAUUGUAGCCGGAGAAGCCAUCAAUGAAUGACAACAUUUGGUGUCUUGCCGUAUUAUCUACUAGCAUGUCAAUGUGGGGUAGAGAAAAGUUAUCUUUUGGGCUUGCUCUAUUUAGAUCUUAAUAGUUGACACAUUUGCACCUUUCCAUUUAUUUGGGAGAUGAGUACUAUGUUAGCCACCCAUUCCAAAUAUCAAAAUACUUGGAUAAACCCGCCACAUACUGCUUCUGCACUUCCUCGUUGAUUUUGAGAAGCCACUCCAUUUUCAUGCUUCCAAGUUUUCGCUUCCCGUGUUUUCACCCCUCCAUGGUUGGCAAGCAAUGUGUAACAAUACUUUUGUCUAGACCCGGCAUAUUCUGGUAUCAUCAUGCAAAGAUCUCUUGAUAUUCUAUUAACAGCUCUAUUAGCUCCGCUAGAAAGCCUGCAGACUCCUUUCCUCUUAUUCCAAAAUCCAAUCUAUAUCUUACUGCAUCUCUUUCUCGUUCUCUUCUUCAUCCCCGAUUUCCAUUUCGCAAAUUGGGUUAUCAAAGUUAGUUUAGAUAUCAUGAUAAUAGUUAUUUCUCCUACCCGUAUCUGUUACCCAGUUAAAGUUUGCGUGGAGAAGUUAAUAAGAGGAUAAAGGAAUGCAGUUUUAACACUAAGUGAUGGAAAGAACAUGAUUUUUAUUUAGGGUGUUUUAUGUAGAACACUGAUUUUCAAGUAGAAACUCAAAUACAAACACACGAAGGGAAAUUCUUAAAUCAAAAUGCAUGAAGACUUUUAUUAUUUUAAAAUGUGCUCGUGUUUAUUACUUUCCAUGCGGCCCCGGGAGUUUGAUGGUCGUCCAGUUGUUCAGGUCUUCACCCAGUUGUAGCUGUCACAGAAGAUCCUAUUACUGAUCCUUGUCGAGAUCAAUUGUGUUGAUAUUGAAAUUAUAGAGAGCCAUCCUUGAGUCUUUUUAGGUGGAAGGAUCGCUCUUUGUCUGGUUAAUAACCCCAGCGCUAAAAAAGGUAUGGGAGAUGGGUGGGAAGGCCAUCACCCUCUUUCCUAAGCUCUGUUGGUGGGUCAUUUUUCCAUUGAUGAAUCUACCGUGAGUGGGUGUAUAUCCCAAUCCCUCUUGACCCUUAUUUUUCUUUAGUUGCACUGGUUCUUUCAAUAGAAUUCCCACUUUGAUGGGUCCAAAUGACGAGUGAGACAUUGGACCGCCAUAAGACUAACAUGGGAAAGUGAUAUUUGACCUUUCCAUAAUCAGGACCGUGCCUACUAACCCAUCUAUAGUUAGGACAGCGGCUACUAACCCAUCUAUUAUAUCCAUAGUAGUAUUAUAGUGAACAUGCACUUGACUCAAUAUUUUGAGCAGGGCCAGUCGGUGAGUCUUUGAAGAUGUUAUCAUAUCUAGCUGGGAGACUCAUGCGAGGGUUUUUUUAAGUUGUUUCAUGACUUCGUAUUCGAUGUGCUUCAUCAUACCCUUAAGAACUCAUGGGCGGUGUCGCGGAGGUCUCUCAUCCAAGAACACAUUCUGUUGGUGCUCUACCCUAUCCCGCUUGAGGAAGGGGGUUUGGCGCGCUGGCGUCACAAGGUUGUAGCACUUGGUGGAGUCGCCAUCGAUCAGAAGAACAUUUAGGGUGAAUGUAACAUCCUGCCCGUCCUUCCAAAUCAAUGUGGCUUGGGACACAAUUUUGACUUGAUCUAUGAAAUUGAGAAUUGUGGGUACGGGGUGAUGUUACGAUUUAUGGUUGUCGGGUUGACCCCAUGUUGACUGGUUUUUACUCGGUUUGACCGAUUAUUUACUCUUAUGUCGUGAUUGGUUGAUGAAAAUAAGGGAUUUAUGAAGUGUUAUCGAACGGAACAUUUAGGUCUUUUUAACAUGUCUUCUCAUGUUUUAUUAGGCUUUCAGGUAUCCGUUGGAUAGAAGACGACAAAAAUAAUCCAACGGGACCAAUCGGAGCUCAAUCGGAUGUCGGUCGAGGGAGAUACUAGCAAAAGAAAGAAAAUUACCCAGGCUGGAAUCAGGGCCACACGGCAUGUGGAGGCCAUGUGGGUGUGCUGACAAAUGAUAUUUAUGCCCAAUUUUGAGGAGAGAGGUGGCAUUCUUUGGCUUACACACAUUUUCAAUCAUCCACUACUCUCCCAAGAAUCCUAGUCCAAAAAGCACCAUCCAUCCACCAAUUAUUUGAGGCCAUUAAAGACCAUUUGGAGCUCUUGAAGAUCUAGGAUUGGAGAUCAAGCAUUGUUAGAGGUUGAAGCAAGGAUUUGCAUUCAUGAUCACCUCCUCCAUUCUUGUAGAUUAUGGUGAUUAUUGUAUUCCUUCCUCUUUGUUAGUUUCAUCAUGAGUGGCUAAGCGAUUAGAAUUGUUCGAUUAGAGUGUUUGUAAGUGCUAGGAUGAUCCCCUCAUGAUGAGGGGUUGGACAUGUUCGGAUUCUAGUUAUGAUUAUGGUUGUGCUUGGAUUAUGGAGCUAUUCAAUCUAUCUUACGCCAUGGCUUGAUUUAGGUCAAAUUAACUCUUUCCUUUGCUUAAUUGUGAAUGAAUUGAGUUAGAUUGUAAUCCAAGAUUCAAGCAAGGUGUAUGUGGAACAAGACACACCCCAAUUUAACCUUUAGUGCUUCUUUAGGGACAUUUCAUCGAACACUAGAGUGCAUUCUAUAAAUCAUCUAAGUAGUGACAAACUUGAGUGAUUGGGAUGUUUGGGGUGUCAAUUGGUGAUUAGCACCCAUUCCUAGGUGAUUGUGGUGUCCUUAAGGAUUUCUAAGUACCAACGUAUUUCAUCGAACACCUUCUGUUCACUACUAUUUUUGCUUGAUCUCUUGUGAAUUAGUAGUGGUAUUCCAUUGUAAGACUUUAUUCUGAAUUUCUUCACAUGCCUAGAGACUAAUCGUACCAUAAAUAGUGUCCAUUAUGUCUGAAGUCCUCUAAUGAGUCAAAUUUGAGUAUUUCCAACACUCGACGUCUAGCAACCUUACUCUCUUCGUUUGAUCUUUAUACUCUUUUGCAACAUUUAAUCUCUUUAAUCGCUUUGCAUACUUUGCAGUGAUUGGAUAGUAAACCUAGUUAGUAACUUAGAAAAACCCUUUUACAAACUUUCUUUGGCUUAAACCGUGAACGAAGUGUUGAGUAGAGAUUUGUGAACAGACCUCGUGGGAUACGACACUCGUGUCAGUUAGGAUUUGGGUUUCAUAGCCUCUGUUCUAUCCUAUCAAAUUUUUGACGCUGUUGCCGGGGAAUGUUCACACCUUUAAAAGACAGCAUUCACCCUCUCCAAUUUACUUCGUGCUCCCCUUGUUUUGGUAUAUCCCCCUGUCUGUGUAUUACUUUGGUUUGCUCGUUUUGGUGUGUAGGACUCUCUUGUACAUCCUCAUUGUAUACUAGACAUUUAAAUAUAAAUAGAUGUGCACCAAGGUGGCUCCUAGGGACUCCACCUCACCCUCUAUCACGCAUAGCGACUCCAUCCCGUUUUCCAUCAGUUGCAUCAUCAUCUACACUUCCAUCAAUCCUAGAAUCUUCUACACCAACAUCUUUACAGGCUUCACUAGUUGACUUGAGCUCCAAAGCAGAACUAGAGUCGUUGAGAACAUGUUCGAAAUGGCUCCACCACCACCUAGAACUCUUGAGGGAACUUCAUCAAGUGUCCUUCGUCCACGAGUCGACAACCGCCAAAAUUCCAAUACAUUCAAAUGGUGCAACAAAAUGUCUAUCAUGGCCAUGAAAAUGGAUGUCCGAGUAGCCCCCUUCGAAGCUUCUUAGAGAUUGUGGACCUCACGAAGUCCAACAAUGUCCCUCAAGAGGCCACCAACUUCGACUCUUUCUUUUCUCACUCCAAAGUUAGGUGAAUCAAUGGCUAGAUAACCAACCCAACAACACCUUGCAAACUUGGGACGAAUUGGCGAAGACUUUCUCGGAAGAGUUCUUCCCCCCUACAAGACGGAUGAGAUUAGGGGAAGGAUCUCUCACUUCCAACAAAUUAAUGGUGAGCCUUUCUUUGAAGCAUGGGAUCGAUUUCAAGACGGAUGAGAUUAGGGGAAGGAUCUCUCACUUCCAACAAAUUAAUGGUGAGCCUUUCUUUGAAGCAUGGGAUCGAUUUCAAGACGGAUGAGAUUAAGGGAAGGCUUUACCCAUGCCCUCACCAUAACUUUGGAGAGUGACAACUUGCGGAGACAUUUGCUAGAGGGCUUACUUAUGAGGAUACGAAGAUGAUCAACCAAGCGACGAAAGGAGAUUUAAGAUCAUUCCUCCUCGAGCGUUGCCUUCAAAUCUUCAGAAAGAUGACCGUGAUGACAAAGAGUUGGUCAAGGCCACAAUGUCUUAAAGACAUCAAAGCGAUGACCUGGGAUGCUUAUAUCUCCACCAACACUACUGCUCCCAAAACUCUCAAGGAUAUGCCCAAACUUUGAGAGAAGGAUGAAGAGCAACCAGGCCACUUAAUUGUAUCAAGGAUGGAUACAAUGGAUGCUCUGCUUUUUCCUUAGCUCAAGCAAUUGCCAAGCCUCAAGAAGUACAAGCACUUCUUCCCAAGCCGACAAUCAAGCCUCCUAUCGCACAAAUCUUUGUAUCCAAGAGUUGUGGCAGUGAAGGGCAUGAUGCUUCGACUUGCUAAUCUUUUGCUCCCAACUUUGCACUGAAAGAGGAUUGCAUUGAAGAAGUGGACUAUGUACAAGGAAGCUACCACAGAGGCAACCAAAGUGGAUCAACCACAGAAGGCGAACAAGAAAGAGAUCAACCACAGACAACAAGAAGAUGAUGCGGUGGUGAUGUUGAUGUCUGGUAGAACCUUCCAAUUAUGUAUUAUUCAAUUCAGUUGUUGAUGGUCAUCCGAGUAGUAUUUUUACUGAGCAAACAUACUGGGCAUUGGAGCUGGCUAUUGGCUAAUGUAGACGCAAGAAACAUUCUCUAAACCCUCAGCAAGUAAUGUAGACGUAGUCCCUUUCUCCAGUAUUUCUCUGUGUUUCAAUGAUGUAAGAAGUUAAAACUCUUAACAUUUUAAUACACCAGCCGCGUAAGAUAUUAUUUUCUAGUUAACCAAAGUCUGUAUAGAAUAUUACCUUAUAUUGAUAAGGAAACAUCCUAAAUUCUUACUAUUUAUUAAAUGAUUAAAAUACCUCAAUCAGAGAACUUUAAAAUAAAGAAAAUAAAAUAAUAAAAUAAAAAUCUUUAAAACAAGAGGAACUUAAGAAGAAUCUCGAACACUAAUUCUUACGAUUCACUCUCCUAUAAUAACUUUCAAAUAUCUUGGUGGGUGGUUCGGGGUCAGUCUUUCGUGCUCUAAUCUUAACAAUCAAUAAUUAUUAAAAGCGUUAGCCAACAUAUUAUACAAUUUCAUCUAAUCAUUUAGAGCUAUUUUCAUCUCUAGAACUAUUCCACCGUUAUUAAGGUUCUCUAACUUCUACUAACUUCUACUAACUUCAUACAUUUAGGAUAUCAUGAUCUGAAAUCAUUUACUAACUCAAAACUAACUAGUCUUAAUAUCCAUUUGACGGACUACUCUAAUGGCCCAAUAUUUAAUCGUAGGAGUCCCUAGUGGCCCAAUUAUAAGUAUUGGAUUUAUAUUGGUCUGAGACCAUAAGCUGCCAAUAUGGAUCAGAGGUCUAAUAAGAGAGGUAUAUAUUACUAGAUCAUCUAUUAAUCAUCUAGACUUAGAGUAGCUCUUGUUGUUCGCUAGUUAUCUAAUCACAUCAUACUCUAGUUUAAUCAUAUAGGCACGUCAUAUGAGCAUCAUAACUGAACAUAAGAAAAUAAGGACACAUAUAGAUUCAUAAGUACUAACUGAGUAACCAUAUUACAUAAAGUAGUCCUAUUUAUGUAAUCCUAUCAUAAGUAAGAGUUUAACACGAUAAGUACUUAAUCAUCAACAAGGAGUCUUUAAUCAUCAACAAGGAAUCAUCAACAAAGAAUCGUCAACAAGAAAUCAUCAACAACUAAUCAUCAUGAAAGAUUGAAACUAAAGUCAAUCAUGUUAGGUGCAUUAUGAAUCAUGGAAUUAUAGUUCUUGUAACUUGUCAUAUCAUCAACAUCAUUGAGGAAGUCAAUUUACAAGACUCUGAUUCAUGCACUAUCAUUGACAUUAUCUAAGGUAUCUUAUUCCUCGUGGGGCGUCCCCCAACUCAACCAACUAACCCACCGCCCUAGCGCGGAGGUCUGGGAGUACAUAUCCAUCAGACGGUAUCAUAAAUCAUAGAAGGAAAACUGUGACCGUAAAUCAUAGUGGGUAUAUGCCCAAAUCAUAGGGGCAACUGUGGCCCGAAACAUAAGGGGCGGUGGUCUAACUAGUAAGUUUCAUGUUUUAAAUCCACCUAUUACACAUCUAAGUGAAGUGUUCAUGUUUCUUAUCACUGGUUAUGUCUAAACUUAUCAUCGUCUAACAUUAAUAUUAGUCUAACCUUAUCAUAGUGUUAACAUUAUCAUUAGUCUAACCUUAUAGUUAUAUAGGAGGUAUAACUUGUACAACAUCAAAGUAAUAACAUGUCACAAAUAAACACUCAAGCAUGGAAUCAUGGCAUAAACUAAAAUGCAUCAAAUUAACUAACUUAAUCUACCCCCUUAAACCAACCCACCUCAUUGGCGAGCUGACGUCUCAGAAAUAUAUCCGAGAUGAUUCCCUUUGCUGCCACGAAACCACAACCUCAUACGGUGCUUCGUUCUGAGCUCAAACGACCAAGUUAUUCUCUGUUUACUUCUUUGCAACUUGUUGAAACUUGAACGGCAGAAUUUUCAUUUCCCUGUCUAACUUGGCAAACUUCAGAAUCAGUUCCCCAACUUCUGGUCCUUGCAGUUCACUCCAUAUCAUACAGAGAACUACAAUCCAGUCAUCCUAAUUUCCAGGAAGAACAGUUCAGUCUAACACCCCAACUUUACAGGUAUUGCAAAUUGGUCACUUAUCUUCCAUAAUUCGCUAGGUGAUCACUCUUCCCUAACCUCUGCAUCUGCGAUUACAGAGGAUGUCGCCGAUGACCCGAUUCAAUCCGUCGAGCUUUCCACGAAUCUUGGAAUCCGCUUCUUCUCCUCGCCUUUGACUCUACCGCCAGCCGCUUCGCAUGGGAGAGAAGGCUUCUCCCUCGAUCUAUCUUUGUCAGAUCGAUUCCUCCGCCAGACACCCAACAUCGGCUCUUGUUGAUGCUCAGACUCCAUCCAUCCUUGAUCCAAGGUGGUCGCCCGAUUGGUGGUUCGUUGCCGAUCCGACGAGGGAACGACACCAUCCCUCAUGGGCCCUCUCUCGUUCCAGUCGCCACCAAUGUCAGCCUCUCCCUCUCCUCUCACCGAUCGAUCUCAGGCCACCAAGGAAGCUCGCCAACAUCGCCUCCUGGAUUGCCUUCCCCAAACGAGAAGCCGACUUACCUGCGUGGUCACCAUCAACUCCUCUCGUCGGAUCUGCCACACUAGGGUUCCCUCCCAGCACGAAACACUCUCAAGCUUAAAUAGUUACAGAGGCUCACAUGUCGUUCGAUCCAUCCAACCGCCCAAUGCCCAUCACGUCAUCAUAAUUUCAAUUGUGUAUUAGGCCCACAACCGAAAUCCAAAACCAAACAAACAACAUCAUCUACUUUCUCUUGGACAAAUCAGGCCUCACUUCUCACCGUAGAAUCUAUCCAACCGUCCAGAUUCCUCCAGACCCCCAACUAAUAGACUAAUGGCUUCAUUCCAUCUCCGAUUAUCUAACCAACCGAUAAUAGCACCGCACCUCAUAGGUCUCCGGAACUCGCACAACUCAACAGCCAAACUCCUCGAAUAAAACAAUUAAUUCAACACCAAACCUUCUAUUCCAUUCUUCGAGUAGGAUUUCUAUCAAACCGAAAAUUCUAACUAGUAGCCUACAACCGAUUUAUCCAAUUUAAUGUACCAUGUACUAAUGAGUUGGACACUUCUAAUAAUUCACAAUUAGGCUAACAUUAAUUUAGUAACAGGAUCGUAUCCAAACAUGGAAUUUACAUUAUUGUACUUUUGCCAAUUUAGUGUUUUACCCUCCAUUUCAAUUUUAGGGAAGCGCAAAACCGCUUUUUAACAAUAAUAAUGGGGUCAUUUUUGGAAAUAAAAAGUAUGAUUAAUUUAAAAAUUAUAUUGACCGUCAAGUUGAAACCUAAAUUAUAUAAAUUGGCCAUUAAGACUUAGGAGCCUCUAAAACAUGCGGCACAUCCAAUAAACACAAAGAAGAAGUAAAAUGCGAUUGCAGGUUACGUGCAUCGAGAUGCUAGGUUUCUAUUCGAUGUUAUAAAAUAGUCACUAAGUAAAUACUAAUAAGUAAUGAAUCAAAAAUACUAUGCAAUUAUUAAUAUUCUCUAACAUAAUACUCGAUAAUUACUAACAUUAUCUAACACUAGGCAAUUAUUAAUAUUCUCUAACUAUGCAAUUAUGGUAAUGAUACCAACCUCAUUAUCGCAUAUAUCACCGACGCGAUGUCAUUUGCGGUGGCCCCAAAGUAGUUUUACAUCGAUUGGCUCAGGGUCGACGCACGGGGAUAUUGGUCCAUACAAGUAAUCCAUCCUACAACAAAACAAAAUAUUAAUAAAAAACAAAACUAAAAAAUUACAAAUUAAAAAAUAAAAUUAUAGAAUUACCGAUUAGUUGGUUGCAGAACGAGGACUCGUUAUCGGUACAGAAAAAUCAAGAAAGGAAGGAAUGAGAAAUAGUGGAUUGGUGUGGAAUGAAAGAGGAGGAGAGGGUGAUAUUUAUAGAACAACUGGAGGCAUACUAGAACGUGCGAUGCACUGUGCCUCCAACGGUUAUAUUGAAACGGUCAUCUAACGAUCGUUACAAUAUAGCCGUUGAUUCCACCUUAAAACGCUUCACACAUCCUAAGACACGCCGCGAGUUGUAGAGGGUACUAGUGAUCAUUUUGUAUAAUUUAAAUUUUAAUUUAACUAUCUACAUAAUUUUUGAUUUAUUCAUGUCUAAAAAAAAUCCCCAUUUUCUAAGCCUUAUCUCAUCUCUUUCCUGCUCGUAUAAAAAAUUUCAUUAUUUUAUUUUUAGAAAAUUGGCCCCUUGUAUUUUAAUUUUACCAAAUUGGUGAUUAGCCCCUUUAUGACAAAAUUGCCCACGUCCCCUCUUACAUUAUUGCUAAUUAACCAACCAUAUUUUCUGUUAUGGUUUCGGUUAGUUUACUAUUAAAACCUAACAAAUCAGCAUGCCAUAUCACUAAGUCCGUUUAUAUCAUCAUGUUUAUGUUGAGACCAUCCAUUAUGGUGAGCUAAAUAGCUAAAAAUGCUAUUAUUUAGUUCCAAGUAGCUUCACAAUGGGAGAGCUAAAUAUCCAAAAAGUAAAAAAAGCUAAAAUAGUUGGUAAAAAAUAAUUGGGUCAAAUAGCUAAGACUAUCUACAUCAAUACAAUUCAUCUCCAUCUAUAAAAGUGAUCCACAUUUUCACAUCAUUAACUUUUGCAAUUUCACAUUCUAUAUUUUCAUAUCAUUUUCAUCCAUACAAUUCAAUUCCAAUUGCAAAAAUGAGACCAAUAUAUAUAUUAUUUAUAUUUUCUUCAAAUUAAUUCGAAUGUUAACAAAAAGUGGACCCAAAUGAAUUUUAAAAUAUUGUAUGAAUGGUGUAGCCCCAAAUAAAAUUAUCACUUGACUUAUAACAAAUGUAAAUUUGCAUUUAAAAGUUACAUUUUUUCAUCUAUGAUAUUUUCAAUUGAAUUAUAAAAAUUUAACACAUAAAUUCCAUAUCAUUUUAUAAAUAAAUAAAAUCUCAUUAAUGGGAUGCUUUAAUAGUCAAAUUUCACACUACCUGGCAGACCCAUAGUAAUGGAAGGCGUAUGGAAUUAAAAACAUAUUAGGAAAGAGAGUGACAAACAAUGCCCAAUGAUAAAUCAAUAAUCCGGCGAGUGGAAGACAUGCGGACUUGCUGCUGCUGAGAUUCCUUGAAUAAUUAUUCAUCAGUACAAUCCAGCUGGCACAAUUUGAUUGGCUUCUUUGUGUUGUUGUGAUAAAUGGUUUUGCUGUUCUUUGUUAAAAAAGGGAAUUGCCUUCAUUAUUUCACAUAACCAUCCGUCAUGUUUGUUCACGAACAUUAAUAUUAUUUUUUGACAUUCAUUCAUAAAUUUAAAAUUUAAAGUGCCUUAAUUAUGGAUAUAAUUUAACGAGAAAUUGAAAUAUUUGAAUUUUAUCUUAGAUCUAUUUUCUUGCAACUCAAGGAUAUAUGCAAAAUAAAUAUCAUAGCCCAUCAAGUGGUAAAAUUAUCACAUGAGACCAAUUUAUGGUGAACCAACACAAAUAUGACCAAGAUUACUACUUCAAAACCGAGUAGUUCUUGUGUUUGAAUAAAGGUCGAUUAAAAUUGACAUAGAGUCACAUAGUGAUCUUACUACCAUCCUGGCAUUGAUAGCCAUGUUAUAUCCAUAUAACUUUUUGUUGGAUAUAAUUAGUAUAUCAUUGAUGAUAUACGAAAAUCAUGUUCGAGAGAGAUGCACAAUUGGCAAGUUAGUGGUAAUCUUCCACAUCUUUCAUCAAAGACUUGAUGUCUUAAAACUUUUCAUUUCUCUUGGGAAUUUGAAUUUGCCUCAAAUUGAAAUUUUUUUUUUUAGCCAAUCAUUUCUAUCUGUGCAUGCAUUUUGGCUAAUGAUCCUCAUUUUCAACUAUCAUAUUUAGCGUUGCACUAUACGCAAAUAUUUCGUCGACGUUGACUUCAUUGGGGUUCCAAUAUUUUCCAUCCAAGAUAUAGAUAAUUGAGAUAUAUAUUCAUAUCUUUCAGGUACCUGAUACUCUUCUUGAGCACAUUAUUUGUUUCUCUUGGUGGCUUUGUUUAAAUAAUCUUAACCUCAAUUUGACCAUCUUGAUAUAUAGCUCCAUUCCACUUUUGAGGAUUUUUUCUUUGGAACCGAGUGGUCUAUCACGCCUUUGCGGGUUUUAGACUCAUUUGUGAUGUCAGAUUGCCCAAUAUUGGCAUUAUUGUUAUUGGAGCAUUUUGAGUUGGCACAUGAAAACUUUACUCUCGUUGGGUCAGUAAAGUGUCUGGCAGAUAAUGAAUUAUAUAUUUUUGAACUUCAAGCUCAUAUUGCUUAGUGCGAGGAUCAAAAUAAUAUGAUCAUUCAUCUAAUCUCUUGGCCAACUUUUGUUUUGUCCCCCUAAUGUUGGGAAGUUUAAAUAUAAACCUCCAAACGAGUCAUCAAAAUACUCCCGACAACGAUGUGAUACUUUACCAUCGAUGAACUCGUAAUCAAAAUUCAAUCUUCAUUGAGAACCCAUCCUAAUAAAUGGUGGUGGAGCAAUUCAGAUGUGUAUAUCACAUCCAUAUAUCCAAUGAUGGGAAGUAUAAGGUUUUGACCCAAAAACCACAUAUAAUGGAGGAAUUCAUAAUAAUUUCUUGGCGUAAUGCGAAUUUGUGUUGUUCAUGUAAAUGACAUGUUCACAAUAAUAUAAAUGGAAAAUGUUCGUCUUAAUGACACAUUUUCGUUAUUGGAUAAUCAUGAAAAUAUGCUCAUAACCAAAUGGUUGAGCUAGUAAUCUCCCAAAUUAAAGUUUGUCAUGAUAUACACAUGUGACUAUCUAAUUGAUGCAUCAAUUAAAAUAAUUGGCUCACAUGUUGGGUGUAUUGAUCCCCAAAUAUCACCUUUGUUUUGUUGUGUGGAGGAGAAAUGAUCUUACUUUAGUUGAUGAUUAUCCAACAAUCUACUCUAUUUGAGAAUAAGCAACCAAAAACUGAGUUAUGUUGCGUUGGAGAUUUACCCAACAAUGGGUAACGGAAAGGUCAAAAUGCUUUCCUAGAAACGAAACAUUGUUGACAGAACAGAAAACCGUUCGUGUUCCCAGGAAGUAGGGGAGUCACAAGGACUACUUAAAUCCAUAUAACCUUAGGAAUCAUUUCUUUAGAAUACCCAAGUUGAGACCAUCAUGCACAACAAUGUUCAAGAGAACAUACUCUUUAGAUUAUGGAAUCAUCAAAAUUGACCAUAGAGGUACUUAUCGAUUCCCAUCAUGAUUGAACCUGGAUGGUCUCACCGGUUAUGCCAAAUAAUAGUUGUCAGGACUAGUAAACUUUUGUUUUACAUUGACAUAUAUCUCAAUCAUGGUAACAUAUGCGUAGUACGAAUUGGAGGAAAAUAUUCAUAUUCUAUUUUAUUGAUGGUCACAAGAGAUAGGAACAAUAAUGUGGUCUAUGACCAUGCAAAAGGUUUUCGCUCAUGCAUGAACAAUAUAAUAUCUCGAUCUAGAGUUUGAAAUAAAAUAUAAUAGCUCGAUCCAGAGCUUGAGAGAAAUGUUGUACUACACCAUAUAUCUUGGUGCACUAUCGAUGUGAUAUAUAUCACAAUUAAUUAUGGUGAUUCGCAUCAUAAAAUACUCAUUUUUGUCAUAAGAAUGGUACAUGGUUUAAAUGAUAAAUAGAGAUAUUUCUCAAUCAUCUAUGUCACCAAUUAAUUGAUCAAUAAUUCUCGUAUAACCACAAUUGUUAUGUCUAUCCGAAUAAAAUGGUUCCUUAUGUGAACAAUGAUAAUAUGUUGUCACUUAUGCUUUCAGGAACAAUGUAACAAAAUAAAAGUGUCUUUGCAGAUCGUAUGAUGUUACUUGUGCUUUCAAGAAUAAUGUAACACAUGUGUCUUUCCACAAUCACUUUGAGGGCUAAAUUAGUAUCAGUUGGAUAUGAUCAUCAAAAUAAAACUGACAGUUGUACCACCAAUCAUAGGAUUAAAAUUGUUCAACAUCAAUUCACAACUCUCUUCCACGCGAGAAGAUAAAUUUCACAAAUUUCUUUCCCAUGACCAUAAUAAGAGGUAUUGUCCUCCACAAUAGUGUAUUGUCGUAUCGCCUUCGUGGGAAUAUAUGUAUUGUCACAAAGGACAUGAUAUAAUCAUNNNNNNNNNNNNNNNNNNNNNNNNNNNNNNNNNNNNNNNNNNNNNNNNNNNNNNNNNNNNNNNNNNNNNNNNNNNNNNNNNNNNNNNNNNNNNNNNNNNNNNNNNNNNNNNNNNNNNNNNNNNNNNNNNNNNNNNNNNNNNNNNNNNNNNNNNNNNNNNNNNNNNNNNNNNNNNNNNNNNNNNNNNNNNNNNNNNNNNNNNNNNNNNNNNNNNNNNNNNNNNNNNNNNNNNNNNNNNNNNNNNNNNNNNNNNNNNNNNNNNNNNNNNNNNNNNNNNNNNNNNNNNNNNNNNNNNNNNNNNNNNNNNNNNNNNNNNNNNNNNNNNNNNNNNNNNNNNNNNNNNNNNNNNNNNNNNNNNNNNNNNNNNNNNNNNNNNNNNNNNNNNNNNNNNNNNNNNNNNNNNNNNNNNNNNNNNNNNNNNNNNNNNNNNNNNNNNNNNNNNNNNNNNNNNNNNNNNNNNNNNNNNNNNNNNNNNNNNNNNNNNNNNNNNNNNNNNNNNNNNNNNNNNNNNNNNNNNNNNNNNNNNNNNNNNNNNNNNNNNNNNNNNNNNNNNNNNNNNNNNNNNNNNNNNNNNNNNNNNNNNNNNNNNNNNNNNNNNNNNNNNNNNNNNNNNNNNNNNNNNNNNNNNNNNNNNNNNNNNNNNNNNNNNNNNNNNNNNNNNNNNNNNNNNNNNNNNNNNNNNNNNNNNNNNNNNNNNNNNNNNNNNNNNNNNNNNNNNNNNNNNNNNNNNNNNNNNNNNNNNNNNNNNNNNNNNNNNNNNNNNNNNNNNNNNNNNNNNNNNNNNNNNNNNNNNNNNNNNNNNNNNNNNNNNNNNNNNNNNNNNNNNNNNNNNNNNNNNNNNNNNNNNNNNNNNNNNNNNNNNNNNNNNNNNNNNNNNNNNNNNNNNNNNNNNNNNNNNNNNNNNNNNNNNNNNNNNNNNNNNNNNNNNNNNNNNNNNNNNNNNNNNNNNNNNNNNNNNNNNNNNNNNNNNNNNNNNNNNNNNNNNNNNNNNNNNNNNNNNNNNNNNNNNNNNNNNNNNNNNNNNNNNNNNNNNNNNNNNNNNNNNNNNNNNNNNNNNNNNNNNNNNNNNNNNNNNNNNNNNNNNNNNNNNNNNNNNNNNNNNNNNNNNNNNNNNNNNNNNNNNNNNNNNNNNNNNNNNNNNNNNNNNNNNNNNNNNNNNNNNNNNNNNNNNNNNNNNNNNNNNNNNNNNNNNNNNNNNNNNNNNNNNNNNNNNNNNNNNNNNNNNNNNNNNNNNNNNNNNNNNNNNNNNNNNNNNNNNNNNNNNNNNNNNNNNNNNNNNNNNNNNNNNNNNNNNNNNNNNNNNNNNNNNNNNNNNNNNNNNNNNNNNNNNNNNNNNNNNNNNNNNNNNNNNNNNNNNNNNNNNNNNNNNNNNNNNNNNNNNNNNNNNNNNNNNNNNNNNNNNNNNNNNNNNNNNNNNNNNNNNNNNNNNNNNNNNNNNNNNNNNNNNNNNNNNNNNNNNNNNNNNNNNNNNNNNNNNNNNNNNNNNNNNNNNNNNNNNNNNNNNNNNNNNNNNNNNNNNNNNNNNNNNNNNNNNNNNNNNNNNNNNNNNNNNNNNNNNNNNNNNNNNNNNNNNNNNNNNNNNNNNNNNNNNNNNNNNNNNNNNNNNNNNNNNNNNNNNNNNNNNNNNNNNNNNNNNNNNNNNNNNNNNNNNNNNNNNNNNNNNNNNNNNNNNNNNNNNNNNNNNNNNNNNNNNNNNNNNNNNNNNNNNNNNNNNNNNNNNNNNNNNNNNNNNNNNNNNNNNNNNNNNNNNNNNNNNNNNNNNNNNNNNNNNNNNNNGUUAAAUUUGAGUGGGAAUUUGACUUUUUUAGGUUCAACUUUUCUAAAGUUAAAACGCUAAAUUUGAGUAAAUUUUUUUCCCCACCGCUAGUAUAGUUUCAUUCCUGAUCACGGACACCUGUGUAGGAACCACCUAUGAUCUCUUCACUUUCUUUAUGGUUCUGAAUACAACUAUAUUCACACCAUCUUCCUGCUCUUCACCCAAAUUCGACAAUGAUAUCAGCAAUACUUUGUUAUUUUAUUUAUGUCAUUAAUAAAUAAGUUUAUAAUUAAGCUGAUUAGGAUGUUGACUAAAAUGAUGACCCCAACUGCCACGUCAGUGUUGGACAGAAUUAUUGACGAAAUUGGACGGAAAAUAUAAUGGAAGGAUACGAUUGGUUAAUUGGCAGGACUGUAAGGGAANNNNNNNNNNNNNNNNNNNNNNNNNNNNNNNNNNNNNNNNNNNNNNNNNNNNNNNNNNNNNNNNNNNNNNNNNNNNNNNNNNNNNNNNNNNNNAUCCAUUUAUUUAAUUGAUGGUUUGUCAUUAGGUCCGCUCAAAUUCACAACAGUUCAAGCACAUGUAAUUCAUUUUUCUUCUUUCCUUUUAUAAAUGAAUUUUAGUUCAACAUUAAAAUGAAUUAUAUAAGUUCAAAAUUAAAAUGGUCCUGUUUUUUAAGGCCCUUGGUUUUUACUUUUUGGCUACUUCUUUUUGGUUGGCCCAAGUCAUCUAGAGUGAACAAUGAUUGAUUGUUAGCGUAUGUAGUUGUAUGGGUUUUGAGCCCAACUCGAGCCUAUGUUAUUUUGUUGUCUUUUCUUGAAACAACGUUACUUAAUUAUAUAAAUAGUCCAUCAAUUGUCUCCCUAUAUACAGGUGAUACCAGAGAACGAGAUCGACGAGCAAAGUUUGUGAGAAACCGUGCUCCUAUAUUUUCUAACCCACUCAACCCUGAAUAUAGGUCUACUAUUAAGGAUGUGUUGGCAUCGCUCCAUUAUCGGGCCAAACUCCAUGCUACCAUGUCCCAACGUUACUUCUUGGUAAUCUGUCUCAAUGAUGGCCUUUUCAUAGCCCAUGUCUCGUAUCCAUUCGAAGCUAUCCUUCACUGCAUGCGCUUCUUCUUCCCCGCUCUUGUUAACCUUGUUGCCUUCUACAUGAGGAAAUGUAUUAAACCACCUGACUCAUCGCAAACCGCUAGUCUUACGCCAUGGUUUCUAUCCUGAUGGAACAGGGGAAUGUCAACAUUGCAGUUGACGUACCCCACCGGUGGUGGGUGCCAUUAAGGACAAGCUGUGGGUUGAGGUUGUUGUGGUCGCUUCUCCUCCGUCCAAUAAUUCACCCAUUCCAACAAGUCAUCCAAAGCAUGUCGUAUAAUCACCUCUGGUGACUAGCCUCCCCAUUCCAUACUCGCUCGUUCCUUUCCCGCCAGACUACCUUGAAUCUGUAAAUUCGCGUUGGAUUGCAACAUUUGGAAAACCCAUCCCCGUACAUCAUCCACUUGCAUGCAUACCGAAUGGACCCACUGCCACAUUCCCAACAAGGUCUACCAAUUUCACACUCGAAGAGCAAGUUAUCGAGAUCCUCACCCAUUUUCAAACAACAGUCGCAAGUAUCCAGUACUAUGACUGCUUGCUUGCCAGACGCACUCUAGUUGGCACCACAUCACGAGCCACCCGCUAAAUUAUGAAAUUACUCGAAUGAUUUAAGUGGUUACGUUAUGUCAUGUCAUUCAUGUGACUAUGUUAUGUUAUGCUAUGUUAUUCAUGUGAUCCGGAUAAUUGUAUGCCAAUAUCAUUGUGAUUAAGUGGUUACCUUAUGCUAUGUUAGUAUGUAAUGGUUAAGUGCCUAUCUUAUGUUAGGUUAUGUCAGGUUAUGAUAUCUCUUGAUGAUGUGCAAGUUACAACUUUCAACUACAUUAAAGCAUGUCAUGUUCCCCAACAUUAGUGUCCACGUUAUGUCCAUCAUAUUCAUGUUAUGAUUAACUGCUUAUGUUGUUGCUUGAUGAUGUGCAAGUUUGCCCUUUUAAACUAUGUUAACUCAUUUCAUGUUCUCCAAGAUCAGUGUUGUGAAACCCCAUCCUAAGAGUCCUGAUCGAACCACUAGUUCAACCAAUGAGGAGUCCUACUCGGGUUUCAACUUGAAACACACUGAACUCUAGGCUACUAAUAAAAACAUUUAAAACAAUAUCCUCUGAUAUCAAAACACCGACAAGCUCUCUCCCCACCGUGAGCUCCAGUACCUGUGACUGAACACACAAAUAUGCCAAGGAAAACAAGCUAAGUCUAAUGGGGUCAGUGAUAAGCAUUGAGUGGCUAAAUUAGACUGGCGUAAAACUAUGACUAUACUGAGAAGAUAGGGAAAGAAAGUAUAACUAAUCCCUGAAUCUAGUAAUGUGACCUUGUGGUCCUAUAGGCAACAUCCUAUCAAUAGUCACCCCUAGCUAGUAGUUGAUAGCCUAUGGUGGAUCAGACCAUGAAACCACCCCGUAGAUACAGUGCGAGUAACAUCAGUAGGCAUACUAGACACGCCCUGCAUGACCGUAUGUCACCACAACUUUAAUUGGACUCAAGGCCCACACCUUAAGUUCAUGUCCAAUUAGAGUGGAAGUCCUCACCCUUCACUUGAAUAGUUCAAUUCCUAUCCAUAGCCAUACGAUCAAUCUAACGAUCUAGAAAUCUCCAAGUCCAUAACUAACAAUUCACAGACUUAACUCUUCCUCCGAUUGACUUAGUCAACCCGGUAACUACCCCGAGCCUUACAAACCCUUAAUACUUGGUCAACUGUGAACUCAACUCCUCAAAUUAAUUAAAUUAAUUCAUUUUCCAACUUCCGACUUCUACUCAACGAGUAAAUUUUGAAUCAAACCGAAAUCAAACCAAAAAUUGGGGUGUCACAACUCUCCCCUCCUACAAAAGAUUUCUUCCCGAAAACCGAACGUCACCCCACUGAGCGGGAAGGAUUCGGCGCAAUAGUGUUCAACUAUGGCGCUUGCACUCCUACUUGGUAGCAAACGACCUUGAUGUGUCGUCCUUCUCAAGUACUCAACCAGUCCACUCCUCGAAAAUGACCCAGGGUCAAAUCAAAGUCUAACCACAACCUUGUCCUCGAAGACCGACAGUGACACCUUUAAAGAAAUGAGUCAACCCAUGGGCAAUACUCAUCAUCCUCUGGACCUUCAUUUCUUUUCCACUUCUUGUUCCCCUAACUCUCCUUCCUCCUGACUAGAACAUCCAAAGCUCGCACCUCGCUCAUGACCUCUCAGCCCUGAAAUGCUCAUUCCUUAACUGAUUUCCUUUGAAAUCUGAACACACCUUCCCCUUCCUAGAUGAUACUUGGCCCUUGGUAGUCACCAUCUGGCGGAAGGACUUCCCUUAACCUACCGAGCAUCAGCUUUGCACUUUCAGUAUCCUUACGAUCUUUUUGCACCCUAAGCAUUGUUUCUAGCUCGUCAACCCGCACUACCAUGUCCCAGACAUAGAAGUACAUAGACCAGUCCUUGCCAUGCUGCUUUGAAGAUGCAGCUAGUCGAGCAGCAAGCUCAACCUCGCAACUUUGAUCUUGAUGCUUAUACUACUAUUCCCCAUUUUCUUACUGAUAGGUAAUACUAAUCAUAUAGUACUACCAAGACCUUAGCCAACUCACAGAAUCUUGUCAUCCUUUCCCAUGAUGACGGUUCCGACAAGUCUGAUCACGCUUGUGACCGUUGUCCCGCCACGCCCAUGGUAUUCUCCUCACCACACUCGUGGUCCUCUCCUUACCACGCUAGCUUGUGGUCGACUAUCAACAACGACCGUUGCCACUUGACUGUCACAGCCGUUGCCUCAUGAUCACUGCACCAUCACACUCGUGAUGUACUACAUGUCAUGACCAUGACUGUCAUCCAACCAUACCCGUCACGGACUAUUCGUCAUGCAUGUGACUAACUGUCAUCCACGACCGUGACGACCUUUUUGUCAAGCCCGUGAUGUAUCAUCCCUCACGCCUGAGGCCAACUCUUUGACAAGCCCGUGGCUGAGCUUCACCACGCCCAUUGCUUGUUGAUCAUCGUGACCGAGGUUAACAUCCCGUCACGCCCGUGACUGACUUCUUUUUCCUAGAACUACCAGAGUUGCUACAGCUGUUACAGUAACACGCCUUACUGUCUUUCUGAGACCAACAAAGACCUAUCUCUACUCUUGCCCUAACUACUCCAUCGGCCCUCAGAUGCUUCCCAUCCUUGCCUUCAAGCAUGGUUCUCAAUUAAAUACUAGAGGCUAACUGUCUCUUUGACGUUACACCUCAAGGAGCGAAAGCAUCCUUUAAACUCUGAAUUCCCUUCCCAUUGGGGUCCAAAAGGAUCAUCCGACUAAUGGCUCUAAUGAAGAGUUCCACUGGAUGAAAUUCCCAGAUUCCAUCCAAUGCAUCAUGUAACACCUUAGGCAAAUCGCACAUCGACAAAGUACGAGAGAGAUCAAUGGGUUAUGAGUAAUACUCUAUCCUUAACUGACAAGAUACAUUUUCGGGGUGAGAUGAAGGAGUUCGUGUAAAGAACUCUGAAGUUAAUCAUGCUCAAGUGGGAGCGGUUUAGAAAUGGGUGACCUCUUGGGAAGUCAUUGUUCAGCACCCGAAAAAAAAUCCGUGAGGGAUUAGCUAUACCCAAAGCGGAAAAUAUCUUAUCAGAAAAGGUUGGGGUGUUGCACUUCCCUUAUCACUACCCCUUGUCUUACUAGAAUUCUUAAAGUUCAACAACAAGCCUUUGAAUCAAGAAAGUAAGAUACUCUGCCCCUUGGUUCCUUAAUCCCUUUCUUUUCUCUUUCUAGAGCUGGUGAGAGAGUGGUCGUUCAAAUCCUGACAAACUAUCGCAAUGUUCCCUUUUAAAGCACCUGAAUCCUGAAAACUCUUUUCUUAAUAUCUUUUGCAAAGACUGACUCACCACAUCAUUUUUUUCUAGACACUCACCUACUGCCCCAUGAAAGACUAGUACCGUUACAUGUGUCGACUCACCUUCUCCCCUCUGAGGUUCGUGACGCCUCUGAGGAGUAGGUAGCAUACCGUUAGGGUUACAAGAAAACCGGGCUCUAAUACUAGUUGUCAAACCCCACCCUAGGAGUCCCAGUCAAACCACUAGUUCAACCGAUGAGUCUUACUCAGUUUUUAACUUGAACCACACUCAACUCUAGGCUACUAAUAAAAACAUUAAGACAAGCAUUAACAGCUUAAACUGAACACUUCAAUAAAAUUGACAAACUAGGAUCCGAAAUCCCAAAACACAACAAAUCAAAAAGAGAUGCAACUCCAGUUUAAAAAUACAUAAAAAUUAUAUCCUCUAAUAUAUAAAAACCAACCAGCUUUCUCCCCUCCAUCAGCUCCAAUACCUGUGACUGAACACAUAGAUAUGCCAAGAAAAACAAGUCUAAUGGGGUUAGUGAUAACCAUUGAGUGGCUAAACUAGGCUCGCAUAAAACUGCAACUAUACUAAGAAAAUAGGGCAAGAAUCAAGUAAUGUGACUCUGCGGUCCUGUAGGGAUCAUCCUAUCAAUAGUCACCCCUAACUAGUAGCUGAUAGCCUCAUGAAGGAUCAUACCAUGAAACCACCCGUUGAUACCGUGUGAGCAGCAUCUGUACGCAUACUCCACACAUCUUGCAUGACCGUAGAAACAUCCUGGGGGAUUUUGCAAUCCAUGGGUGGGUGACCAACACACAUAAGGAGCUAAUCUAGCUAAAUCUGAAUUUUGUCCUAAGCAUGAACUGUGAACCACAGUUCAAAUGUCAUGAGCUUAUGCUCGAACUUAAACAACUACCUGUUCAGUAGAUCACACGCUACUGCACAGUGUAUGAGCCCGACUCUGUUUCAUAACCCAUGUAUAGUAGAUGACACGCUAUUGCACAGUCUUGAGAGCCCGGCUCCGAAACACAACACAUGUACCGUAGAUCACACGCUACUGUACAGUCCUGAGAAUCCGAUCAUCGCAUUCCUGACAAUCCUAAUUACAGUUAUAUGCUUAAGUCAAAAAGUAAUCCUAACCCUCACCUAUUAAGAAGGGAUGGCAUUUCUGAUUCUCACUUGACAUGAUUCCUCUCACUGCCACUAAUCUAUAGCUUCUGACCGUGCAUCAUUUGGAGUUUAACCAAUUGAGUUAUACUCCAUUUACUUGUAGCAAUCUGAAACUUGCUAGGACAGAAACGUGGCGCUAAUCCUCCAACUGCCUCCAUUACACUAACUGAUCCAAAACUUCUACUCAUUGACAAAACUAACCCAAGUCCUUAACUAUAAAACAUCCAAAAGUUCAAAGUUGCUAAAGGUCCUCAACGCGUCCUACACACCACCAAAGCCGUUGCACCCUUGCCGAACGCGGAUGGCGCCACCGCUACUGCUAUUCCUAAAGCUCCGCCUUGAAUCUCCUCAAUCUCCUCCGAAAUAGUGAUCGGCACCGCCACAACUCCAUCCUCGUUUGCCCUCGAUCGAUGGAAUUCAAAAUCCUCACCUCUUGGCGUCAAAACUAAUGGCAACAAGUAACUUACCCUGCUCAUCGUCUCAGUGCAUCACCAGUUAGAUCAUGGAAGGGAAGUUAAACCAUUCUCCCACUUGAUGGUAAUGGGGCCCAACUCCACAAUCUGAUCCAUCAUACGGCCCAAGGCCCACCUCAACUUUAAUUGGACUCAAGGCCAUAAUUUAAGCCUAGGGUGGCAGUCCUCACCCUUCACUUGAAUGGUUCAAGUCCUAUCCAGAGCUAUAAAAUCAAUCUAACGGUCUAGAAAUCUUCGAGUUCAUAACUAACAAUUCACAGGCUUAACCCCUCUUCUGAUGGACUUAGUCAACCCAAUAACUAUCUCGAGCCUUACAAAUCUUUAAUACUUGGUCAAUUGCUGAGUCAACUCAUCAAAUUAAUUAAAUUAAUUCAUUUUUCAACUUCCGACUUCUACUCAACGAGUAAGUUUUGAAUCAAAAAAAAUUUUAACCGAACCAAAAAUUGAGGUGUCACAAUUGUCUACAGUAUGCUUAGCUUAUACAUGUGAUGGUUAGACAGUUAUGUUCAUGUUUCUACUUGAUGAUGUGAAAUUCAUUAAACUAAGAUAAGUUGUUAAACUAUAAUAAGUCCUUAAAUUAUGAUAAGUCAUGUUCAUGAGAUCCAUGUUAUGGCAUGUCUUUUUUCCAGGAUUAAUGCUCCCAUUAUGUCCAUCAUAUUCAUGUUACGGUUAGGUAGUUAUGUCAUGUUAUGUAUUAUUUAAUGAUGUGCAAGUUGUACCCUCGAAUUAUGAUAAGUCAUGUCAUGUCUCCCUGAUAAGGGUUUAUCUCAUUUUCAUGUGAUCCAUGUUAUGGUUAAGUGGUUAUGUCAUGAUAUGUUGGGUUAUUACAUGAUGAUGUGCAAGAUGUGCCUUGAAUUAUGAUAAGGCUAGACUACUUCAAGGUUAGGGUGUGAUAUGUCUACAUGACUAGUGAGUAGUGAAUAAGUACACGUUACUUAGACAAGUAAUGUGUAUUAGAAACAUGUAACUUUCUGGCUAGACCACCACCCCCUAUGUUGUGAUCUCAUGGUACCGUCUGAUGGAUACAUACUCACGGACUCUCACGUUCACGUUUGGGCCGGUAUUGCCCCUCAUGUUACCGUCUGACUGAUACGUACUCGCAGACUCUCACGUUCAUAUUUGGGCUGAUAUUGCCCCAUGUUUCUCACGUUUGGGCCACAUUUUUCCCCUUAUGUUACCGUCUGAUGGAUACAUAGUCCCAAACUCUCACGUUCACAUUUGGGUGUUGGACUAGUUAGUUGAGUUGGGGGGGGACGUCCCGCUAUUGAAAGUUCAAGUGAUAAGAUACCUCAGAUAAGUUCAUGUACAAGUAUGUCAAGUUCAAGGGAUAAGAUAACUUAGAUAAGAUCAAGUAUAAGAUUCAAUGUUAUGUGUUUUCAUGUUCGCUAAGUGAUGUUGGUGAUAAUGACCACCUGAUAUGAUAUGUUCAGUGAUUGUCAUGUGCUGAUGUGUUGUGAUAUGUUCAAAUGUUUCUUAGAUGUGAUAACUAUGUGUUGGGAUAAAUAUUCAUGUAAUGAUGUGUUCCUUAUGUUCCAAUGUGCCAUGGAUUUGAUGACUAGUUGUGAUCAAUAUUCAUGCAGUGAUGUGUUCCUUAUGUUCCAAUGUUCCUUUAGAAUGGAUUAGAGGUUCAACCUUUGAUGAUGACUAUGUUACUUGCCAUGUUGAGUUCUCAUGUGUUAGGAUUACACAAAGAUGGAUACUAUAUCUUAUAUGCCUACUUAGCUAGUAUCAAUGAUGCCUUAUACAAUGAUAUGUUUUUGUCUUCCCUAUGUUCUAGCAUGAUACUCAUGUUAUGUGUCUACAUAACUAAGUCAGAAUAUGUUGUGGUUAGAUAACUAGAAAGCAUGUCCCUAAGUAAAGGCAAUGUUUGAAUAUAGCAAUGUCUGAUUAAGGUGAUGUCUGAAUAAGGUAAUGUCUGAUUAAGAUGAUGUCUGAAUAGUUUGAUGUCUGGAUGAGUUGAUGUUUGAAUAAUUUUGAUAUUGUUAAACUUAAGUUGGAAAUCAUAUGUGUUAUAUUAGAGCAUAAUAGACUAACCCCAGAACCACCCACUAGGGUGUUUCUAAGUUGAUGCAGUAGUAGAGUUGAGCUGAUUCGGAUGUGCAGCGAUGGACUUGGUAUUCAAUGUCGGGUUUGAGUUUCAAGUGUUUAUUCUGAGACUUGAUUCUUUUCAUGUUGUCUUAUGUUGGAGCACUCUCCGCUUUUGUUAAAGCAGAUGAUCAUUUUCUAUCUUUUUGGUUGUUCUAUUUAAAUAAAGUUUUUGAAAUUCCUUUGAGUUGAGUCCCUAUAGGGCAAUUUGGUUAUUAAAUAAAUAGAAAGUUUUUGGGGUGUGUCACAAGCGCCCGCGACAAAGAGUAAAACCUGCGACCAUUGUAUGAGCGCUAAUGGAUUUAUUCAAACGUUGUCGCAGUCCGCCUAAAACAAGAGCUCGACUGCGAUAAACAUAGUGAAUGACUACCCUUCAGCAGCCGAUCUCCACUCAUUCCACACAGCUUCAACUCUCCUCCCAUCUGAAAUCCUCCUAUUCCUCUCAAUUUCCUCCAUCGAUUUUCUCCUCUUCUCUUCUCCAAUUUUGUCACCCCGACUUCCACCCUUUUCUCGAAAUCGCCAAUAUCAGCUUACUGUUACUAACAAGAAGCAUAAGAGUUCGAUUUUGAUAUAGUUGUGUCGGGCAAUCGCAUUGUGUUUGAGUUGAAGAAUCAGGGGGUUAAACCUGUAGGUCCACUUCAUUCCUUCAUGGGAUACUACAUAAGUGAGUGUACAAGAAAUUAUGCUUACUACCCGGUCUCUCCAAUCGAAUGGAAGAAGUUGUCGCCCCAAUUGAAGACACGGGCUUGGGAGCAGUUUGUGCUAGUAAGUAUUAUUUUAGUUUUUUUAAUUAGAUAUAUUUUUGUAGUUAAAAUUGUAACUAGUUAGUGCUUAAUUGAUUUAUAUUAUAAACCUCUUUUCACAUUGAGGCGAAUGAGAUGGUUGAAGCUCGCAAAUAUUGGGAUCGCAAUGUUGGAAGACUGUUGGGGGAAGUCAAGGAUCACAAUUUGGCAAGCUUAGUUGAAGCAUGCACAAAUAAACCAACUCCCUCCAUAGUGGAUUAUGAAUAAUUCCUUGACAGGUUGUCCAAUGGCUGAUUGGAUAACGUACUUGUUGCGAGUUAACGACAAGUAGUUCGAGAUAGUACAUAUAUUUACAGAUUUCUAAUUGUAUUUGAUUGUAGUUUUUAAUACCGACUCAAGAACUUUUAUGUGCUUGAGUCAUAUCAAAUCAAGCCGCUCAAAUGGAAAACCAUAAAGGAGGGAGAAGGCCAUGUGAUACAUAUGUCAAGGAAACCAUUGAGAAGAUGGGUAAGCCACCUUCUCUACGCCAGAAGUUCAUAAAGUUCUUCCACUAACUAGAUGGAAGUUACAAAUCAGAACAUGGAAUACUUGUGGUGGUAAUGACUAGUUUCCAUAUAUAUAAUAGAUAUAGCUUUAAACUAGAAGACAAUAGAAUUAAUUGAACAUCUGUUAUGUAGGAGACUAUCAGCAACUAGAGCGGGAAGGAGCACCGACUGAGGUUGGGCCUAAUGACUCAUUGGCUCAAACACUAAACAAGCCAAAGCAUCGAGGCCACGUUCGGAUGAUGAGUUUGGGGUUUACCCCACAAUGGUAAUAAUGUUCAAUUUCAAAUUUGUUCUUUCUUGGGUCGUUAGUGUUUGUACCUUGUUUGGUGAUAUUUGUACUGUUUUUUCUUUAAGGUAUUUGGUGGUGCUAGCACUUGUUCAUCAUCAUCAUCAGCUCCUUCUGCCUCUGGGAAUGCAAGUGUGUCCUCAAAUGCUGCUCCUAGUGCUCCCCCUCCCUUACGAGAAGAGUUUGAUUGGAUGUCGUAGCAGAUGGCAUUGAUGUUGCAACAGUUGGCUACAAUGUAUUACAUGAUGUCGUCGGAGCUCGCCGGUGCUUUUACCUAAGUUUUGACUCCUGGGAUAGUUCCUGGUACUCCAUUCAAUCCAAGUCCUCUAUAUCUGUAUUAGGAGCCUAUGCAGCAGCAACAACCAUCUCAACAAUAGCAACAAGCUCAUGAGACCAAUCUUAUGGGUUACUUCCCAUUCUCUCAAGAAGCCAAAAAUCAGUUUCGCCUUCAUGGGAUGAUGGCGAAGCCUUUUCUUCCCUUCUUCAUACAUUAGAAAGAGUGAGUUUUAUAAUUAGUUUCUUGAAAUUUCAAUUAGAAUUCAUGUUUGUACUUACUUGUGUUUUUUAUGUUUAUAUAUAGGUCCCCAUUCCAGACACGAGGGAGCAACGAGAUGAUGAUGAUUGUUCGUAGUUGUAUUUCUAGUUAGUUCUAGCUCUCUCCCCAUCCCUAUUCCCAUAUAUUAUGUAGUAUUUGAAACUUCUAAGAUAGUUUCUUAAGAUAAUUUCUUAACGUUUGCAUAUUAAUGUUUGUUAUUGUAGUUUGGAAUUAUUACAUGAGAUGGUAAUUAUGGAAUUAUUAUGUGUUAUUAUGGAAACCUAAAAACUGCUCUAAAUUCUAAAAUUCUGCUCUAAAUUCUAGAACAUUGAAAAAGCUCUAUAACUGCAAAGGUAGAUCAAUUUGAAAGUGAUAGGUGGCACCAUACCAGAAUAGACACAUCUCCAGCAUUAUUGUAAUAGGCUAGUCGCAGGCCCUUUCUCGCAAGUGUUGACUACGAUUGGCCGGUCACUGGUAGCGCCUGUGAUAAAGCGCCUACAACCAGCCAAUCGCAGCCAACGGCUACGACAAGGCGAGCUUUGUCACAUCAAUAAUUGUCGCAUGCCUAUUUCUAUUUGUCGCAUGCACUGUAUGUAACCAUCCUUCUAUUUUAUGGCAGGCUGGCCUGCGACAUUGUUUUGUUUUUGCUUGUGACUGUUUUCCCUUUUUAUUGCAGUGUAAGUUAUACACUUUCAUGCAUUAUUACGUGUUGAAGAUGGAUUCUAACGUGAUUUUGAAAGCUCCUAGACCGAAACGAGUGACCAUUUAGUUUGAUUCUUUUAGUAAUGUGUAAAUGAAAAGUCUACAUGCUAAAUAUAAAUUCAUAAAUUUGUUCUCAAUAAUAAAAAGUUUACUAGUUAAGAAUAGUUGAAAUAUUGAUGGACGAUGUUAAGUUCAUCCUUCCAUAAAUUUAAUUCACAAACUUAAAAUGAUUCGUAAGUGAAAUGUUAGUAUUAAGACGUUCACAGAUGAAAACAACAAAGAUUGAACAUCAAACUGUAAAGAUAAAAAUAAACUGUAUCUCAUAUUAUUUGGAAUUAAGNNNNNNNNNNNNNNNNNNNNNNNNNNNNNNNNNNNNNNNNNNNNNNNNNNNNNNNNNNNNNNNNNNNNNNNNNNNNNNNNNNNNNNNNNNNNNNNNNNNNNNNNNNNNNNNNNNNNNNNNNNNNNNNNNNNNNNNNNNNNNNNNNNNNNNNNNNNNNNNNNNNNNNUAAUAUAAUACUCAUAAGUGGACAUAACAUAGACAUAAUCCACCUAUAAAGUGGACACAAUGAUUAUAUAUAUAAUUUUAUCAUAAUAUGAACAUAACAGUGACAUAAUUUACUUAUAAAUGUAACAUAAUAGUGAAUUAACAUACUCAUAAGGUGAAUAUAAUAGGGACAUAAAAUGUUCGUAAACCAAGCCUAAAAGAUGCCUAAUAAACUUAUAACUUAGACAUAACAUAGGCAUAAAAGAAUUGCAGUAGUACUGAUAUUUAGGUUAUGUAGCAUAAUAGCCUAAAACAAGUGGUCUACUCAAAACACUAAAAAUUGAUAUAUAAUCGUAAUAUAAUUGUUCUAUGACAGUUAUCCGUUAUUAACAUAGAAGUUGUACAAACAUAUUGUGACACCUUGAUUUUGGGUUGAGUAUGAUUCUAGGAUAGUAUUGGUUUUUGUGAGUCGGUGAGAAUCACUGUCAGACGGUCCGUCACGGGCGUAUCGGACAGUCUCUCAUAGGCGUGAUCAUCAGGUAGAUCAUGAUCGUGGUCAAUGAUAGUCACGAACGUGGCAGCCGGAGGAUGACGGCCGUGACCAUCAGUAGGUCAUGGACGUGGUUUCCAUGUCACAACGGGUGAGGUAAGCAGUACGCCAUGGGUGUGGUGGACAACUUAUGAAACCUAAUUUUCUUCUUCCUUGCAAACUUCUGACGAGCGACGAUUGUUCCAGGCACAGGGGAAAGUCUUGUUGAUCGAUCCAGACCAGUAGGAGAGGCCUAGAGAUCAUCGAGGAAGCUUUAGGAGGUAAUCUACCUUCUUCCUCGUUCGUCAAUCCUUUUCUUUGAAUCCCAUGUAGGAAAAUCCUGACAGGUUUGGAUUUGGAGUUUUGGGAUUUCAAUUUUAUGAUUGUUCCCUUCAGGUUAUAUGGAUUAGGCAAGCAAACUCUAGGUUUCAGAUCAUACUCUUCAGAGGAAAGCUUUCAGAGGUAGGGGUUAGGAUUACUUUUCUGCUUUAUGCGAAGAAUUGUAAUUAGUUGUCAGGAAUCCUUGUUUGGAUUUUCAGAAUUGUACAAUAGUGUGCGAUCUACUGUAUAGAAAGAUUUGUUAUGCAGUUUAGAGUUUCGGGUUGUACAAUAGCGUGUGAUCUACUGCAUAGGCAGAUGGUUAUGAUUCGAGCAUAAGCUCACAACGAGAAACUAUGCAUUUAUACAGUUCAUGUUAGGAUUAAGAAUCAGAACUAGAAUAUACUAGCUCACGAUAUACGUUGGUCACCCACCCUAUAGAUUGUGCGAUCCCCGAGGCUACAUUUACUUUCAGGUAGGACUUGACGAUAAUGCCUUCAGUUGCUGCUCUCACGGUCUGAUCCACCAUGAGGUCAUCCGCUCAUAGCUAGGGGUGGCUAAUGUUAGGAUAAUACCUAGAGGACCACAUGGUCACAUUACUAGAUACUAGUUCAGUUUUUCAUGUUCAGGGUCAGCUGCUCAGUGCUUAUCACUGACCUUGUUACAUUUCAUUAUACAUGAUCAACCUUGGGACUUCAGGAGCCAAUGCCGCUUAAGAAAGGAGCAUGAGUAGUGACACCACCUCGCAGUGAGUCUGGGAGUCACACAGAGAGGUACCAUCGAGUACCUCAGCUGUCUCUUUCAGUGUUUUCAUAGUUUUAAGACAGUCUUUCAUGUUUUUUCAGUUGUUUGUGAGACUUAUUUUACAGUGGUUGUUUUCCCAGGUUUGGGAUGUCUUUUAGUGAUGUUCAUUUUUGAAUUCGAGCCAUGAUGCUCUGUUUAUUUUUUGCUGUCGUUUUACUUAAGUAUUGAGGAUUUUCAGUUCAGUUAAUGUAUGUCAGUUGUUAUGAUAUAAGUUUGAGUGAACCCAUGAGCAAUGCAUGGAUAGAACCGUGUGGUUUGAUCGAGUCAUCUAGGGGUGGGUUUCACACAUAUUAGUUAUAUUAUGUGACAUUAUAAUAAAUAAUAAAGGGAAUAUUGUCAUUUACCCUCUUUUACUUCACCCAACUCGCAUUAAGCCCUCUAUACAAUUCAAUGUUCCAUUAACCCCUACACAUUGCCCACUUUACCAUUCGUCUCCUUCCGUUACGCUUUCCAUAUGUACACCGUUAAAACCAUACAACUCAACAUGCCAUGUAAGUUUUUCGGCACCACAUCAGCGUUUAAUUCCUUUAACAAUUCAUGAAAUAUAAAAAAUUCCAGACACCCUUCUUUCUUCACUCUUCUCCACUCGACCCCCAACCUUUCUCACAUCCGAUGCAGCCGAACUUCGCCCCGAGGGUGAACACAAGGAGAGGAGGGUUGCUAGAUUUUGGGUGUUGUUUUUGCACUCAAAUCCGAUUCAAAAGAAAUAUUGGCCACACUGGAAAAAAGUUAUGGUUUGAUCAUCCUCUAAACAUUCGUAGCAGUGUAAUUCAAGGUCUUAAAUUGGCUACCACUACCAAUUGGAAAGUGAGCAAGCCAAUUUGUAGCGAACACCAAGUGUUCAACAAAAUUCUUAGAUGCUAAAAGACUCUUACUGGCAUCACAAACACUUGACAAGGGUGCUAAGUCACUAUUUGACACCCCCUAACAUUCCAAUCACCUAAAUUGUCACUACCUAAGUGAUUACCAAAAUGCACUCAAGGUGUUAGAUAAAAUGCCACUAAGAGAAUCCUCACACUAAUGGUUGAAUUGGGGUGUGUGCUUGGUCCACACACCCUUACCCCAAUCUUGGACUACACACUUACUCAAGUCAAGCACAAUUAAGUAAUUGAAAGAGUACAUUUGACCUAGAACAAGCCAUAGCACAUUCUAAGUUGCAAUAACCAUAGUCCAACCAUUCUCAAAUACCAUAAUCCAUAUCUAACAUGUAUCCAAAUCCUCGUCAUGAGGGGAUCAUCCUAGUACAUAGCAAUACCCUAAUCUAACAACUAAAGAGUCUAGCCACUCAUCAUGACACUAAAACUAAAGAAAAGGGAUACAAUCACCAUCAAUCAACUAGUAUGAAGAAGAUGAUGAGGGUAGGAUCCUUCCUCAAAGCUCUACUAUUCCAAUUCCUUCAAUCCUUGGUCUUCUCUAGCUCCGAAGCUUCUUCAAGGUCUUCAAUUGAUCUUCUAAGGCUUCAAAUUGGGUGAAAAUCGAGAGAGGAGUCGGGUCUCAACAAUUGUUAUGACUGUAGUGUGAAUUGUUCGUCCAAUCUCCAUGGACCAUAUGCCAUGUGGACCAACACGGGCUCCAGAUGCCAUGUGGCCUAAUUUCCAGCUUAGGACUUUGUUCUUUGAUCGCACAUAUCUCCCUCGUCCGACCUCCGUUUGAGCUCUGGUUGGUCUCAUUGGAAUUUUCUCGUUGUUCUUUAUGCAUCGGAUACCUACAGCCUCAUAUAUACAAUGAGAAACGAGGUCGAACGGACCAAAAUGAUCCAUUUGACAAAAUGAAACAAGAACCCCUUUUUUUCUUCCAACCAAUCACAAAGGAGGGUCAAAACUAGGUCAAACAAGGUAAAAAACAGUCAAGAUGUGGUCAAAUUGGCAACAAAUAAUCGUGCUAUCACAUCCCCCCACACUUGAACGUUGCUUUUCCUCAAGCAAAUCUACUAAUCACACUCAAAGAGAACUCGAAACAGGGUGAAAAGAAAAUAUUUCCUAGCAUUUCAAGCCUAUUUCACGAUGCCAAGAUUGCAAGUCAAUCACCAAACCACUCAAUUAUGUAUAAGACAUUGAAUCCCUUAAAAAAUUUCACACCAAACUCUAAUAUAUAGAUAUUAUGAUUAGAUACCUAAACAAGCGAAUGUACUAAAGUUUCUCCAAUGCACUUAUGUCAUAUGGUACUAGCGGAAGAAAUGGACAGACAGACGGUCCUGGCUGGGUAUUUUUCCCGUCUUGAGGGAGGGGAUGCCUGAUCUAACAUAAACAUAACUAUCACCAAGUAUACUAGCAUCUCCCUCUUCUUUUACUCUACUUUGCUUUCUUUUGUAUUUAGUUUUCAACUAUCUUUUCUCCCUCUUUUUUUUCACAUGGAUGCUUUUUCCAAAUGAGGUGGUUGUGAUUCCAAUUAGGCUCAGAUCCGGUGAAUACCGGGCACCAGUACCGCAAUCCACACAUCGAAGGGUUGAGAAGAGGAGCCCGAGGUGUUGAGCAUACGAGUGGCAGAUCGAAAUCUACCUUGCGUGUUUGAAUCACAACCUUCCUCCAUAUCAUUCUUAAGCACAUUGGCCUCCUGUCCAUUUUGACUUCAUAAUACCAUAGACAAGUUCAAAAAGGAGAAUCAAUCAUACAUAUCGAGCAAGUAAAGGUGAAAACUCAAAACAUCCAUAUGUGCGAGUUUGAAGCAAACUAAUUUCAGGAAAAUGGGAGGUAGUCCACAAAUGAUUACUCAACAACCUAUUCGUCCUCAAGUAGUAUGAAUAAACUAGGUAUGCAUCCAAAGAGAUUCACAUAUUCAAAUUUGAGAGGGAGUAUCAAAAUUCAAGAGCAAGUCAGAAAAAAUGCUACCAAGAUAUGCACAAAAAUUCUCAAACCCGAAUAGUAUAAAAAAAUCCUCCCCCCCCCCACACUUGUACAACACAUUGUCCUCAAUGUGAAAAGAUAUAAGGGGAAGAGGGGUACCAAACGGGGGUGAGGAGUGAAGCCGGAUGAGAAGAUGAAGGAUCAAGAUCGAGUACCUAGAGUUUCACAAAAGGCAAGAACAAAAAAAAAACAAAAAAAAAACGCAGAAACAAACACGAAUAAUGGUCGAGUCAAGAGAAAAGAAGAUAUCUCAAGGCCGUCGAGGAGCUGUCUCAACAAGAAUCCAAUCCACUUAGGCAAGAGUAUACAAGAAUGUGCACAAGUAGAUAUGGAAGAGGCAAGAUGCAUAAGAUAUGCAUAACCAAUAAAGAAGAUAACUAGUUAUUCUCAACCAAGACUAACUAGCAAUCCUAAACAAGAGCAUCCUAUAAUCCAUAAAUGAGUAAGACAAGGGUGAGAAAAAGCUAUGGAACCAUCUCAACUCAUUUAGAAUCAAUUCCAGAAAGUUAUCAUCACAAACGUGUACCAAGUCCAAUCAACAAGAAUGAGCAUAAAGAGUGUAUGCAAAGCAUCAAGUGAACAAAGUAUGCAUCAUUCAACUAUAAUCAAUUUGAGAGCUCAAUGGACUACUAGUAUGCAUCAUUCUUCUUUGACUCAUUAACCAAAACAAUGAGCACAUAUGGAUAAUCAAAAGUAGUGGCAUGAUCAAAAUUCAAGCAUUAGAAGCAAUGAGCAAAGUCACAAUCAUCAAUUCAAUAAUUGGACGCAUCAAAUUCACCUAGCAACAACCUAGGUUCAACCAUACAAGGGAGCACAAAGAUGCAAUUCCAAAUUCUCAUCGCAAGAAUUCAACAACCCACAUAAUUCUUGUUCAAAAAUAUCAUAUUGGCAAAGCUAGACAUUCAAGUAGGCACAACCAUCUGAAACUGGCAAUUGCAAUGUUCAAAUUAGCACAAAAGCAUCAUUUGACCAAAUUUGACCACAAUUCAAACUUUCCACACACUCCAUCAAUCAAACCAGAGCAAACAGAACACAGACGACACAGAUUCAGGCCACAUCAUCAACCAAAAAGUCGUAGGCAGUCAAACGAGCUUUCCAACGCCGCUGGUCUUGCGAAAAACAAACGCUCGAGCAAGAAGUUAUGCUCAAAAUACCGAACCACAGCAUUUUUUCGCACAAGGCGACCAAUCAACGGAGGGUCAACGUCCGGUGAACCGGUCUGGUCAAACUCAGGUUGGUUCGGUUUGAAAAUCGGUUAAACAAUGCACCCCCUUCUUUGAAUAGUGCAUCUUGGCACAUUUUUAACACAAUCGAGCACGUUUCGGAGCUGGAAAUUCAAGUUUUUUUUUAGAAAACCCAUUGGAACUGUAGAUUUUGCAUAAAAAGUACGCUUUAGCCUUUUGUUUCCAAAAUCAAGCAAAUUUUAGGAUCUGAAAGUUCAAUUUUUUCAGAAAACCCGUAGGAAGUGUAGAUUUUUCAUAAAAGUAAGUCUGAGCAUAUUUUUUAGUAAAACAACCAUUUUUUAGCUCUCGAAAAUAUAAAAAUUUCAAGACUGCUUUUUUUCUUUUUCCUAAUGCAACGAAACUUCCUGCUAGCCUUAGGCACACUAAGAUAAGAUCAAGCAAAUCUCCAAACACUCGUUCUCUCGUCCCGGUCAUCACAAGAACACAAGAAACAAAAACACAAACAAAACACGACAAACACACAAUCAUGCAAGUUUUAUUCAAUUUUCCUACUCCUAAGCUACACUAUUCAUGACGAGACACCUAUGGUAUCACCAACUUGGUAAUGUUCAAGAUGCAUCCCACAAAGUAGAAGAGGGUCAAGAUGAGUAGAGGAGGUUACCUCGAUCUUGGAAGGAACGAACUUUUGUUACCAUAAAGGGGCCGGAGAUGAGGACUCUAUCGCCCUCUUUGAGUGCUUGUUUGGUGGGGAGGUGCAAAUCAUGGAGUUGCUUGAUCGCUUUCUUGCAACUCCCAUCCUUGACCUUGUGGACACUUUUUUGGUGAGAAGAAGGAUUCUUGGGCUCAAGGUCUGGUGGUUCUUCAUGCAUGUUCCUCGCCUUAGCAUGCACUCCCUUGAUCGAGAUAGCUUCGGUUUCCUUAUUAUACUAUUUCACACACUCGCUCAAGGAUGGAUCCAAGGCUUCAUGAUGAAGAGAUACAUUAAUAGCAUAAACUAAAGCCAUUUCAACGGGCUCGCCAAUAUCAUUAUCAUCUUGAGGAUCCGGGUGCUCCAUACCCCCGAUCAAUUGAAAUGUGGCUUCCUUUUGACCCACUCUCAAGGUAAGCUUACCCUCAAACACAUCUAUGAUUUCCUUCGACGUGUUGAGAAAUGGACGACCCAAAAUCAAUGAAACGUCGGUGUCUCCGGUGUCAAUCACAACAAAAUCCACCGGAAACAUGAACCUUCCAACAUGCAUAAUAACAUCUUCAACUACACCACUAAGCAAUUUUGUAGUUUUUUCCGCUAGUUGGAUGCACAUCUUAGUUGUUGUAAGUUGACCUAGGCCUAGUUUCUUGUACAAUGAAUAUGUCAUGACAUAUAUACUAGCACCUAGAUCUGCUAAACCUCUUUCAAUCACAACUUGACUAAUCAUGGAAGGGAGAAAGAAACUACCCAGAUCUUUGCGUUUGCAAGGGAGGUCCCUUGAGAGGAUUGUCGAGCAUUGCUCAUUGAGAUUGAUGUUGGAAGCUUCUAUGAGCCUUCGCUUGUUGGUGAAGAUCUCCCUUAGGAACUUGGCGUAUUGAGGCAUCCUUUCGAUUGCCUCGACGAAAAGAACGGUGAAGUUCAUAUUGCAAAGUCGAAGCACAAGUUGCUUUAAGCUCUUCUCGAGAAGAUCCUUAUCCAAUUGGUUGGGAUAAGGUGGCUUAGGGUUGUAUGGAGCCGACUGGGGCUAGGAGAUAGGAGAAGCCUCAGUUGAACUCUUCGUAGCCUUCUUGGAACCAACUUCAGUUGACACCUUUGGCUUUCCAUUACUCUUUGGAGCUUUCGGAACUAAUGCAUGCGGAACCGGUGCACUUUCUUCGACCAUCACUUCAUUCUCUUAAUCACUAGAUGCUUCAUUUUUCAUUAACAUCUUUCACAAGAAAUUCAUUAUCAUGCACAAGCUUGCUAGGUACAUCGAUAGGAGGAUCGAUUAAAUUUAGGAGUUGUGGACACAUAGUGUCUCAUGCUCCUAGUUGUGAUAGAUCCACAAGUUUCCUUGCUCUUUGGAUUGGUUAUGAUAUUUCUAGGUAGAGUGCACGGUUGCCGACUUGAAAGAGCGUGUGUGAGGUAUCCAACUUGAUUCUUAAGAUCCACCAUUUGAGCUUGAGUUGAGGCAUUGUGGGUGUCUUGAAAUGCUCUUUGCUCUUGAGUCACCUUGUUGUGCUCUUGGAAGAACUUAGCUUGAUUCUCAAUCAUUUGGUUUCCUCCAUUGAAGCUCCCUUGAACAUAAUCAACUUCUUUAAUGAAGUGCUCUUCCUCCGGUGCGAAAUCGGGAGCAAGGGAUUGGCAAGUAGAGGUGGCAUGCCCUUCGUUCCCAUAACAUUCACAAACAAAGAGUUGCACAACCAGUUGAUUCACCUUUGGUUCUUGUACCUCUUUCUUUUGAGGUGGAGUGGCGGUUGGUCUCACCACCGGUUGAGCCAAGGCAAGUGCUUUGAUUUGAGCCGCCAUGCCAUCCAUCCUUGAUAGCAUCAAGUGAACAAGAUGGUUGGGAUCUUCCUCCUUAUGUCCCGGCAUCUCCUUAAGGACCUUUGGAGCUUGAGUGCGAGUACAAACAUAAGGAUCUAUGCUCACCACCUUAGCUUCUAUAGGACCUUGUUGCCUAGACCAACUCUUCAUCUUCACCGCCAUUUCCCGGAAGACUUGAAGCCAUCAUUUGGCGAGGAGUGAUCUCAAGUCUCCUCCCGCCGCUUGAUUGGUCAUCUUGGUGUCCUCAUAAGUGAGUCCUCAUAAGUGAGUCCUCUAGCAAAGGUCUCCGCGAGUUUCCACUCAUUGAAGUUGAAGUUGUGAUGAGGGCAAGAGUAGAGAAGGGCUUGGGACCUCUCCCAAGCUUCAAAGAAUGGCUCUCCAUUAAUUUUCUCAAAGUUGGAGAUUCUACUUUGGAUCUCAUCCGUCUUGUAAGGCAGGAAGAAUUCCUCCAAGAAGGCCUUUGCUAGAUUGUCCCAAGCUUGGAAGGUAUUGUUUCGUUGGUUGUCGAGCCAUUGAUUUGCCUUCCAUUGGAGUGAGAAGGGAAGAGUCGGAGUUGAAUGGCUUCUUGCGACACAUGAUUGAACUUCAUUAGAUCCAUGAUCUCGAGAUAGCUACUUGGACAUUCGUGCUCGUGCCCAUGGUAUACGUUUUGUUGCACCAUUUGAAUGUAGUUGAACUUCAACUCGAAGUUCCGGUUAUCAAUAAGGGGUGGAGCACACUUGAAGAAGUACCUUCAAGAGUUGGCUUAGGUAAUCACCUAGAGUUCUUUGAGGUUCUUGAGCCAUCUCAAAGAUGUUAACAAAUUCAUCAGCCUCUCCUUUGCAAGAUGAAACAAUUGAUGAGUGAUCCAGGGUUGUUAAAGAAGUUGCGAUGUGAGGUGGUGGUGGUGCUUGAGGUGGAGAUGAGAUGAAUCUCUUUGGUAGACGCCUUGUACGCUUCAAUCUUCUCAUGCACUAAUAGUGCAUGAACGGAACCUACACAACAAAGCAAACAACCAAGGGAACACAACAAAGGAAUAAACACACAAGAAGGGGGUAGCAAUAAGUAAAAUGGAUUAGGUAGAAUGCCUAAAUCGGUGUCUAAUCUACUCUUUCAAGGGGGUGAUUACACUCCCCAACAAUGGCGCGAUUUUGAUCCUCUAAAAAAGAACCAAACAAACAUGAUCGGCUAAGAAAAGGGACUAAUCCCAAACCCAAGGUCUCAAGUGACAAUUUUCACGAGGAACAGACCACCAACCCUAUACUCAACUAUUAAAGACACGGUUUAAGCUCACAAAAGUUCAAAAUGCUAGUUCCUUAAAUUAUCCACUAAAGUACAUAUCAUUCACAAGAGUAAUUGGAACUAAAUUAAGCUAACGAACUAAGCAAACAAGAUACUAAAGAGGGUGAACACAAGGAGAGGAGGGUUGCUAGAUUUCGGGUGUUGUUUUUGCACUCAAAUCCGAUUCAAAAGAAAUAUUGGCCACACUGGAAAAAAGUUAUGGUUUGACCAUCCUCUAAACAUUCGUAGCAGUGUAAUUCAAGGUCUUAAAUUGGACUACCACUACCAAUUGGCAAGUGAGCAAGCCAAUUGGUAGUGAACACCAAGUGUUCAACAAAAUUCUUAGAUGCUAAAAGACUUACUGGCAUCACAAACACUUGACAAGGGUGCUAAGUCACUAUUUGACACCCCCUAACAUUCCAAUCGCCUAAAUUGUCACUACCUAAGUGAUUACCAAAAUGCACUCAAGGUGUUCGAUAAAAUGCCACUAAGAGAAUCCUCACACUAAAGGUUGAAUUGGGGUGUGUGCUUGGUCCACACACCCUUAAUCCAAUCUUGGACUACACACUUACUCAAGUCAAGCACAAUUAAGUAAUUGAAAGAGUGCAUUUGACCUAGAACAAGCCAUAGCACAUUCUAAGUUGCAAUAACCAUAGUCCAACCAUUCUCAAAUACCAUAAUCCAUAUCCAACAUGUAUCCAAACUCUCAUCAUGAGGGGAUCAUCCUAGUACAUAGCAAUACCCUAAUCUAACAACUAAAGAGUCUAGCCACUCAUCAUGACACUAAAACUAAAGAAAAGGGAUACAAUCACCAUCAAACAACUAGAAUGAAGAAGAUGAUGAGGGUAGGAUCCUUCCUCCAAGCUCUACUAUUACAAUUCCUUCAAUCCUUGGUCUUCUCUAGCUCCCAAGCUUCUUCAAGGUCUUCAAUUGACCUUUUAAGGCUUCAAAUUGGGGGAAAAUCGAGAGAGGAGUCAUAUCAUCAUACAUCUUAAUAUUAUCUCUAAUUGGGACCACCUCAAUAUUAUCUGCAACAAUCUCAUCCUCAGUGUCAACCUCUAUGGCAAGUAGCUGUUGUAACUCCGUUUCUGAAGAUGAUGCAACCACUCCACUAGAGGAGGCAUCACAAUGAACAGCAAACCUACAUGAACAAACUCUAUACGAUUGAGGUUACCAAACAAAUCACCCCACACUUAUCUUUUGCAUAAACCAAUAUGCAUUAAUCAAGCUGUAGAAAAAGAGAAGAGUGGGCUUAGAAGCAACUAUUGAACAUCUCAUCCAAAUAGGAAAUCUGUCAUAAUAAAGAAUACUCAACAUCAUUAAGGCAAUCCACGUAAGGUUUAGGGCACUUAGAAACUAUCCACAAAGUCACACAAACAAUGUAAGACAUGUAAAAUUUCAUAAAUUCUUAACCCAGAAAAAUACCGAGCAAAACUCAACAUUCCUAUGACACCUAAUCAUAUAAUUUCAAAGUGCAAAGGAUGUCAUUAACAUCCUAUAUCAUACCCAAUUGAAUUCUAGCAUCAUCAAUUUCACAAAACCUCAUAUUUGAAAUUUCAAGUUCUUCAAGCUAAUCAUCAAUCUCAACAAUUUAACCAAUCAGGGCAAAGUGAACAAGGAGAAACUGGGCAAAAUUCAAUGUAAACUAGCUCAAAACUCACUCAAAGUUGAUGAAAAACGAAGGGGGGAGAUUGGGGGAGGGUUCGGCGGUGACCGACAACGGUUCUAUGGUGACAGGAGUGCGGAGUUUUGAAUGACGGCAAAGGGGUAGGAGGGUGGAGUCGGCGUCAGUGGAAUGUUUGAAAAAAAUAUGGUUCAAAAAUCGGCUAAGGCUAGAAUAUUUAGAAACCCGUGUCAACUAUUGCAUUGUAGAAGUGUCAAAAAUGCGGUAUGGACAUAGCGCAAUGUUUGACAAAUCAUAGCGCAAUGAUUGAAAGGAUUUCCAGAACUCAAUGUCAACAUUUUUUCUAUAGAUGGUCAAUUAUUGCGCUAUGGGCAUAGCACAAUGCUUGACACAGAUCCAUAGCACAAAGGUUGACAUCCUAUUAUGUGAACUUCCAUAGUUCAUGAAAGAAUCAACACUCUUUGCAUUGACGACUGGGGACAAGAAUGACACUCAAGUAUCACGUUCUAGACUCGAUCUAACUCCUACACAUGCAAAUUGACUCAAAGAAUAUGAAAAAUACUGACUCCAGACAUGGGCUUCCUUCCAUGAAGCGCUCUUUCUUUAACGUCUUUGAGCUAGAUGAUACAAGGACCUCAAUUUAGCAUCUUCAAAGUAAUGAACUUUUACUCCAUCGGUAGGCUUGGUACUGAGAUAUAGCUUGAGACGUUGACCGCUGAAUUUAAUGUUCCUUGGUCCGGAUGUGUGAUCUCCACAAAUCGGUAGGGAAAUGAUUGUGUGACUUCAUAAGGUCCCGACCAUCUUGAUUGUAAUUUUCCCAAAAAUAGUCAGAGCUGGGAGUUGUAGAGCAGCACCUUAUCUCCCUACUUGAAUUCUUUGACCCCUUGAAUAUUAGCAUCGUCGAUUCGUUUCAUCCUUUCCUUAUAUAUACAUGAGCUCUCGUAAGUAUGAAACAUGUGCUCCUCUAGCUCAAGGAGCUAAUAUUUGCAUUCUGAAGCUACGAGACUAUCAUCCAUGUUUAGCAGCUUCAUGGCCCACCAUGCAUUAUGCUCAAGCUCGACCGGUAAAUGAUAAGCCUUUCCAUAAACGAAUCGAUACGGGAAAGUGUAGAUAGGGAUCUUGAAGGCGGUUCGGUAAGCCCAUAGAGCUUCAUCGAGCCAAAUCGACCUGUCCUUAUGAGACUGAUCGACUGUGCUAUCAAGAAUCUGCUUAAGCUCACGAUUCUUCACCUCCACUUGACCGCUUGCAUGUGGAUGGUAAGCGGUCAUCAAUCAAGGAGCUAUGCUAAAUGUUUGGCAAACUCAAUAGAAUUGACCCUGAAAGUGAGUGACUUUAUCGCUAAUGAUAGCAUGAAGGCCGCUGAAACGCAUGAAAACGCAUGUAAUAAACUUUCCCACUGUCAGAACAUAGUUAGUAGACAGCGGUUGCGCCUCUGCCCACUUUGAGACAUAAUCCACUUUGAAAUGUUACAUGUACGUUGGCAGUUGAUUUUGGGCUUUAAUCUGAAUUCUGUGAAUUUUGGAAAUUGGCUGAUCAAUGGACAGUCACAGGCAUGACAGUCAGUCUAUCACGGGAAAGGUUGUCAGACAGACCACGACCGUUGUCAGCAAACAUUCAUGGGCGUGACCACUGGAAGAUCAAGGGCUUGACCAUCAGGAGGUCAUGGUUGUGACCAUCAGUAGGUCACGGGCAUGGUUUCUAUGUGGCCACGGGUAUGGUGGUAAGUUGGACAUGGGCGUGGUGGACUUAUUAUAUAAGGACAGUUGCAACUUACAACUCAGAAUUACUGAAACCUAAGAACUUUGAAUCCCUCUGCAAAUGGCAAUCAAUUUCAGGAGAUGGAGAAAUCCCAUUUGAUCUAAUCCCAAAUCAUUAGGAAAGGUCUAGAAAUCGUUGAGGAUGCUUCCAAAGCUACUCAAUCUUCUUCCUCCUUUCUCAAUCCUUGAUUGGAAAUCCUACGUAGGAAAUUCCUGACACAUUAGGAUUUGGGGUUUUCAGAUUUCAAUCCUAUGAAUUAAUCUCUACGGGUCAGACAGAACAUGAGGCUUGAUCUUGGGAAGGUAGCUUCAUAUUAGACUCUACUAGGAAAGCUAAUCAGAGGUGGGGGGUUAGGAUUUCUUUUCUGCUUUAAGUGUAGAACUGUAAUUAGGAUUGUCAGGAAUCCGAUUAUUAGAUUCUCAGACUGUGUAGUAGCAUAUGAUUUAUUGUACAUGUGUUGUGAUUUGAAGGGCUCUCAAGACUGUGCAAUAGCGUGUGAUCUACUGUACAUGUAUUACGAUUUUUAGAGCCAAGCUCUUAGUAUUGUGCAGUAACGUGUGAUCUACUGUACAUGGGUUGUGAAACAGAGCCAGGCUCUCAGACUAUGUAGUAGCGUGUAAUCUACUGUACAUGCAGUUGUUUAAUUUCGAGCAUAAGCUCAUGGUGAUUAAACUAUGCUUGUGAUUCACAGUUCAUGUUAGGACAGGAUCAUGUUUAGCUAGAUUAGCUCUCGAUAUGCAUUGGUCACCCGCCCAUGGAUUGCGCAAUCCCUUAGGUCAUGUUCAGGCUCAUGUUGGACGUGUCGAGUAUGCCUAUAGAUGCUGCUCACACGGUUUUCAGGAUGGUUUCAUAGUUUGAUCCACCAUGAGGCUAUCUACCAUAGCUAGGGGUGGUUGUUGUCAAGAUGAUGCCUACAACCUGUGAGUAAUGCAUGGGUCGAACCAUGUAGUUCGAUUGGGUCUUCUAGGGGCGUGUUUCACGGUAAUCUUCUAUAUAUGUCCCGAAAGCAAGGAUGGUGGCUAUCUCGGUAAACCACUAGCGCUUGUAGAGGUGAUGAUCCGAGACUUCCUUUGCUUCUUCCAAGAGAAAUAAUUGAUCAUCCAGAAAGAGCUCAUUUAUCUCUGCUUCAGCGAAUCGACCCAGAGAAGGCCCUUCAAGGUGCGAUAGGUGGUUAGCUGCAACGUUCUCUGAUCUCGCCUUGCCCUUAAUAGUCAUGUCAAACUCUUGAAGGAGUAGCACCUAGUGAAUCAAUCUCAAGUUCCCAUCCUGUUUAGCUAUAAGAUACUUAAGAGCAAAAUGGUCGCCGGAAUCUGGGCAGAGGUCGCCAGCGGUAACGGCCUCACUAGAGAAGAAGGGUGACCUCCCCACAAUCAUGAGGAGUUCAGUGACCAGAUCUGCAAAGUCUGAAAGAUAAGUUGCUGUUGUGCAUUUGAAUAUUCUAAAGUCUAGCUUCCGUAGCUCUGAAGUUUUGGAUGGUUUACAGUUAUGGACCUUGGUCAGAUUUUUUAUCAUUUGGAAGUUCUAGAUCAGUUAGUGUAAUGGAGGUCAUUAGAGGACUAGAGUAACAUUUAUGUCCUUAAAAUUUUCAGAUUAUUGCAAAUAAGUAAAUGGAGAAGAACUCGGUCGUUUGAGCUCCAAAUGACGCACGGUUAGAACUUACGGAUUUAUGGCAACGAGAGAAAUCAUGCCAAGUUAGGAUCAAAGGUGUCAGAUCUUCUUAACAGGUGGGGGUUUAGGAUUACAUUCUGCUUAUAAGCUUAGAACUAUAAUAGGAUGUUAGGGAAUCCGAUUAUUGGAUUCUUCAUGUGAUUCAGAGCAAGGGCUCUCAGGAUUGUACAAUAGCGUGUGAUCUACUGUAUAAAUGUUGUGAUGUGAUUCGGAGCAAGUGCUCUCGGACUAUAUAGUAGCGCAUAAUCUACUCUAUAGAUGUUGUGAUGUGCUUUGGAGUGUGGGCUCUUAGGCUGUACAAUAGCGUGUGAUCUACAGUAGAGGCAAUUAUUAUAAUUCGAGCAUAAGCUCUUGGCGUUUGGACUGUGGCAUGUGAUUCACAGUUCAUGUUAGGAUAGGAUAGGCCUAGAUAGACUAGGUCACAAUUAUGAUACGUCGGGCACCCACCCAUGGAUUGCACAAUCCCCCAUGUUAUAAUCGGGCUCAGGCAGGACGUGUUGAGUAUGCAUACUGAUGCUGCUCAUACGGUAUUCAGAGUGGUUUUAUGGUCUGAUCUACCGUGAGGUCAUCCACAUAGCUAGGGGUGGCUGAUGUUAUGUUGAUGCCUACUGGACCAGAUGGUCACAUUACUAGAGUAGUGACUACAUAGAAUUCCAUGUUCUAUUCUUAGUACAGGUCAGUUUCAAUCUCAGUUCUACGCGAGUCCAGAUAGCCACUUAGUGUUUAUCACUAACUCUAUUAGAUAUUAUUUUCUCUGGUGUAUAUGUGUGUUCGGUCACAAGAACUGGAGCUGAUGGUGGGGAGAGAGCUAGUCGGAGUUUUGAUAUCACAUGAUAUAUGUUUUGAUGUAUUUUCAGUACUAGAGUUGCAUCUCCUUUUAUCAUGUUGUGAUUUGGGAUCCGAGAUCCUUGUUGGUCAAUUUUAUCAAAGUAUUUCGGUUCAACUUUUAAUGCUUGUUUUUGCUCAUUUAUUAGUAGUAGAGAGUAGAGGUUGGUUCAGCUUGGAACCCGAUAAGAUUUCUUGAUUGAACCAGUGGUUCGACCAAAACUCUUAGGGUGGGGUUUCAGAGAAAAUGUGAUAGUGAAAUAUACAUUUCCCAAAAAAAUUCAUCUUCCCACCGAUAAGUUUUGGCUAUUUUCGUAUUUUCAUAAUUACCUUUAUUUUAGAUUGUAUGAUUCAAUUCAUUACCAAUUGUCAGAUUAUGUUGUGACAUCAUCAUUUCUAUCAAACGAACAACAUUGGCUCCAUUUAUAGGAUUUUAUCUAUUGCAUAUAAGACUAUUGGAUCCAUUUUGAUUUGUAAAAGUGGGUCCUACUUCCAUCUCAUUUUGUUUUGAAAUUUUGCAUACUUCACUUUGAAAGGCUUCUCAUUAAUGCAAUUCAAAAACAUUUGCAAAAGUGGACUUACAUGAAUAAAAUGAUCAUUUCUUAUAUAUUAUUUUAUUAGCAAAUAAUGAUAUGAGAAGGCCCAAUCCAUUGGGUCUUGAUCAGAAUGGCACAACCUAUUAAAAAUACCUAUUUUGGCAUAACAUAAUUAUAAUUUUACAAAAUAAAAUAUUUAAUUGACUUUUUAAAACUCAAUACAAAAAACUAAAAAAAUAUCAAAGUUCAUCAUAUUCUUCUCCCACCACCAUCCUAUCUCCACUAUCUUCUUAUCAUCCCCAUCAUCCAUUGCUAAACCCAACAAUUACUUUCUCUAAAUCUAUCACUUACCAAAUCCAAAAUCAUAUUCAUUUGUACACACAACCAAGUAUGCAAAUUUUAGAUAUGAUUUGUGUUGGUUUUUUAGAUCUGAUUUUGUCGAUCUCGAAGGUGAAGAUGAUUGACGACGGGGAAGGGGACUCUAAUACCCAAAUAUGCUACUGGAGAAUAAUCCAUCUUUCCAGACUAUUGCAAUUCAUACCGCUCCUUGAAUACUUACAGAGAAAGACGGCGCAUCGAGCUCAAAAGGAGAGGGUAGCGAGCAAUCGAAGGAGAGUAGAAAAAGCCGUUGCAAGCAAAAGAGAAAUCGACCACCAGAUCUCCUAGGAUUCCUCAUCUGAGGAAGCCAUCAAGAGAUUUUUUCCUAUAAGUCAGUUCAGCUACUAAAGCUACAAGUGGUGAUGAUGAAUAAGCUUCCAUAAGUGGUUCGCUGGGUAUCUCUACUUUGACCUCCUUCAUGGGAGCUCCGUCGUCGCCGCUGGCGACCCUAAAAAAGAACAUGCAUUUAAACGCGUUUACACACUAAACUAAAAAGGAGAAUGAAAGACUAUAAUUGGAAUUUCAACAACAAGAGAAAGUUAACUUCUUUUUUCUAAUCCACCGUCGGGAGGAGCAGCAGCAAGCUUCGCCCGUCUUCUUCCCUUUUGGGAUUUUUUUGAAUUAAUUAAGAAUUUUAUUAAUUAGAAGUUUAAAAUUAUAUGAUGUGGAGCCUAUAUUGAAGUCAAGUGGGAGGUACGUCAGGGGUGUUAAGUUUGACUGUUAAGUUGAUGGUCAAAUUUCAAAUAUGUGCCACAAUAAGUAUUUCUAAUAGGUUAUGCCAUUCUGGGUUUAGACCCAAUAGGUUGGGCCUCCUUAGAUCAUUAUUCAUUUUAUUAACUACAUAUAUGUUAUAAAAAUGUAUAAGUGACAAGUGGGUCUCAAAUGAUUAAAAAAUAUAAAUGAAAAAAUGGGCCACAAGUGAGAUUAUCACUUUGACUUGGAACGAGUACAAAUUUGCACUUAAAAUGAUCCUUUCCCAUCAAUAAUAUUCUCAUUUAAAUUUAAAAAUUGCCACAUAGGCUCCAUGUUACUUAACAAGUAGGGAAAAUCUCAGUGAUAAGAUGCUAUAAUAACAAAUAAUCUUGAGGCCAAAUCCAAUAACUGAGCAUGCCUUCUACAUGUCGGACUCCACCAUAUAAACACGGCCCACGUUAUAAUUGAUUCAUUAAAAAAAAGAAACAAUUUGAUGAAUUGAUGAAAGAAGCGAAAGGCAAAAGAUGGAAAUUGUCGUUUCUCUUCCUAAAACUAGGGUUUUGUUUCUCUCACUAAAAUUAGGGUAUCUCUUCGUCAUGAAGACUUCCUACACCCCCAUCGCCAUCAUGCUCAAGCACAAACCUACUCCUAUCAUCAACAAACCCAUCCCACCUACCGAUGUUGUCAUCAAAACAAGACCGACCCUUACUGCACCCAUGGCCUCCCUAUCGUUGAAGGAGAGUCAUGGCUCGGAGGACCUGACCGGAAUGACAUGGCUGACGAUUGGAUACCAGAGCUGCAGCAAUCUGGAAAGCCCCACAAAGAUUCUCCGCCGACAAAGACCAGCAGGUCAACACUAAGGAGAGGCGGUGUUCCUCCGAUCUUCGAGCUACAGGGGAGCGAGACGACUCUACCCCAUACACCAUAGUGACAUCGCCGGUGUGGACAUCCGAUCAUUCCAUUCAAAGCUCAUGAAGAUCGGCUACACUUGUGUUUGGCUUUCUUUAUUUUUGUUUAGUACUCUCUUUUUAGACAUUUGGUUGAUUUUCAGUCGUACGUUGCACUUCAUUUGUUUCCUUCCUUGAGUCGGGGUAUAGUUUUGUUAAUUUUUUUGUUUAUUUCGUUGCAUCUAAAACCGUUGAUGGUCGAAGAGAUUAAAACUGUAAAUAAAAUAUUCAAUUACCUACUUUCCCCUUACAUCUUUUCUAAAAAACAACUCUCAAUUGCAUUUCUCAUGGUCAAUGUUAUAUCACGCCUCCCUCUAUAAAGAAAUUAUAUUUUGUAAAAAAAAAAAGCGAAAGGCAAAAGAUAUCGCGAGACCUAGUUCUAUAUAAACCCAUUCCAUUCGCAGGUUACGAGCGGCCGUCAUCGCUGUCACAGGGCCAGAUAUGGGAAGCGCUAAAGCUGGCAAACCCUCAAAGAAGUCUCUCAGAAACCCUAAUCCGCUUCGCAUUACCCAUAGGAAGAUUACGAAGCACAAACGGCAAGACAUUGCUGUUGAUACAGUUCCCACCGCCCUGAAGUAGAAACACAACCUCAUAUCGGAGAAGAGGAGCCCCUUCCUUCAGCUUCCCAGCAACUCAGCUUUUUCCUCAGCAAGUUCCAGUCAGCUAAUGGUCUUCAAGGUUAGUCUCUACCGCUGGAGCUCCACAAUAUUGUAUCCCAUGACAUCUCUAUUUGGUUGCUGGACAGAGGGAUUAUUAACAAUUUGUGUAUUGUAUUUGCAGAAACAUCCUUUAUUCAGUUAUUUUGAGAGCUGCCUCAGGAUGUUGAGGGCCUAGGCCAGCAUUUGAAGACUGCUUUCGGAAAGUCAUGGAAAGAAGAACGCUGUGAUCGAAAGCUCGUGGAUAGGUAAACUGAACCAGAGAGUCCUGCUGCUCUUUUCAUUUCUACAUCUGCAUUGAGAGCAAUAGAACUUUUAAGGUAUAGAUUCUCUCAGUUCUUGUUAAUGAUCUUUGUUUUGCUCGAUUUAAUCAGGGUUUGGGCUUGAUUCAAUCUUCUUCUUUUAGGGGUGUGCGUUCACUGAGCGUUCACUGACGAAAGAAUGCCAUGCUGCAAAGCUCUUCUCUAAGCACAUGAAGGUUGAAGAACAUGUGAUAUCCUUUCCCUUUUGUCACUUGUUGUUCCUAUUACAUCGUUAAACAAAAUACUAUCUCUUUAUGUUUCGAGGUGUUGUCAUUUGUUUUGGAUAUCAUUCAGUUCCUUUUAUUAUUACUGCUGCUCGAGUUACGAACAUCUGAGGAAAUAGCAAUGCUUAGGAUGUUAUUGUCCACUUCACUGUCUCGAGACACCGACAUUGUCUUUAGUUAUUAUUUAUGGGUCCAACAAGUUAUGACUUGAACCAUGGUCACAUGGAACAAAAUUAAUUUAUAAAUUCGGACUUCUGUUUCAUCAGUGACAUUUUCACUCUUCGUCAUCAUAUACAUUUGGUGUUUGUUUGUUUUUGGUAAAAGGAUUUGAUAUUACCAGUUAUAAAGAUCAAAGGGCAGUAGCAGUGCAGGAUAAGCUUUUUUCACAUCAGUCUGCUUCUAGUUCAGUAUCUUAGUUUCAAUGAUUUAUGGCUGGAAGCAUGGAGCAGUAUGGAAUUUUUGCAAACAAUUGUUGGAUUAGGAAUUUCAUACUUCUUUUCACUGCAUUUUGAUGUUGGGAUAUGAUGAGUUACACGGAUCAAAUGCUCUAGCAGUGCUGAAUAUGUUUUUUGCACGUCAGUCUGAUCCCAACUUACCGUAUUUUUACUGCCCCUACCUUUAAAUGCAUGUCCGAGUUCUAACAAUAGAUGACUUGAGACAUGGAGCCUAUGAAUGGGGGUUCUCUGUUUGAUUUUAUGACAUUUUACAAUAAUUGUCACAAAUUUUUUUGACAUUGGAUAUGAUGAUGAGUUAGAAUCAAAGGCACUAGAGAUGCUGAAUAUGAUUUUUUGCACGUCAGUCUGAUCCCAGCCUUUCGAUUUCUGAUUACUGGAAUUUAAAAUUUUACUUUGUUUUCGUCAUUUUGACAUUGGGAUAUGAUGAUGAGAUGUAGAUCAAAGGCAUUAGCGGUGCUGAAUGUUUAUUUUGCACGUCAGUCUGAUCCCAGCUCACUGUUCCGAGAUUGUGCUGCCUUCUUGCAUUUCCUAGUUAAAAAAAUGUACUCCUUGGACAUGGAUCUAAACGAACUUCAAAAUAUGAAUGAUUAAGAUUUCGUGAUCAGUGUCAUUCAUAGUUUAUGAUCACUAAUUUAAAUCUCGUGGCAUAUCUUGCAGGGUGUUUAUAGCCAAUUAGAUGCCACACUCACUGAAAGCUUAACUUACGAUUUAGGUUCUGGUUGUGUAUCCCCCCCCCUGUCCACCGCCUUUAACCUUGUACUUCUAAGCAAUUGAUUGUAUUUCCUGAAUAAUGGCUACAUAUUUCGUAAUUGUUCAUGCUCUGCUGAUUAUAUUUUUGCACGUCUCUGUUCCUAAUAAAACUGCACACUAUUUUACGAAAAAAGACGUGCACGCUAAUAUCGUACACCAAUGUAAUAUAACACUAUUAACAACAAAAAGUUCUUAGUACGGGUUCAAUGUCAUCAUGCAACAUCCAUGAUGCCGUUCCUUAGUCUCUCUACGUGACUCUGUGUUGCAUUUGGUAAACUAUUUCUUAAACUUCUGGCUCCGUUUACUGCAGGUCACUUUCUUCAAGAAUCGUGUCAAUAUUGCCAGCGGCACACCAAACAGGUUAGUCACCAGUCAUUUCAUCUCGAUAUUGAUGUUACAAUGGGUCGUUUGGAUGAGGUAUUUGAAAGUGGUAUUUUGGCUCAAGUAACUCAAACUAAAGUUAUAACUGAGUUAUUUGGGCCAAAACACUUCGUUUUCCAUCCGAAAUAAAAGUCGUUAUAUUUCAUAACUGUGAUAUUUGAAAUAAUUAUGGAUGUGAUAUUUGAAAUAACUCAAUUUAAAACCAUAACUCAAAAUGAUAGCUAAACGAAUAAUUCUUAUCCCCCAAAUUCUUACAACUGAUCCAAACGAUUAAUGUUUACUUGCUCAUCCUUUUCGUUCUAGCUGAAUAUUUGCAUUUCCGAAAUAAUGCGCCCCACAUGAGUUCGGUAUACAUUGGUGAUUGCUUUUGCAAGUUUUCCGUGCAUGAAUUGUUGUGGUAUUCAUCAGAAAAUUACCAAUAGGAAAUAGUUAAGAGGUCGUAGAAAAUGCAUCGGGAGUGUCAUUUUAUAUUGUAGGGGCAAAAAUUGAUUUUGAUGAAUUUGAACUUUCUUGACUAGAUUCUUGAUAAAAAAAACUAUCUUGACUAGGUUGAAGAAGUUGAUAGAUAUAAAAGCAAUGGGGCUCUCGCGGUUUUAAAGUUAUCGUGCUAGAUGUCCACCAUGAUGUAAAGGGUUAUUCCUUGCUCACACUUCCACAAGGGGGAGAUAUAGAGAGAAUGUCCGGUCUCUUUUCAACACAGCGAGGAGCAUAGUCGAUUUUGUCAUGUGAAGAGUUGCUGUUGUACAAGUGUUAGUUUGUUAUUUUGACAGGACACUUUUUCAAUUAUUCAAAACUUAUAUUCUAGCUAAGCUAAGGGUAAAUAUCCAUUUUGUAAUUUCACUUGUUGCUGCUUCUACCAAGAGACAGCACACAAGGAAUUAUACUCAUCGGCUUCCUGGCCGCAAUUGAGUUAAAUCUUCUUUUCGGCCCCUAGCGUUUAAAAUAAAAUAAAUCUUUCACCGGCUACCUUCAAAAUCCUCUGUUUAUCUUUCCUUUGAUCUUAUCAAAUUUUUAUAGUGACAAAGUUUGUGAAAUUACUUAAUAAAAAAAAGAAAAAAUUAUUAAACAAUUGCUAAUAUUUAGGCCCGACAUUCGAUAUAGCACAUGUUUUUUAUAAUAUUUUUUUUUGCCCAAAUUUCAAAUUAUGUUAAUUCCUUUAAGUUAAAAUUAACGGAUUGGUGACAAAUGCUGACAAGGCAAACAAUGUGUCUGAUGUGGAUGGAUGAAAAGAAGUCAAUCGGAAAUAAAUACACAGUCAACAUACAGUUAAAAAAUUUUAUAACAAAAACCACCCACAUUCCUUAUCCUCUUCGUCGACCAGCCUUUUAUCACCCACCUGUCACCUCCCUUCUAAAUUAAUUUUCAUCAGAUGGGGAGAAAGAGUGGAAGAAGAAGAAGAAGAAAGAAAGAUGGAGCAAGGUGCAUUUGAUUUGAAUCCCGACAAUGUCGACAACAAUCUUGUAUCUAAAUUCUUUGUCGAUUUGAAUUUCGAUGAUGCCAACAACAACCUCAUUCUUGAACUCUCCGUCGAUUUGAAUCCCGACGAUCCCAUCAACAACACCAUUCCUGAACUCUUCGACAAUUUGAAUCCCGACGAUGCUGAUAACAACCUCAUACCUGAAUUCUCCGUUGAUUGAAUCUCAAUGAUGCCAACAACGACUCUCUAUCGUUGUCGAUGAAAUGCCCAAGCUUGUGGAGAGAUGGAUACAGGGAGUAGUAGCAGGUACAUGUCCAAAUAUGGAUGUUGAGAAAUCCUCCUCGGCUGUCGAUUUCGAAUGGUCCCCACGUUUCAAAUUGAUUUUAGUGUUCUUGCUGGGAGUAGGUUUGCACGCGGCUGAGAUUGGGUUUAUCUGUUUGUUGCAAAUGAAUGAAUUGAAUUGGUUGGUUUUUUAUUGGGGGUGGGUUUUGCAAGCAAGUUGAGUUGUUUGAUUGGUUUGAAGUUUUUUUUGUCUUGAUUGGGUUUUGUAAAAAAUGCUAGCAGAAUACUGACAAUGGAGGAGAAGGUGGAGGAAGGAAAAAGAAGGUGGAGGAGAUGAAUGAUUUUUUUGGUAGCUGAGUUAUUAUUAUUUAAUGAAAGGAGGUAAAUAAAAUUUACCUAACUAAGCUGACGUGACCAGUGAUUGUUAUGUGGCGUCGGACAUGGUAUCUUGAUGAUUUUCUUCUUACGGCGUUUCGUGUUUGGUUAACUAUAACGGUCAACGACAAAGUCAACUGAUUUUCGUUAGUGUGAUUUGAAUUUUGUCAGAAAAAAAUGUAUUUCGGAAAACAUGUGCCAGAUCAUUUGUCGGGUUAAAACAUUGCCAAUUGUGUUAGCUAAUUUUUCCUAAAAUAAGUUAGUGACAUUUUAUCAAGUCGAUCUACACUACAGGAAACUAGAUGUUUAACAACAUCAUUUUUUCUUGUUGACGACAACCAUUUCCUGUUGUUAUGUAUCAUAACGGCGGCUUUGAUUGCGCUAUUAAGAUUGCCAAUGCAAAGAGAUCCUACCAGCGAAAUAUUGGCCGCGGUUAAGUGGGGAAGCGUAACAGCGAAUAGCUGGCCGCUGUUAGGUUGCAUCCUAAUAGCGAAAUAUGACCGAUGUUAGACGAAAUUCUAAUAGUGGCAUUGUGUCCGUUGUAAGGAUUUCGCCUAACAGCAACUACAUAUCCUCAUAGUUUUCUUAUUAUUUUAUUUUUUUCGUUUGGCUAUUUUCCAUAUAUAUCCAACUUGUUCAAGUAAUUUUUUCGAUAGGUAGAUAGAAAUACAAAUUUGGGAAACACUUUGCUAAAUAUAAAACUAGUCAUUUUGAUUAAAUAUUUGAUUGUUAGGACACAUACUAAUUCCUUGGCUUAAACUACACCAUCCUUCUAAAGUAACUACUUGAUUCAUAGUUGUUCAUCCAACAUGUACAAUCCACUAAACAUAGACUACUCCUCUUGGUCGUAAUCAAGCUCAUCGUCCCUCUCAUUUGUUUCCAUCAUAGUGCUCGUUCACAUUUGUUUGCAUCAAAUGGCUGCCAUCAUACAUUUGGAUUUAGAACAUCUGCCUCAUCUCCUCCAAAUCAUGAGAUAAGCCAACUUGAGAGUUGGCAAGAUGAGCUAUACACCUACAAUACACCAAAUAAAAGUUAGUUUUUUUAUCCAAAAAAAUUUGCAUGACCAAUUCGAAUUCACGGUUUAACUUAUACUCUUUGAUCUACAAAAUGAACAAACGAUACUAGAUUUGGAAGGACAAGUUUCGACAGCUACAAUGAAUCAAGGAAACCUUUUACAUCUACAUUAUCAAAACAUAAUUGCAGAAUUAAAAGUAUAAACCAUGAGUAAGGUUGAAUGAUAAAAUUUUCACUAUUUAGAGGUGUCGGUUAAAAUGUGCAAAUUGGAUAAUAAAUUUGCAUGGGAAGGAUGAUUAUGUAGAUUACGUAAUAAACUAACAAAUACAUAUAUACUUAUGAUUUGAAUGGGACUUGUAAGUUAAAAUUGGAGGCGCCCCUCUUAAUUUGUACCUAUUGUAUGUUCACUAACCACCCAUAAUAAAAACAAGCAAGAAAAAUUGGAUUUGGUGGAUCACUCGAUGAAGAAACAAGAUUCGAAACUAGCCCUCAUAACUUGAUUAGGUGAAGUUUCUACCUAUAACAGUCCAACUUAGUGGUAGAAUUAAUUUAGGAUUAAUGCUGAAAAAUACAAAUACUUAUUCAUUUUGCUUUCACUCUAAAUCCUAAAUGGCGCACCACUGUUCCUGACUUCUCUUUUUUGUUCUUCGAACGUAUACGAUAUGCCCUCGCCAUAGCAUCCUCCUUGCUAACCCCAUGUUAGUAUUUGGUUCCUUCAUAAACUGUUUGACUUCAACCUAUAUUCAAUCUCAAAAUCUUAAAUAUAUUAGAAUUGCAUCUUAUCAACAAAAGGUCAAAACACAAUAAAAUUAUAUGCAACUUACAUAAAAGUCUCAAGUAACAUAUGUUUCAUCUUCUCUUUCAUAACACUUGAAAAAGAACUCAGAUCUUCUUACUUCUUUUCCUUUCGCUUUCUUCUACAUUAUACGUUCUACAAUCAAUACAAAUUAACUUCUCAUGACUUUUGGAACAUAAUAUAAAGACGAUUGAUGAGAUGCUUACUUACCAUCUCUUCACGAAUUAUAUUGAAAGGUUUUGACCCUUUCGUAUGAUAGAUGUCUUGAUUAGAACGAUACCUUGUUUCUUUGCAGAUGCAGUCUAUAAAACUGCUAGUAAUUGACAAAUGACAAUAAUAAAUAUCAUUAUAUCAAAUAUAAGUACAAAUGUAAAACUUACUAGAGUUGGCUUCCCCUCCUAUAUCUGCAAAACAUAUCCCACUCACGUUCAUCAAUAUUUGGUGGUUUCCUGUCUAAGUUGAGCUGAAGACCUUGAGUAGCAUCGAUAUUUGGUGGUUUCCUAUCACGUUCAUCGAUACUAAUCAAUUUUCUUUGGAUAUGACUAAUGUAAUGAAGAAGAUAGAAGAGAUUAAAUCUAAAACCCUUAUGAUUACCCUGCAUUCAUAAAGACUGCAAUGCAAUAUGUACAGAGAGGCGUGGACACAUAGCAAAGUCCUUACAAUUUUGACAAUUACCAUCCAAUACAAUUUUGUAAGCUACAGCUAACAUUCAUGAGCUAAUAAGUUUUGUCAGGUCGGUUACGAAAGAAAACACACUUAACUUCAUAAACAAUAAUAAAUUAUGAAAACCCCCAAAUCAAAGUUAGGGCUCAUCUAAAUCAUUAACAAAUCAUACAAACUGAUUUCAAUCUCAAAAUUAAACUUAGACCCAGCACUAUAAAUAAGAUGUCUAACCUAAAGCUAGAACAAAACACUUCCAAUUCACUAAACGGAAAACAUUUCAAAGAUCUAGAUUUUACUAACCUUUCAAUUUUCUUGCUAACACAAGAUGACUGAUUGAGAUGAUGGACAGGAACCAAAAUGAGCCGCAGCUGGAAGGCCGGAGCAAGCGACGCCGGCACGAAGAAGAAAAACGCCAGCGAACGGCCGUUGGUGAAGAUACUAUCUGGCUGUGUCCUUUGUUCAAUUUGGGGAAAGUUGGGUUUUUACGUGGUGUUGGGGGGUUAUAUGUAUUUGGAGUUUCGUUUAUAUUAAUAUAAUGAAGAAUUAAGUCUCAUUUUGUUUGGGGCUUUAAAUUAAUAACCCAACGUCGGCUUGAUUCUCUACAUAGCCGCUGAUAGGAUUACUCUUAGCAGCUGCCAUCUAAAUAAGAGCCACUGUUAAGUUGUUGUAUUCCAUCAUAUUUUUUAAUUAUUAUCCUAACAUCGGCCAAUAUUAAUCAGGGCCGAUGUUAGGUAGUAAUAACGUAUCAGUAGCCUUCCAUUUAUUGUUAGGAUAUUGACCUAACAUUGAGACCAUGUCCGUUGUUAAAUUUUGUAUGUUAAAAUAUCCUAACUGCAGGUCUAUGUGGCUACAGUUAAAUUGGCAAUAUUAGGUAGUCAGUUUCUUGUAAUGCUACCUUGUUUAUCAUAGAAAAUUUGUUAUGACAAACGUGAUUGUUGUUGUUACAUAACAACACUCUAAUUUUCCAUCUAUUUUUAAUUUUAAAAAUUUGACAGUCUUAAUUUGUUGAAUAUUUUUAAUCUUUUUUACAUUUUUAUCUCUCAUAAAUAUGUCCUAAUUUUUAGUUAAAGAAUCCUCAUUCAAUUUCUAUUUCUAUUUCUAUUUUUUUACCUAUAUUUAAUUAAGUUAAUAACUUAAUAUUUCCUUAAUUGCUUUUUACAGGUUGUCAACGGAGUUCUGGUACUCCCAACAAGUGAGAAGAACGAUCAGAUUAGUAACAGAGCACAAACAAAGGUACAAAAUAAAUUACCAUAUCACAGUCUCAGGUAUAUAACUCCAUACAAUAGCACAUUCAUGGGUACAUAACUAGACAAAAAUUAAUCAAAAAUUGAUACUUCAAUACACGAGGUAUAAAAUGCAGUACCAUAUCACAAACCCCUUUUUUUUUUUUUUUUUUUUUUUUUUUUUUUUUUUUUUUUUUUUUUUUUUUUUUUUUUUUUUUUUUUUUUUUUUUUUUUUUUUUUUUUUUUUUUUUUUUUUUUUUUUUUUUUUUUUUUUUUUUUUUUUUUUUUUUUUUUUUUUUUUUUUUUUUUUUUUUUUUUUUUUUUUUUUUUUUUUUUAUUUUUUUUCUUUUUUUUUUAUUGUCUGUUUUUUUCUUUUAUCCUGUUUUUCUUCCUUUUCAAGAUCUUGAAAAGAGAGAGAAAAUGAGAGAGAGAGAAUGAGAAAGAGAAAACGAGGGAAAGAGAAUGAGAGCAAGAGAGAGAGAGAGGAGGAGAAAUUUUUGGAGUUUUUUUAUUUUUAGUGGCUUUGAUAUUGAAAAUACUAUAUAAAGAAUUUUAGAUGAAAUCAGUCAGUUGAUACAAUUAUUGUUGUUAUGUGCUAUUAUCGUAUGAUAAGCGGGUGGGGCUUUUCUUGUUUUCGUAAACAUCAAGAUUUUAUUGGUUGGGUCUAUGAUUCCAGCCUACAUGAUACUCAAAAGGGCCCUGGUUCAUCUGGAAAUGAAAAGUGCUUUAUGAACGUUUGGAUUGGUGCUUCCUUGACUCGGUUUGGUAACUUCAAUUUCUACCCACCUAUAUCGUGUUAAGUCGGAUCACCGACCUAUUUUCAUGGUUGCGACCAAGCUCAAGAAGUCAAAUCUUCCUCAUACCUUUCGCUUUAUGGCUUCAUGGUUGUCACAUGUUGAGUUUAAGCCUUUUUUUGUCGGAAUGGAAUCGGUCUUUUACCUUUAUUCAUCAGAUGUCCAUUCGAGCUACCAAACUGAAAAAAUGAAAUAAGGAAAUUUUUGGCAACAUCCAAACGAAUAGAAGGAGCUUAUCUUUAAACUUGCUGAUGUUUAAGCUCUCGCAGCUCCUCUACUCAUUCAAGACACCACAAUGGACAUUGCAAGUGACCGGAAUACUCAUUUUUUUCACGUAUCCACCUUCCGUAGGCGUGCUCGGAACCACAUUAUUAAGUGAAGGAUGACUGUGGGGUGUGUAUUCAUUAGGUUUGGGAGUCGGUUAAUUUGGUUAAUAACCAUCGGUUAAUGGUCGGGAAGCGCUUUGAUGAUUGAAAUUAAUUAACCAAAUUAACCGACCGAGCAAAAGCCACGGUUAAUCUUACCGACCGAUAACCGACCAAUCAGUUAAAUGAUCGAUUAUUAACAGACUGACUCUCGGUUAACCGUUGUAACCGGCUCUGACCAAUUUAACUCUCUUCUCAUAUUGCAACAAGAUUCUAGGCUCUGGCUCUAGAUCCGUCGUCGAUUCAAGCCUUGGAGACCAUAGCUUCUCUUCUGGAAACAAUCCGGUGCUCUACAACUUGAUCCUUCGGGACUGGAAGCUUUCCGAGACGGCGUUGUUGCGGAUCAGUAAGGAGAGGAGGAAGCUUCAAGCCUAUGGUGUUGCAGAUCGAAGAAUUGAGAGAGUGGAGGAGGAGAGGAUUGGCCGUGGCGACGAAGGAAGCAUGUGGUGUUGCAGAUCGAAGAAUCGAGAGAGUGGAGGAGGAGAGGAGCGCUUGCGGUGACUCGUCGUGGUCGUCGUCGUGACUGCCGGCGAGAUGCUGAAAUUGAAUCGCUUGGAUUGAUAGAGUUGUCGAGAUGGAUUGAUGGAGUUGUCGAGAUGGAUUGAUGGAGAUGGCUCGGAGUUAACCUAAUUUCAGAAUGAGAGGUUGUGAUGGAGUGGGAGGCUGGGAGGGGAGGGAGCGAUUCUGCGAUUGUGGUGAGCAAAGCUUGAUUUCCUAAUUGGGGACCUUGGUUUUUUUAAUUACCGGUUAACGUUGGUUAACUCGAGUUAACCAACGAUUUUACCCUGCUCCAACAAGUACUCCCAACUGUUCCCCGACCGACCCCUACCUCGGUUAAACCGACACUCUAACCGAGUCGAUCAGUUCAUCUGUUUAACCUAUUAACCGAGACUGAUGGCCCACCCUUAGUAUUCAUCCAGCUUGUUGCUGCAAUUAGUGUCGUAUUGAUAUGGUUGAGAGAGGAUAAAAUAUGCUUGAUUUCAAGUUCUCCAACUUGAAAGGUUUAGCUGUUAAAAAUGUAGAGGUCAUGACUGAGUACUGAUUUCCAGCAAGGAGAAGUUGGAUAUUUGCUUGCGAUAAAAAAGAAUUUGGACAGUCUAUCUUAGGCACAAAAUCUAACGGAUGAGAUGGCAACUUUACUUCAGGGGCCUAUUGGUCAUUUUAAAAUUUUCUUGUUUUUCAGUUUAUUUUUCCAUUCUGUUUAAUAUUGGUUCAAGUAAAAUGAUUUCUUGUAAAUUGGGUCUAUUGAGUAACGUGGGUGGGUAGACUUUAUUGCUCCCAUCGAGCUUGACGUGAUAUUUUCUUCUUCGUUUCUUUAACAUGCAUAAAUUGUAUAUAAUACGAAAGGUUGGAAAUAUAUGUGAAGCUCGAGGUUUAUUAUAUAUGUUUCGAGGUUUAUUAUAUAUGUUGAACCUUUUUGCCAAUUGGUUAUUUUUAUCAUGUAGUGCCUUAUCAAGUAAAGGGAAUGGUUGUUUUUAUCUACUGUCACUAGCCAACUUUCUUUCUCAUGUGAUCAAUUAUUUGAUCACGCAUGAAUGACUACAGUACACAAAAGAUAGAAAUAUUAUAAAAACAAAAAACAAAUAUUAAAAAAAAAUACCUAAAAAGCAGGUACAUAACAACAAAAACAAUAACCGUAAAUAUCAAGUACAUGAAAGCGGAUGCUCAAAAUAAGCACGCACACAUUAAAAACUUUGGUACAUACAAGGCAAGAAAAUCGAGAACAUAUUGGAACUCGAGUACCGGAAUUGGUACGGUAUUAAGUACAACGUGAAGAAAUAUCAAGUACAUUAAAAAGCGAGUAUAUAACAAUAGAAAUAAGUACACGAAAACAACUCAGAGAAAUGAUAAUUUGAUUGCCAAAAUUGAGUAUGAUAAAGUAAAAUGCAAGCACGUAGUACAUGAAACAAAUAUGAGUAAGAGUACAUAAAUUUUUUAGUACAAUACAAGACAAAAACUCAAAUACAUAUAAAAACUGGACACUAAAAAAAAUAAUUAAUUAUUCACAAUUUUAAAUAAUAAUAGUCACGAUUUUUAUCAUGAUUAACAGAAGCUAGUCACGAAAAUAAAUCCGUAACUAACCUAACCGAUGCUAGAUGAACUUGUCACGAAUCUGAAUAACCUGUAACUAAGUUGUCACCGAAAUUUUCCGUGACCAACUCAUCACGGAAGAAACCGUGAACAUAUGUGUUUUUGUUUUUGUUUUUUAAAUUAGUGGCACGGAGCCAUAUGCUGUGAUAAUUGAUUUAUUAAUAAAUUAAUCCCACAUCUCCGUGGCUACUAUAUCACCAGAAUUUCCAGAUUCCGGCAACCACAAUUUCCAGAAUCCGGCAAUAAGAUAGAGUUGAUAAUUGCUUUUUUAUUAGAGUAAAAUGUUCUACAUCUAUACAUUAUGAUACCCAUAUCAAAAUUCCAGAAUCCCAAAAUUGAACAUAACGUCAACGAAAGGCACCAUGCAACAAUGGUGACACUAAGGGUUACAACAACCAGCAAAACCGAAACACAGACUGGAAAUGCUACCAAGAGAAGGAUGAGACUAGAUGAUGAGAUUGAGAUUGAGAGAAGAAAAAUGAUAGUAAGAAAUUUUGUUUUCGAGAGAGAUCAAAUGAAGAUGAGAUCUACUUCUAAUUUAAUAUAAUGGAAAUGGAGAUAUGGUUGUUUAAUGGCAAAGAGAGAAGAAAGGAAUAGCCCAUUAAACGAGGAUAGAGUCUGCAUCAUUUCUUUUUUCGACCUUUUCCCACUAAAAUGCUAAUUUUAAAAUUAUAAAUAAAAGUUGGUCACGGUUCCAACAUUUACCGUGAGUAGUUGGUCGCGGUAUUCAACAAUCCAUGACUAGUUAUGGAUUUUUUUUUAUCUAUAAGUAGUUAGUCAUGGUUUUUAAAGCCGUGAUUAAUAAAUCGUGAUUAAUCGUUGAUUUUUUUUGUAGUGCGAGUAUGAGUAUUGAGUAAAACGUCAUGUACAAAAACAAGUACAUCAAAAGCGAGUACAUAAUUAUCAAAACAAGUACUAAAACGAGAGGAAAAGUACAUAAAAAGCGAGUAUAUAAUAAUAGAAACAAGUGCAGUAAAAAUCAAGUGCAUGAAAGGAAAACGAAACUCAAACUAAACACUAAUACAAAAAAAACUUUAGUACGCAAAUAAGUAAAUACAAGAAAAUUAACAUACACAAACGAAUACAUAAGAGUAUAGUGUUUAAACAAAGCGAUUAUACGGAUCAAUACGAUGUUGAGUACAAAACAACAACUUGAGGCUUUAUCCCUCAUUUUUAGAUGAUUUUGUACUAAGUUCUUAUAUGUAUUAGUUUUUAUUAAUGUAAUCCCUCGUGUACUUUGUCUUUGGAUUUAUUUUUAUGCCAUAUCUAUUUAUUUACGCAUUUGUGUAUACUUAUAUUUUUAGAACUUUAUACUCAAAUCAAUUAAUCAAACAAUAAAACUAUUUUCUCUUUACACGAACCAACAUAAUAACCCAUCACCCCAUACAGGGUUGUGAAGGAGGUGCAGUGACCAGAAUUUUCUAGUUGUUGCUUUUCUAUAGUUUGAUAAGGGUAAGCAUCUUGUUCUAGAAUAUAUGUUGUUAGGUUAUAACAAUGCAUCUAGUUGAGCAUGAUUCUUUGGUCAAGUGUUACUGGGAUUCUUUUUGUUCCACAUCAAUGCUCGGAGGUCGAAGAGGCAACGAGGGUGACGAAGAAAUCGGCAUCACCACGUGAGAGAAGAUGAAGAAGAGGUCAGAGAGUGGAGCCGGUGGAAAAGAUAUACUAGAAGAGGUACUUAAAGUUACUUGUACGACAAAACUGCCCUUAUUCAAUUGGACAACCCCUAGAUUAAAAUUUAAAAAUGAACGGACGCGAUUCGUUUGCGGCCAGCAAACACAUAAUAUCAUGGCUGCCUAUCCGGACUCGUCAUAACUGGCGUCAACAUUACGUAGUGUUGUCAAAAAUUAAAAAGGGGAAUAUAUAAUAAUAAUAAUAACAGACGUAAUCUUGUGUAUAUAAUGAUAUUAAAACGUUUUUCAAUCGACAAAGCCAAGUCUGCGGGAGGAACAGCUAAUGGACGAACAGCCUAAGCAUAAGCCGCCUUCUUCGUAUUCUUCAGAUUCUCUGAAUCUCUACCCUUUUUUUUUGUUACGCGGAUUCCCUUCCCUCGUCUGCAAACAAAAAGCUCUUCGUUGACUUUUUAGCAGGCUUUUUUAAAAAACCUUAAUUGAAAAAAUUUGUACAUGGUUGUUGCCUUUGUUGGCGUCAGCAUGACCCAAUGCUGUUGUCAUGUUCAUGAUUGCUCCAACUCACCUGGCUGCGCAUCUGCCUUCUGACCUGACCUGCCCUCCUCCUUUUUUUUAAAUUAUGUUUCCCCAAAAUUAAAUUUAAAUCGUUACAAAAUUGGUCUCUCCUUCUCCUAUAUAUAACGUGGAAGAGCUCCUGCCAAAAAAGUCAUUCAAACUCAAAGCAGAUAAAUUAUCAAAAUAAAAAAGAAAACCCCAGUGCUCUGCCUGCCGUUAAGAAAUUAGUUUAUUGGGUUUGUUGUGUUUAUGAAAGCUGUGUUCCAGAGACUGAUAUCGUCAAGCACCCAGAUUGGCUGUAGGAAGAAAGUUGCAUCUUUUCCAUUAAUCAGAAGCGCUAAUAUGUCUGAAUCCUCUGCCUUUGAUUCUCCGAGAUUGGUGACCAAGAAGGUCCUUGCUAAGCUUCAGCGUGAAGGGGAUGGUGCUUCUGUCAGGAGAAGCAUUGGAAGGUAUAAUAUAAUAUAUCAUGGAUGGAUGGAUGGAUAUACAAUUUUCUUCUUGUCAAAAUUGAAUUAACUGUUUUCGUUUCUGUGGUGAAAUUGAAUGAUUGAAUGUUGAAUUAUUUUGGUUCAGGAGUGAGCUCAGGUCUCUGGACCCUUUCCUCAUGUUGGAUGAGUUUUCAGGUCUGCUUUGCUUAAUUACUUGAAACCAAAUUCCUUGAUAUUUUCUAGAAUUAGGAUGAUGAUGGAUGAUGGAUGGUAUUUAAUUUGUUGUUGCAAAUUGCAAUGCAUGAAGUCUCAGCUCCUGCUGGAUUUCCUGAUCAUCCACACAGAGGUUUUGAGACUGUUACAUACAUGCUGGAGGUACAGACAGUACUGGAGUUAAUUAUUUAUUAUGAAUUGAAGGCUGUUUUUUGUCCUUGGUAGUCUAUUUAUUGAUGUCUGUGAAAUUCGUGGGUGGCACUGGCAGGGAUCAUUCACUCAUCAAGAUUUUUCUGGGCAUAGAGGGACUAUUCAUGCCGGGGAUGUUCAAGUAAAAUAAUUCACUCAAUUACAAUACUACGACGUUUACUUAAUUAGCUAGCUUUACUUGAUCAAAGUCAAAAACUCUUUCUUUUUUUAAAGUAAACAACAACAACAACUUGUGUGUUUUCCUGUUGGGCAGUGGAUGACAGCAGGUAGAGGGAUAGUCCAUUCAGAAAUGCCUGCAGGAGAAGGAGUCCAGAGAGGCCUUCAGCUUUGGAUAAACCUCUCUUCUCAACAUAAAAUGUAUGUUUUUAUUUCCUUUUUUGUUUGUACUUUCCAACUUCACCAUUCCAACAGUUUGUAAUAUGGAACCAACAGGAUUGAGCCAAGGUAUCAGGAACUUCUGAGGCAGGACAUCAAAAGAGCAGAGAAAGACGGGGUUGAAGUCCGAAUCAUAGCAGGGGAAUCAAUGGAAAUCGAGUCUCCAGUUUAUACAAGGACCCCAACAAUGUACCUUGAUUUCACACUGCAACCAAGGUCCCAAAUGCACCAGCCCAUUCCAGAAUUAUGGAACGCAUUCAUUUACGUCAUUGAAGGUGAGGGAGUGUUUGGGAUCCCAAACUCCUCACCAGUUGAAGCACAUCAUACACUCGUUCUAGGCCCUGGUGAAGGAAUGAGCGCCUGGAACAACUCCUCUUCCAAACCCUUGAGGUUUGUCUUGAUUGCAGGCCAGCCACUUAACCAACCAGUGGUGCAGCAUGGUCCUUUUGUCAUGAACACAGAAUCUGAAAUCCACCAAGCAAUUGAAGAUUACCACUACUCCAAAAAUGGGUUUGAAAUGGCGCAGUAUUGGAGUUCCCAAUAGGGAACAAGUAAGUGCUUGGAUCACUCAAAACCAAAUCUCCACAUUCCCUCUCAACUUUGAAGAAGAAAAGAGUAAAGAAUAAAAAUACACAUCCACAAACACUAAAGGCCACACGCAUAUGUGAGUGAUACUCAUUUGUGUUCCAUCAUGUAUUAAUUUAGCUUUUAUCCUCUUCCAACCUUUUACUAUUCCAAAUCAAAAGGUUGAUUAUUGCAUUGUCACACAAAACAAUGAUAAUAAAAAUACUCAAUUCAUAUAAUCCUUAGAAUUAAUUCUUUUCAUAACUAUAGUAGAUGUUUGAACAAGUGAGAACAAAAUAUAAGCUUAAUCUUAAUAGUAAUAUCAACGGAUAAUAGCACUGUGUGUCACUUAAUUAUUACCCAUGUCGCACAUAAACUACUUAACUUUCUACAUUGCACAUAAAGCCACUUAACUUUGCUUAUGCUUGCAACAUCCAAAUUUUCAUUCAAUUUAUGGAUAGACUGAUCGAAUUGAUGAGUUCUUAUUCGAGAUCUUCUGUAUGAAUAACCUCCAACACAUUAAAGAGAACAAUAAUUUAUAAGAACUGACAGAAUAACUUAUUACUUGUUUACAGAAAAGAAUGAUAAAAUAAAAAGGCAAGAAUAGAUUAUAAUCAUGCCUUGGACACUGCUUUCGAAAAAAUAUUUCCCGAAUUUAGAACACCAAUACAACUAAAGGUUAAUCACAAUAUUCACUCAAACUCUAGUGUAGGGCUUGAAUGUUGGAACUUGGAAACUUAUGCUAUUUUGAUUCCGAUUUUGAGAGUGAAAACAAAGUUUUCUGCCCAUAUUAAUCAACUAGGAUUUCCCUUUUUAAAGAGAACGCAUCCACUAACCAACAUCAAAUCCAGAUUCUCCUUUCUGAUGAUCAUCAAUGAUAAGCAGAUAUGGGGAAGGUGGAGUUGAGCUCCCGAUUUCUAGGAAGCCAACCAAAUACUUCUGUUAAGCAUAAGUCUUGAGUAUAUGCGGUAUGUAACUGAUCAUUACUGUUACUUCAAGUGGUUAGAUAAUGGUUACAUCAUCUUGCUGUUGUCCGUUGAUGACAUGUUGAUAGCAAGUUCUAUUGUAAAAGAAGUAAACAAGUUGAAGAAACAGUUAUCUAACAGUUUACUAUUAAGAAUAUAGGAGACGCUAAACAGAUUUUGAGUAUGUGCAUUGAUCAUGAUAGGCAAGUAGGAAAGUUUUAUCUUUCGCAAGUUGAAUAUAUCAAGAAAGUCUUGAAGAGGUUCAAAAUGCAGGAUGCAAAACUAGUAAAGAUUCCUUUGGGUGGCUAUUUCAAGCUAUUUGAGAAGGAUAUGCCUAAUAAUGAUCCAGAACGUGCCCAAAUGCACGAAACACCAUACAUUUUUGUAAUUGAUAGCUUGAUGUAUGGAAUGGUGUGCACAAUACCAGAAAUUGCACAUGUAGUGGGAGUUGUCAAUAGAUUCAUGGGAAAUCGGGGGGAAGCGAUUAAGUACUCCUGAGAUAGUUGAAGAUUACUACUAAAAGGGUCUUGGGCUUUGAGGGCAAAGUAAUGUAGUUAGAAGGAUUUGUCAUCAAGUGACCUUGAUAGAAGAAGAUGUACAACAUGGUAUAUUUUUACUCUUUGAGGUACCAUGGUUUCUUGGGCUUUUAAGUUGCACUGUCUAACACUCAAGCUAAAUAUGUUGCGGUAACGAAGGCCAGCAAAGAGAUGGUAUGGUUUUAGAAUUUCUUUGGUGAAUUGGGGAAGAAGAAAGAGGAUAGCAUAUUGUACAUUAGUCUUAUACACUUGCAAAAAAUUCAGCAUUUCAUUCAAAAUCGAAGCUCAUAUUGAGUUGAUGUAUCACUUUAUGGGUUGAUCUCUUGGAAAGGAAGAUCUUACGGCUUAUGAAGAUUCUAGGAAGUGAGAAUCCUAUGGAUAUGCCGACUAAGGUUGUAAAGUUGGAGAAGUUGACACUGUGUAUGACUUUAACUGGUUUUGUAACUGAAGUUGAAGGUCAGAUGCUGCUUGUAGUAGGAAGACGUUGAACAUGGAGAACCAAUGAGAGGAGUAUGUCUUCAGGUGGGAGAUUGUUGGGUUAUGGUGCCUAAGAAACUGAAGGCUUGGUCCAGUUAGUUUGUUUAGUUAGAUAAAAAUUAAGAUUAAUCUUGUCUAUUCUAUAUAGGAUUAGAAUUAAUAUGGUAGCUCCCUAUAAAUAAUCUAUAUUCAUAUCAUUGUAAUCUGUAUCACAACAAUAGUAGUCGAAAUCCUAACUUGGUUUGUAAAAAAAGAAAUUCUAGCGUGGUAGCGCCCUAGACAUACUCUUCUCGUGAAGAGGAACUAGGUUCUUAAUUUUUCAGUUUAUGAUUGCGUUUCAUUUUUUACAGGAACGACCAGAUCCAGCUCAGAAACUUCCUCAAGAUGGCGACGUUGAAGAAGCUCUGUCUCGCUAACGCCUAACAAUGGCUUCUCUAGACUGAUUCAGACUGUCCUCACCGCUGGAAAAGGAGAUUAGAUAGAAAUCCAUCUUUUAUUCCUCUUCAUUGUUUUUAUGACAAUUUCUUCUUUUCUUUUAUAAUAGAGAACUAUUUAUCACUUUUGUUGGACAUUUCUUGUUUGUUUCCCUCAAGAACUAAUAAUUUUGGUCAAUGGGUGACCACUGAUGAUGUUGAUUCUAUAAGCUUUAGUAUUUAGUCAAAUUCUUGAGUUUUUUUCAACUAGAAAAAAAAAGAAGAGAGGUUACAGUUUCAAUUAUUAAGUUUGAAGAAUUAAAGAAAAAAAACUAGACUACAGAUAUGAAAAGGUAAUUCUGAUAAUUUUUAUUGAUGAAUUUUUUUUUUGUAAUGAGUAAGAUAAUUUUUUAGGUUUUAUAAAUGGGUUUUUGGUUAAAAAUCUCAUUUAGAUAGAGUUUUUGAUGGGUAAUUAUGAAAUUUGACAUAAAGGGUACAUGAUUAAAAAGGUGGGAAAGGAAGAUGCGAAAAGAAGGUAAGAAGGAAUCAAUUCAUGGCAAAAAAGAAAAAUAAAUAAGAGGGAAGAAAGAAGACAUAUAUUGAUGGGAGGCGGAGGUGGGAUAGGGAGGUGAGAGAAAGAUGUAACAACAAAGAAGGGUUUAGCGAAAGGUGNNNNNNNNNNNNNNNNNNNNNNNNNNNNNNNNNNNNNNNNNNNNNNNNNNNNNNNNNNNNNNNNNNNNNNNNNNNNNNNNNNNNNNNNNNNNNNNNNNNNNNNNNNNNNNNNNNNNNNNNNNNNNNNNNNNNNNNNNNNNNNNNNNNNNNNNNNNNNNNNNNNNNNNNNNNNNNNNNNNNNNNNNNNNNNNNNNNNNNNNNNNNNNNNNNNNNNNNNNNNNNNNNNNNNNNNNNNNNNNNNNNNNNNNNNNNNNNNNNNNNNNNNNNNNNNNNNNNNNNNNNNNNNNNNNNNNNNNNNNNNNNNNNNNNNNNNNNNNNNNNNNNNNNNNNNNNNNNNNNNNNNNNNNNNNNNNNNNNNNNNNNNNNNNNNNNNNNNNNNNNNNNNNNNNNNNNNNNNNNNNNNNNNNNNNNNNNNNNNNNNNNNNNNNNNNNNNNNNNNNNNNNNNNNNNNNNNNNNNNNNNNNNNNNNNNNNNNNNNNNNNNNNNNNNNNNNNNNNNNNNNNNNNNNNNNNNNNNNNNNNNNNNNNNNNNNNNNNNNNNNNNNNNNNNNNNNNNNNNNNNNNNNNNNNNNNNNNNNNNNNNNNNNNNNNNNNNNNNNNNNNNNNNNNNNNNNNNNNNNNNNNNNNNNNNNNNNNNNNNNNNNNNNNNNNNNNNNNNNNNNNNNNNNNNNNNNNNNNNNNNNNNNNNNNNNNNNNNNNNNNNNNNNNNNNNNNNNNNNNNNNNNNNNNNNNNNNNNNNNNNNNNNNNNNNNNNNNNNNNNNNNNNNNNNNNNNNNNNNNNNNNNNNNNNNNNNNNNNNNNNNNNNNNNNNAUGGGUUUGUGGUUAAAAAUCUCAUUUAGAUAGAGUUUUUGAUGGGUAAUUAUGAAAUUUGACAUAAAGGGUACAUGAUUAAAAAGGUGGGAAAGGAAGAUGCGAAAAGAAGGUAAGAAGGAAUCAAUUCAUGGCAAAAAAGAAAAAUAAAUAAGAGGGAAGAAAGAAGACAUAUAUUGAUGGGAGGCGGAGGUGGGAUAGGGAGGUGAGAGAAAGAUGUAACAACAAAGAAGGGUUUAGCGAAAGGUGAUAUAAACAAAAUUAAUUUUGUAAGAAAAUAUUUUUUUUAAUGCCAUGUCAACUAGUUUGUAACUUUUAGUGUCCAUGUCAACAAACAAAAUUUUAUAAAGUUACCAAAAUUCAAAAUUUGUGUUACGAAAAGUAUUUCUAAUAGAUUGUGCCAUUUUCGGUAAAGGCUUAAUAGGUUGUGCAUUUAAGAAAAAAAAUAUUAUUGUGUUUCUACAAUUAACAUCAAUUAUCACCAAACCAUUAAAUACUAAAAACCAAUUAAGAUAUAGUCAUGUUACAAAAAAUGACUCUUGUUAUGAUUUUUUUGUUUAUGCAAUGAUAGGAUGAGAUUAAAAGGUUAAUUUCUUUUUCGACAAAACUUGUAAAAUAUUAUUAAACUCAAUUAGAUAUAAUAUCAUCUACAGUUGGUCAAUCAAAAAAAUUGAGGGUCUAUCCACCGAAACAAUCGUGGAGUUCCAAUGAGUCUGAUUAUACGCCAUAACAUGGGUAAGCUUGUUAACUUAUCUCCGGCCAUGACGCCAAUUACCACAAUCAAACUUUGCCAAAAGGCAACGAAUUAUGGACUAAAAUCCAUGUUCGGUAUGAUGAUCUUCCACAUGAUGCAAAGUCUCAACCAUGAUCAAGCUAUCACUUUCAAGAACCACAUUAGGAUACCUAUGUUGCAAGGCCAAUUGUUAGCAAAAUCUUGCCUCGACCGCCUCAGUUAAAGUAGGCUCAUAGCAACCCUACAAUUUCAACAUAUCCGCCAUUAAGUAAUGCCGAACGCCAUCCCAGAUAACCACCCCAAUACCCAUUCUGGAUCCUGUAAUGAUAGUUGCGUUUAAGGUAGUGAAACUGGUGAGUCAACAUGGGAUCGAAAAGGGACCUAGAAUCGUAAUCGUAAAAUCAAAUCGCAAAAUCAUAAAAUUUCACGGUUCUUCAAUAAUACUAAAUAUUCAGAAAUUCACCUUAGCAUAAAGACGUAAGUUCAUUAUCCAAUCUAAAAUUAAAAAUAAAAUCUCAAAUUCACCUUAAUAGGUUCUUCAGUUGCACUACUUUGAGCUGAUUUUCGAGUCUAGGAGACCGGAGACAAAAUCUGUGAACAAAAUUGUACAAUCUUACAACAAAAAACAAAAUACCUUCGAACAAAGAACCUAAACACCAAAAAUCCAAAACUAAUCUAACAAAAACAGAAUUAGAGAAAGGAAUGGGAUGAUGAGCAAAAUCAUGGAAUGGGAUGAUGAAGAAUCAUGGAAUCAAGGAAACAGAGAUACCUUCGAGCCGUAGGAGUGGCUGGAGCGAUGGGGACGACCAAAGAGGCUAUGACGAGGACCAUUGACUCCUGGUUCUGGUCUUCUAGACUUCUGGGGGACGACCGACGGGGGAGACGACAAGAGAGAAGACUGAGGAUCGAGCAGAGAUCGAACGAGCAAUCGACGACUUGCACAAUUUUUUUCAGAAGAUAAAUGAAUUUAAGGUUCGAUUUUUUGCCCAAAAUUGAACUCGGAUUUCCGUUUCGGUUCGAACCGAAGCAUAAAAACCAGCGGUCAGCACAGAGUAGUGGACUCGUGAAUCGUUGUAAACUCGUUCGAUUCCACGAUUUUCACGAUUUUGCGAGCGAUUUCAUGCCAUUAUAAGCCAUUUUGAUUGCGCGUGAAAUCUGACUCGACGGACCUAACAAAACUCGUAAAAUCGUCGAUUCCACUUCCUUCGUUGUGUAUGUACUGAUAUGGGGUUCCUGGUUUAGUGGUUGAACCGGGGUUGGACCGUUUUUAAACCGGGUCGGCCAUUUUAAAUAUUACAUAAAGUUAAAUCGGACCGAAAAAAUAUUGGAUUGAACGAAAUCAAACUGACAGUACAAAUAGUCAAAUUUUGAGAUUUAACCUUUGAAAAUUGAACAAUUUUAAAAAAUUUAUGUACAUUAUGAUGUUAUUCUUUUUUAAGUUUAUGUAAUAUAAUGAUAUUAUCUAUAGUUGAAGUCUUCCACACAUAUAUAUCUAGAAUGCUAAAGAAACCCUAAUGGAUCUUUCAAUCUUUCUUUAAUUGGGCUCCAACUACUCAAUACCCUCUCUCACACUUUUUUUCUCUAUAGAGAAACUCUCUCCCUUUUUCAUCAGAUUUUUUUCUCCUUGUAAUCUAAUCUUAUUUUUCUAAUAUUUUCAUUCUAUUUCUUCCCUAUUUGUCUCUUUUACUUUUUUCUUUUUGGAAGGUUAUUAGAAAAAGAGGACCACUAAAUAAUUCCGUCGACGUCCAGCAAUAGGGUUUUCCAAUUUUUUCACAGAUGGAUCCAUGUUUCCAAAGUUCUUUUGUUUUUUUUUCUGAUCUGAUAGUUGGUUCUUUAACUAGUUGAAUUAUCUGGUUUUCCGGGGAAAUCGGGUCAAUCCUCAGUUUUGUUCAUUCUCCUCAACCGCUAACUCAGUAUUGAUCAAAUGAUCGGUUCACAGUCGGACCGGCCGGGCUGAUAUGGUUUUGCUAACAUUGAUCUUAGUAGAGCCGACUAGAGGCCAUUCCAACCGAGCCACAAUGGCCUCAUACGAAAAACUCCUAGUUACCCUGAGUUCUUGAUAAUAAAUAAGAAUUGGAGUGCUUGUGCUAUGAUAUCACACUCCAAUUAGUGAAACUCAUUAAGCAUACACACAUUCCUUUCUUUCCAUCAGAAUCACAUAAGCAUUACCCAUCUUUCCAACUCCAAAUUCAAAACUUUGCGGUUGCUAAGUGAGAACCAAUCGCAUCAGUCAUUAGAAUCAUCAAAAUCAACCAGUGAUCAUGUUUAGAGUUACCUCAAAUCCGCCAAGUCCAUUGGCAAUCUCGGAAAUAGUGAAUUUGCAGGCAACCUGCAAAAUGGGCAUAUAUCACCAUGUCGAGGAUUAUGCUUAUACAUAUUAUACCUGUAGGUAAAAUUUACGAUGAAAUUUUCAUAAGAACUGCUCACCUUCGACGGAAUCUACAAUGACCAAGAACAAUUCCAAACAUCCGAGUUGCAAUUUGGAUUAAGACCCACUAAAAGAAAACCGUGUCCAUUAUUACGGAUAAAACCGGCCGUUGUCACUGAUAUUUCCAUGUCCCUGCCUCGUUGUCGCGGGAAAAUCAUCCGCGACAACGGGCGCCUUCAUAAUGAGGGGUGNNNNNNNNNNNNNNNNNNNNNNNNNNNNNNNNNNNNNNNNNNNNNNNNNNNNNNNNNNNNNNNNNNNNNNNNACGGCCGCCUUCAUAAUGAGGGUUGUGGGGACUAAACUAUCCGCGAAAAAUAGGGUUGGCGCGAACCCGUUAUGACCGGUUUGGUUCAAAUAGUUAGGUUGAAAGGCAUUUUAACAAGUUUAUCCGCAAAAACGGCAAGAGAUAUCCGCGACAAUGGCUAACAACAUUUGUUUUGCCGUCAUAACGGUUCCCCUAACGACGUUGAGUUUAUCCACGGCCAAGGUUGACAUUGUUAGUUUCUCCAUCCUACCCGUAAUGGUUGUUGUGCCAAAUACUAGGCCAUAAUAUCUGCGACAACAGCUCAAGUACUGCCUAAAAUUUUGUUAUUUUUGCUUGUUUCGUCCACUGUGGGCGCCUAAAAUAAAAGUUUAUAUAUGCACUAUUCUACACAUAACACAAUAUAUACCAAUAUCAUUAGCAUAACGAUAACACAUAUGAUCAUCCAAGAGUUAAUACUAUAACAUAAUCCAUAGAUCUACUCCAACAUAAUUCCUUGAUUUUUUACCUAACUAAAGUCAUUAGUUCACUAGACUACAUCACUAUCAACCUAGAUAUAACUACACUAGAGACUCGUCAUCCUCAUCCUCGUCAUUAUGACCAAGAUCCUUAUUAGCUCAAGUAUACAAAAGAAGAUAUAUAAAAUUGAAAUUAGGUUAAAACACAUAAAAUUAAGUAACAUGAACUUUAUAACAUAUAAAGAUUACUAAUAAUUUACCCGCCACAUCGUAGUCGUAGUUCUGUUGGAUGUGGUUAUAUUAUAUUAACCGCUACAAUCGUCGUUACGGAUCAUUAUCCGUGUCCGACGAUGACCUAACCGUGACACCCGUUAUCGCGGAUAUUAUCCCCCAUAACUAAUCUACGUCAGACAUCAAAUUUUGUUGUAGUGGCCAAGCUAUUCUUUAAAGCUAGUCAGCCAGUUUUAAUACCCCUAUUUUUUCGAAUAAACAGCUUUACUACUUGAAAUCCAAAUAAGCAUUCCGAUUCUUGAACAUCGCAAUGAAUAAUUUGCACGAUAGAAGUUGAUAUAGUUGACCAAAAACAGCUUUCAAUAAGAGCAGUAUUCUACUGAUAAGUCGUUCGAUUAACCAACUCACGAACUGUAGCAUCAACAUCAAACCUCAUCGGCGUAGAGGUCACAAAAUUACCGGGUACUAACGGAAGCCAUCCGUCUCCCCAAAUUCUAACGGACAUACAAUUUCCCACCCACCACCCAAGGCCACUCCAUACAAAACAUUGAGCACCAAAAAGGCUAUGCCAUAUAAAGCUAAACCCAACUCAGCUUUAAAGACAUAAUAGAAUUUUUAAAAUACUUAGCUUUCAUAAUUCUUACAAUAAGGGAAGAUGCUCUUGAGUGUAAGUUCCAAAGAUGUUUAGCAAGUAAAGUAAUGUUAAAGCCUAAAAAAUCACAUAAUCCCAUCCUAGCUUCGGAUUUCAAACUCAAUAGAUAUUCUUGACAAAAUGAGGGAUGAGCACUGGGUCGGGUCACCCAUCAAAACCCACCCGCCUAUAAUCACUCUCUACCACUACUACCCUUUUCCCCAUCACCAUAAAACUUUGCAUGCUUGUUUGUGUGUUUUUGUAGUUUUUUUGUGUGUUUUAUGUCGCUUUUCAUCGUUUGAGUAGAGAGAGAGAGGGAGAGAGAGAGGGAGAGAGAGAGAGGGAGAGAGAGUAUUUCAAGGGUUGCAUGUCAUACCAAUGAUUAAGAAUGCAUGAUAGAAGGUCUCGAUUCAAAUUAGGGUUCGGUCGGUGUCUGAUCGAAGGACGAAUGAUGCUUGCAUUAUUUUAUUUUUACUGAAAAAUUGGGCUUCUGGAGCAGCCUUUAGAUCAAUCUCAAGGUGUGUGGCUUUGCAUAGUGUGUGUCGUUUCCUUAAGUUUCUCUCGAUAGAAAAUCGAGUUUAUGGCGUGUGAUCCCACAUGCCAUGUGACUGAUUUUUGACAAAACGAACCGACCAAAGAACAACCAAAAACCCAACCGGCUCAAACCGUAAUGAACCAGAUUGAUUUUCAAACCGAUUUUCAACCAAAUCAAACUGAGUUUGACCAGACGCAUUGACCCUUCGUUGACCGGCCGUUGCCCCCGUUGACCGGUCACCAUGGAAGAAAAAACAUGGCAGUUUAGUAGUAUUUUGGGCAUAACAUUUUGCUCGGGAGUCUGAUUGACACAAGGUCAGUGACGUUGGAAACUUGUUCAGUUGCCUACAACUUUGAUGUCAUGAUGUGGCCUAAAUCCAUGCAGUUUGUGCUCAUUUUUCUUGGUUUGGAUUGAUGGAAUUUGAGAAAGUUUGAAUUGUGGUCUUGUUUGGUUUGAUGAUUUGGUGCGAUCGUGAUCAAUUUCUUGAUAGUAUUAUAGUGAUAUGUUCAUUGCAAAUGCUAACGUUUGGGAUGGUUGUCCAAAAUGGAUAAUUCUAGCUUUGCAAUGUGAAGAUUGCUGGAUGUUGAGACGUGAUCACUUUGUCACUCUUGUAUCGAUGGCAUGUUGUUGAUUUUCAUGAGAACUUGGAAUGGCAUCAUGAUGCUUCAAAGUGUGGUUGAACGUAGGUUGUUACUAGGCCUGAGAGUCGGUUAAUUUGGUUACUAACCAUCUGCUUAAUGUUCGGGGAAAAUGAUUUGGAGAUUAAAGUUGGUUAAUCGGUUUAACUGACCGACCAUAUGUAAUGGUUAAAAAGCCGACCAAUAACUGAUAAAUCGGUUAAAUAACCAAUUAUUAACCAACAGAUUAGUCGGUUAAUCCUAUGAACUGACUUUGAUUGAUUGACCGACUAUACCGACUUAACCUAACAAGAUCUGAAUCUCCAUGCUCAUCUCUGCCAUCGAGUGAGCCACGUUCUGCUCAUGAUAACCGUUCGUCCAAGCAUUCAUACUCUACUAAGAAAGCUUGCCAUGGCCGCCACUCUGAACACCGGUCAAAGAACUGAAUACUUGUUCCAAGAUCCGAACUUCCAGAACCGUCUCCAAUCCAUCUUCCCAAUUGUAGUUUGGACAAAGUUUCCUCAUCUGAAUUUUUACUCAAUCACACAACUACAACCUACACGACAACCAUAAUCAAUAGAGUGGAGGGGGAUAGGAUGAAACAGAGGACUGGUUGAAAUUAUAUGGGCCUAUGUUGCAUCCUCAAUAGCUCGUCGUCGCCAAGCCUCACUGAGCCGUCCCCGAGAGAGGAAGAGACGUAGAGUCUAGAGAUCGUGCUUUACUAGUGCUCAACACUCAUGGAGCCGUCACUGAGAGAGGAACAUAAUCCCUAAUGAAUCGUGAAAUCGAGAAUGAACGGGGAUAAGUGAAUAUGUUUGUGUGUGUGUGAGUUUGACCUAAAAAUGGGGGGAUUGGGAAUACGACGUAGACAUUUGGGUUCAGACUUGGGGUUCUUUUGACCGAUUAAUGUUGGUUAACACAAGUUAACUGACGGGUUUUAACCGAUUCACCGUUUAACUGAAGUCAGUUUUUCUCUUUGACCGUCCCCCAACCAACCUGUAGCUCGAUUAAACCUUCCUCUAACUUAUUCGGUCGGUUAAUCAAUUUUAAACGAUUAACCGAAACUGAAUUCCUACCCUUAGUUGUUACUAGGUGCUUUUGUUGCUCCCAAUUGAUGAUUUGUGAUUAUUUCCAUGCUCAUUUAAUUUGCUUCCAUUGCUCAUAUUUUGUCCUACCAUUACCCUUGAUGACUCAUUGGUUACUCACUGUUUUGGUAAAUGGUUCAAAGAAGCAUGAGGCAUAUUACUAGUCCAUUUGUUCCUGUAAUGAUAUAUCUUUGACCUCACCUUUUGGUAUAACUUGAAUGAUGCAUACGUUGUCACUUCAUGCUUUGCAUACACUCUUUAUGCUCGUUCUUGUUCAUUGGACUUGGUCAACAUUUGUGAGGAUUUCUUUGUGGCAAUUGAUGAUAAAUGAGUUAAGGUGGUCCCAUAGCUUUUGCUUACCCUUGUCUUACUAAUUUAUGAAUUAUAGGAUGCUCUUGUUUAGGAUUGCUAGUUAGUCUUGCUUGAGAAUAACUAGUUAUCUUCUUCAUUGGUUUUGCCUUUCUUUUACAUCUUGCCUAUGCCAUGUCUACUUAUGAGCUAUUUAUUGCCUAUCGUUGCCUAAUUCGAUUGGAUGCUUAUUGAGGUGGUUCCUUAGUGGCCGUAGGAUUAUGGGUUGACACCUCUACAUGCUUGAUGUGUAUGAUUAUUCUCCAUUUCGAAAUUUUCAAUGAUACUUUAAAGUCAAAUUUGAAUGCUCUUUACAAAUGUGUCAAUUUUGGCACAGUUUUCAAGGAUUCAUCAUUUAGUGUUUAUAAUUCAUUUUCGUUUUAAAUUUUCGUUUCCCACAUUUACUUUUCAUGUUUUGUUGCUUUUAUUGUUUUAAAUUUUAUUAUUUUUAUUUUAAUAGGCUUACUUUCCUUGUAUAUCCCCAAUUGUAACUUGGUAUCCGUAUUCUCAACUAAAUCAACAAAUGACACCAAAUAACUUAAAAUUGAGAACUAUAAGAGCUCAAAAGAAGGAGAUUUAGCAGAGUCUCUUAUAGGUUUCAAAAAAGCGAGGAAGGAUCUUCAAGUGGAGAGGACCCUUUCUCCUCCCUAACUCCAAUGGCGAACAAAACUCUAGCAUUAGACCACCUAAAGUCAGACGAUAAGCCAUGCAUUCAUCUCGUGGACUUUAUCUUCUAUUGCGACACCAUCAAGCUACACGGUGUUUCUGUUGAGGUUCACAUCGUGUUCCCCUUGAGUUUCAGCAACCAUCCACUCCAAGCACCUUAAAUCAUCCGUCUUAGUUUCUGCUUGUCCCCAAACACCGUACAUCGCAUGUACUUCGUGAUUUUUCCAUUCUUUGAGGCAUUUAGCUCCUCCUUGUACAUCAUACAGUUAUGAAUAAUGCCUCGACGUUGUUGUGUGCCUGAAAUUGAUAAAAAACACAACGCAACAACAUCAAAUGGACCCCAAACGGGUAUGAGACACUAAAUCGAGAUAGAAGUUACAAAUGCACAAAACAUCAUGUCGUGAAUGUUUCGAUCCGCGACACCGAUGGCUUGAAAUAUUUCAGAGUCGCCACCAAUCUGUUGAAGCGGAUUGGACGCUGUCGACAUAACCCAGGUCCUUUUGGACGUGAGUUAGAACAGGUCUGCGGAACAGAGAUCCUGGAUUCGAGAGGCGGUUACGUGCAGGGAAGGAUUAGCACCCCCAUAGCGCCCGUCAAACCGGUACUACUAAAUUUGAUAAGUUAUGUUUUAUUUUCUUAGUUUAGUGGUUUAAUUAUGCUUUAGUUUGGACGCAUAAGGUUAUGUAAAUUUUUUAGAGAAUAUUUUUAUUCAAUUGUAAGUCUUUAUGAGUUCCCACUCUUGUGGAAAUUUUUUUUUAUGUUGAUAAAUAUUUUGAGUUGAACAUUCUUAAUUUAAUUGUUUGGAUUUACGAAUUCCCAUUCUUGUGGAAAUUUUGUUUUACGCUGGUGAAUAUUUUUAAGUUGGUUAUUUUUAAUUUAUAUGUUUGGACUCAAGUCUUACGACUGCCUACGUACCUAAUUCUUUGGGAUCAAAGAUCAUGUAGUUCGUUAUGGAAAAGUUGAUUUGAGGAUUUUUUGUAAUUUUUACUAUUAUAAAAACCACGUUAUCAUGCUCAUUUUUUAUUUGAAAGACAUUUAUUUGGUUAUUUCAAAGUUGGAACUUUAUUUGCCCACUUAUGAUUAAAUGAUAAUUCUACAAAAUUCGAAACUCUUGUCACGGAUACGAAAUUCAUAUAACAUUGCUAUAAUAUCUUUAAAGGAUUAUUAUUAAGGAAAUUUCACAUUUUUUGCCAAUCGAAAAAUUAAUUGGUUUAUAUCAGUUAACUUAAUUUGACAUAAUUAAAAAUGCAUUACAAGACGGUUAACGAACUUACAUUUAAAUAAAUAUGUCACAAGUAUUUUUGGUGAUUUGACAAUUCUAUUGUGGUUAUGUUAAUGUUAAUUAAAAUGAUACGUUGAUUUGAAUAAUUGUAAAGUUUUGAGUUUUUAAGUUUACAACUUUAAGGUAUAAAUAUCAAAUAGGAUUAAAGAAGGUAUGACGUUUAUUCUGUUAUUCUUCCACACUUAUUUCACUUUUAUUCCACUCUUAAUAUGGCCUUAAUGAUAUAUGAAUAUAAUUGAAUCGACUAAAGGCUUGGCCUUUCUAAAUUAAUUGUGCCCAAGCUCGAGCUCGGCCCAACCGAACGAUGAGCCGAACCGGCGGGUAAGAGGAGGGCAGCCCGCGUGCCAAACUGGUCGAACCGGUUAUCCACGGUUCGAUCAGAAAACUCAAAAAGAUGAAAUUGCCCCUAGCGUUCCGUGCGCUGAAGAAGGGUGGCAGGGGAAAUUUUGUAACUUCACCUUAAACCUAAUCGGCCUUAUAAAAGGGCCUCUUAAAUCGAGAAAUGACUCAUUUGCAACUUCCCACUCUCUCUUUAUCAUCCCUCUUUCUAAACCGCCGCCCUUCUCCCCCCCCCCCCCCCCCCCCCCCCCACCCACCUUUAUCACGGAGUGUGCUGUUUUUUUCUAGUUCCUUUCUCUUCUUCUCAGCCGCCCUUUUUUGCCUCCUCUUACCUCUCAGGACCCCUCUUUCUACCUCCGUUUUUUCGAUUUUUCCAGAUUUGGACUUGCAUGUCAUCGGAGGAUACUCCGGUGAGUCCUCCGGCAAAAUGCAAGUCUCGAUCUGUAGAUCUAAUGUUUUAUUUUGGUAUUAAACAAUUUUGGUUAUUUGAGGGUGGUACCGACGGGGGUGGCGGGGAGGUAGAGAAAUGGAAAAAAGAGAAAGUUAGGUAAGUAAGAUUUCUUCCCUAUUCCUUUUGAUUAAUGUCUGGUUAAUUGCUAACGAAGCUAACUACCGGUUUCUUUGAUGACUUUUUUUAUGUCUUUGAAAAUGGGCAUAGUCGACAUGUUUUGGAAAAUGAGAGGAAAAGGAGAAGAUUGCUUUUAGGAGGUAAGACAGCUAAUUUUGAACCCAUUCUAAUUUUUCUAGGUAGAAGUAACAAUUCUAUUUGUUGAUAAGUUGCAUAAGAAACUAGGUUUGUUUUGUUACUGAAGUUGUAGUAGUAGUCUAGGUGUUUUAAAAAGUUUUGUUUGAAAAACUUUAUUUUUUUUACUAUUGUUUAAAUUUUUUUAGCAACAUUGUUUAUUCCAAAAAUCCGUAUUUUAACUCGAUUUUACUAUGAGUUUCAUAGUUCUUUAGGUCUUUGGUGCGAAAAUGAUGAAAGAUGGCUAUAGGUUUCGUUGUUAAUACUUUCCAAUAACUUUUAGUUCAUUUUUGAAGCUUAUUUGAUUGAUUUGUUGGUUGUUUAUUAAAAUGAAUCAUUUAUUUGAUUAGUUGCAACGAAUCAUUGGGUUCAAUAGUAGUUUAGAAGGUUGCUAAGUGAUAUAGCAUAACAAUGUAUAUGUAUGAAUGAUGUGUGAAUGCUUCAGAAUAGGGAUGUUUUGAAUGAUUACCUUCAUUCAAAAUUUCUCUUUUAUCGUAUUUCAGGUGGCGGCGCCUAUCGUGAGUGACGUCAAACCGAUUUGGCGGCUUCUAUGUGUAUGGCGACAAAAGAUGUUGUAAAACUUAUUUUUUUACAGUUUUGUAAUUAUUUCCCGGGACUUUGAACGAGUGAUGUUGGUGUAUUAUUUUUGGGGGUUUUGGGAAGAACUGGGGGACGAAUUUUGAAAACUGUAAGCUCCUCUUUUUGCUGAUUUUUGUCAGUCCAUUUAAAUGCAGAAAGGGCUACAGUCACUUCUUUUAACCAACCACAUCUUGCAAAGUUUUCUGACAAAAAUAAAAGGUGGCAGCUCCCCAAAUAAUAACCGUAACGGGCCCGAUAUUGGGCUUGAAAUAAGGCCUGGAAUCGGGCCCGAAAUCAAAUUGGGUCUAACACAUAAAUAGUUUCGAGAUAAGGGAUUUUGCCGAAUUUCGAGAUAGCGGACUUGAGGUCCACUCAUUUCGGCCGUUUCCGUUUAAAAAGAUCUAAAACAAAAUCGGCUUAGAACAGUCUGUAACAUAAUAAUUACAUCUCGAAAAUAUGCUAUUUGGCUACCAAGUUCUCCCCUAACGUGCACUUUGAUUAAUUUAACUGAAUAAACUUCGCAACAAGUAAAAUCUCGACGCUAAAUCCUUCCUAGAGAUGCUACGACUAUUUAGUGAAAUGACACUGGCGUGCAUUCUUCACUCGAACGAAAUUUGGUUACUACAGUUGUCCCUCUUUGUAUUACUUUCGCUUGGAAGUGGAAAGUGGUACAAAGACAGAAACCAAAUUUCGGACGAGCGCCUGAACUUCUCACGUCAAGUCCACUAGGGUCCAAGGAUCUGCCACAACAUCGGGUAGAAAACAAAAUUUGCAACCUGACCACACAAACAACAUGCAAUGCAUUUCCCUAUGGGUGUUAGGGUGAAUGUACUAGGGACUCAGCUUGACUUAUCUCCCGUUCCAUGGGUUGACUAUACUAGGGACUCAACUCGACUUAUCUCCUGUUCCAAGGUGCAAUCCGCUUUCCCCAGGAUGCUAAGGGUUGAUGUACUAGGGAUUCGACUAGACUUAUUUCCCGUUCCAACGUGCGAUCCGUUUGCCUUAGGACGCUAAGGGUUGAUGUACUAGGGAUUCAGCUUGCUUAGUUCCCGUUCCAUGACUACAAAUGUGUUGAUGAUGAAUGGUUUCGAAAGAGUUUGAGUAAGGCUCCCCCUUUUUGAAAAAAACAUGCAUCUGAUGGCAAUGCUUGAUUGAUAUUUUUCAUCAUUUUCACUCCGACGAGAUUCACUGUUUUGUUUUCUUGUCGCUUAGUUCGCACUACGUGCUAGCGCAAUGGUGUCAACCCUGCUGAUAGCUGGGUAACCUUUAAUGUAUGUGCCCAUUUUUCUUUGUUUUUCCCCCGACGUCUUCAUAUUAUUCCCAUGCCUUGGGAUUUUAAGGAUCUCUUUCCUACUUUGUCUCUACUUCUAGAUAUAAUGGUAAGAUAACGACGACCUUUGUAAAUUUCUUUCUUCGGUUAGGAAUAAGUGGAGAAAUCCUGCCAUCCGGGCUUCUUUUCUUUAACCCUUCCCUUUUACUAAUUUUUUCAUUCUUUCAACGGUUUUCAUUAUUAUUACUAUUAUUUUUCUCCCUUUUGUCUUCACUUUACCGCUAAUUUCAUUUGAAAAGACCUCCUAAUGAUUAAUUAGAGCGAAGGUGUUUGCACGAACGCAUUUGCCUCAAGUUCCUGUGGGGUGUUGUACCUCAUCCAUUUUGUUUGGUGAUGCGUGAACAAUGGUUAGGAGAGUAGUAUUUGAGAAUUCAUGAAGUAUCCAAAACUUAAAGUUGACUUAAAUUAUCACUUUAUUGAUGGAAAACCGAUCACGUAGAUCUCCGUCAGGAACUUUAAGCAUAGUACUUGUUUACUGAAUAAGAGUUAAAUAGGUAAGGGAGCUUGUCUCCGUCCAUGUUUGCCAGUAUUAAUGCCCCCCUGAGAAAGCCCUUUCCCCUACAUAGGGCCCUUCAUAGUUCGGCUUCCACAUUCCUCUUGGGUCCCCUUGUCAAAUGGAAAUCUUCUUCGUUACCAACUCUCCUUCGCGAAAUUCCCGUGUUUCACUUUUUUUUAAAAGAUCUGAUAAAUCUGCACUGAUACAGGCGUUAGUGGUGGAUAGCUGCCAACCUUUUCUCAUCAAUUUAAUUUAACUGGUCGUAUGCCGCUUUUACCUACUCAACUUGUUCUAACUUCGCCUCCAUGAUAACCCUUAGUGAAGGCAUUUCUACGUCCAUGGGAAGCACUGCCUCCAUCCCAUAGACCAAUUGGUAAGACGUCGAUCCCGUUUAGGUUCUUACUGAUGUUCAGUAACCGUGCUGGGUAAAUGGUAGAAUUACGUGCCAAUCGCGGUCGGUAACGACCAUUUUCUGUAUGCUUUUCUUGAGGUUUAUUGUUUGUCAGCUCGACCGCUCCGUUCAUCUUUGGUCGGUAUGGUACCGAGUUGUGGUGCUUAAUCUUAAACUUGUUGCAAAGCUCAUGCAUCAUCUUGUUGUUGAGAUUUUUCGCAUUGUCGAUUAUUAUUCUUUCCAGGAGCCCAUACUAGCAAAUGAUUUCCUUUUGUAUGAACUUUUUGACAACGCUCUUGGUAGUGUUUGCAUAUGACACAACCUCGACCCAUUUCGUGAAAUAGUCGAUGGCUACUAGGAUGAAACGGUGCCCAUUAGAUGCUUUUGGUUCAAUCAUGCCUAUGACCUCAUGAUGCAAAAGGCCAAGGCGAUGCCAUAAUGUGCAACGAUGAUGGAGACACGUAUUUCUCACCGGCAUAAACCUGGCACUUAUGGCAUUUUCUCACGUGUUUUACAUAGUCAGAGUUCAUCUUCGUCCAAUAGUAACCCAUCCUUAAUAUCUUCUUAGCUAGCGCAUGACCACCGACAUGUGUGCCGCAGACUCCCUCAUGGACUUCUUUUAUUGUUCUCUGAGAUUCAGGGGCAGCUACACAUCUUUGCAGCACAAAAUCAUGGCUUAGUCUGUAGAGGGUAGUCCUAUGAACAUAGUAACCCAUCUCCAAUCUCCGUAGAGUCCUUUUAUCAUUUUCAGAUGCCCUAGCUGCGUACUCCCUUUUAUGUAGGUAGGUCUUUAUGUGAUGGUGCCAGGGAUUCCUCAUGCUCUUUUUGGACUCUACCUAGGUAGGCAGGUGCAUUUUUCUUUUUGAUUUUGCUUCAUGGGUUAACCUCGGUCUCGUCCAGUUUGUACAUCGAGGACAAUGUGGCGAGAGCAUCCGCUAUUUGAUUGUCGACUCGCGAGAUGUGCUCAAACUGUAUCGACUCAAAUUUUGCGGCCAUUUCCCCUAUGUAUUUAUGGAAUGGGACAAGCUUAUGACCCCUAGUUUCCCAUUUUCCUUCAACUUGUAUAUUACUAGCGCUGAAUUACCAUAUGCCUUCAAAUUCUUAAUAACCAUUUCGAGGGCUCCUCGGAUCCUGAAAGUGCACGAUUGGCACUCUGUUAUGUUGUUGGUGCAAUCGAAGCAAAUUUUGGCAGUAAUAGGGCACACCCUCCCUUCAGAAGAGACAGAAACGACGCCGACGCCCUGUCCCAAUGAGUUUGAGGCCCCGUCAAACUUCAUCACCAAUGUUUUUUGGACGAAGCCUUCCACUAAUUUCUCAGUGUUCAGUAUAGUUUCAUCCGGAAAUUCCAUUAACAUCGGAUUCGUGUCCGAGAUUGCAUGCUCCGCUAGAUGUUCUGCCACUACACUCCCUUCAAUGGCCUUCCUUCGGAUAUAAACGAUGACGUAUUCUGCCAGCAGCACUUGCCAUUAGCCUAUCCAUCUGGAGAGGGCCAACUUUUCGUGGACAUCCUUGAUAGGGUUCAUUUUUUAUAUUAGGAGCUUCGUGUGAUAUAACAUGUACUAUCUCAGCCUUAUGGCUACCCAUACAAGUGCUCCGCAAGUUUUCUCGAGCGAUGUAUAUCGAGAUUCGUAGUCAUGAACUUCUUGCUGGUGUAAUAUAUUGGCGCGCUCUUUCCUUCCCGAUUCAACAUGUUGGGCCAACAUCGCGCUUACCAAAUUUUCAAAUACCGUGAAGUACAAUAUUAGUGACCUUCUAGAAGUUGGUGGGGCCAGAACCGGAGGGUUUAAUAAACACCCUUUGACUUUCCGAAAGGCAUGAUGACAACCUUCAUCCCACUCGACAUUCCGGUUCUUCUUUAAAAGCUUGAGAAUGGGUUCACACGUUAAGCUCAAAUGCGAUAUGAACCGACUAAUGUAGUUCAAGCGUCCUAAGAAUCCUAGCACCUCUUUAUGCAUUUAGGGAGGAGGUAUGUCAACCAUUGCCUUCACUUUGUCAGGGUCCACUUCAAUCCCCUUUUGGCUAACCACGAAACCGAGCAGCUUCUCCGAGGUGACUCCGAACGUACACUUUUCUGGGUUCAGCCAGAGCUGGUACUUCCCGAGUCGCUCGAGCAAUUUUCAUAGCACAGUUACGUAGUCGUCUUCCUUUUAUAACUUUGCUAUAAUGCCAUCCAGAUAUACCUAUAUUUCUUUGUGUAUCAUGUCAUGAAACAGUGUGACCAUGGCCCGCUGGUAAGUUGCCCUAGCGUUCUUCAGCCCAAAAGACAUAACUUUAUAGCAAAAGGUUCCCCAUAAAGUGAUGAUGGUCUUUUUUUCUCGAUCAUCCGAAACAUCCUGAUAUGGUUGUAUCUUGAGAAACUGUCCAUGAAAGAGAACAUAUUAGUUGACGGUAUUAUCAACGAGGACAUUUAUGCGAGGCAAAUGGAAGUUGUCCUUUGGGCUUGCCCUAUUUAAAUCUCUGUAGUCUACGCACAUUCUCAUUUUUCCAUUCUUCUUAGGCAUAGGGACCAUAUUAGAGAUCCAAUCGGUGUAUUACGCCACCUGUAAGAACCCGAUUUCGUAUUGUUUCUGCACUUCUUCCUUAAGUUUGAGUAUCCAUUCCGGUUUCAUCCGCCAUAACUUUUGCUUUACUGGCUUGCACUCCUCCUUUAUUGGCAAGUGAUGUGUUACUAUUGUUCAUCGAGGCCCAACAUAUCUUGAUAAGACCUUGCGAAAACGUCCUAGAAGUUCUGGAGUAGUUUGACGAGCCUGUUCUUUUCUGCUUGGUCUAAACUGUCCCCUACCUUAACCUGUCGCCGAUUGUCCUCUGUUCCCAAAUUCACGACCUCUACUGACUCGUAGAAAGGUUUCAAGGAUCGCUCUUCUUAUCCUGCCAUCCAAUCUGUUUCUAGGUUAGAACCAUCACUGGCUUCCUCGGUUUCCAUCUCAUAAACUGGGUGGUGAAAGUCAACUUUAGUGUUUCGUACCUCUUCAUUGUUUUCAAACACAUCUGUAACCCUGUUACGUGACGGGAAAUAGAAAAGGGAAAAAGAAGAAAAGCGGAAGUGAAUAAUAUAGACGAUGCACGGAUUGAGACUUAUGAAAACAUGCUUUAUCAAACAUGUGAAAAUGUGAUACAUGCAUUCAGGAUCACUUAAAAAACACUAGGAAGCCCUUGCUUAUUUUAUUUAGUAGUCAUAUUUUAGAGUUAUUACAUCUGCAAUGGCGAAAGUAACUCCAAAGCCUCCCAAUUGCUUAGCUCUUCCUUUGGACGGAGCUGCCGCACCCAUUUUAUUCCGGUCAUAAUUCCCGUACCCAGCAUGCUGAUGAAGAGAUCUGCAAAAUCCGACUGUAACUCUUUGGUGGUCGGAUCAGUGUAGUUUUUCCUCACAUUUAUCUUUCCAGCAUUCUUGCUUGUGAUGUGAGGUAUGAAAGUCAGGCCUUCAUCAUCUUCUGUCCCACUUAACCUGGACACCCUCCUCCUUAUCCGUUCCUUUUGGAUCCUCCUUAUAUCAUCAUCGUUUAGAAUGUAUCGCAAUCCCGCACGGUUCUUAUUUUCUUUGACCUGGAUGGGUUCUUUCAGCACCUCCUGCCAUUAGUAUCAUAGAUUCCAUACUCGAUAUUAAUCUAACCGAUGUCUCGAGACUAAUUAGAGUUAAUUACCAAGUGCAUUAAUAUAGUACAAUGAUUAAUCUGAAAAUUAAUUCCAAAGCGGAUCGACAUUCCGCCCCUCUCUCAAGUGUAGCGGAGACGACGAUAGACCUUGGCGUUUGGGGAUUUAGUCUCACUUUCGUAUCUAAACCAAAUCCCAACAAUAAUCUUACAACUGGAAUUCGACAAUUACAAAAUAAAGCAGUAGCUAUAUGCAAGAGAAAGACAAUAACGAAAUUAAUGAUAGUUCCGCUUAACACAAUCGAAAUUAUGUCGUAUUAACACAUAAUCAAGGUUUCAUCAAUUUCGGACAGACAGCUUAGUUACACAUGGUGAUCAAAUUAAAAACACAGAAAUCAAGAUAAUACAUGAACCUGGAGCUCCAUGCUUCAUGAACGCUCUGCCGUCGUAAAAUUCAGCAAUGUAGGCGGUCCGAACGGAAGUUCCGAAAUGGAUUUCUUCACCUUCGGAGCUCGAAAUUGCAUGCGGUUUGAAGUGGCAUGUUCCUGGGUUGAAGAAGGACGUCUUGGGGCAGAGUAGGAAGGCUUGCGGGUCUGAUAUGGUGUGUGUAUGGUGUGAUUUCGAAGUGGACAUGACUUGCCCUUAUAUAGGCUCGAAAAAUGGCGUAUUAAGGCCUCCGACAUGGGCAUACCAACUCCAUCAUCUGUAUGCAAGCUGUAGCUGUCCCUGGACUGAUGAUGGACGGAUCUACAUGUGCUGGACGUCCUCAACCAUGCCCGGUUAUCCUUCCGGCGAUCGGUUGAGCGGUGGAUUGUAAAACGGGUCGUAACUUCUUCGUUGCAAAUCUGAUUUAGCUCCGGUUUGUAUCGUUGGAUUUUUAAUUCAUCCCUUUAUAAUACGUGACCUGAAAUUUUAUUAAACACACUAGAAGAAAUAUAAAAUUGGACCAUAAAGGUCCAAGGGUUGAAUUUACGGAAUUAAGUGCAAUAUAACUGAUAUCCGUCGAAACUUUUGUUUGCAAUUGAUAUUAUGACUUGAAGUGUAGAAAGUUUAGUGCCAAAUAUUACGGUAUGUUAUGAUGUGAUCAAAAUACCCCACACUUAAACUUUUCUUGUCGUCAAGAAAACUGUAACUUAACCCACACGAAAUACCAAAGAUAGUUACCAUCAUUUAUACAAGGUUUAGGAAAUGUAAUUUUACAAUUUACGAUGCAACAGAGGUUAAAUGCUUGGCCACAUCGGUGAGAUAAAUCUCUAGUUAGAAAUUCACGAGACAGUGCACACCAGAUUAAUCAAGAUUCAAAUGCUAAAAAUAAAAGGGUUAAAUGCAUUUGUUGCAACUAUAAGAUUCAUUUUGCGCUUCCUUACGAAAUUAUGAAAUUUUAUUUCUUUUUUAAAGUUUCAAAAUUUUGAAUAACCCGUAGCCGAGCAAGACUAGUGAGUACUAUACUCAACCUUUUAACACAUUUCAUUCUUCCCACACACACCUCAAUUAAGUCCCGUAUGGGAGGCAUCUAAACUGGCUGCCUAAUUGGCAGGGCAGCUAAUGCAGAGGUGCUAGUCCUCUACCACACGCGUUAAGUUAAUCAUUGAAUUAUUGAGACAAAUUAAAGAAGCAUUUUGAUUUAAACAUUUUUUUAUG